UGAUGAUAUCCUCAAAAAUGUACUCGGAUAUUGGCCGGCCUCCUUCUCCAAUCUUAAUUCCAAUAUUCCAGAGCCAAUAUCUCUCCUUUGCACCUAUAGAUUGGUUUCAAAAUUCUCAUAAGCAUAGAAAAACAAGUCUAAUAUCCUCUCACAUAAGUUUCACUCCAAUCCAACUAAUAGAUUGUAAGAAAUCUCAAAAACCCCCACUGGACCUAAAAUUCUACUUUCUAAGACCUUGAUCCACUUAUACCUCAAUAUCCCUCAAUUCAACCGUUAGAUCAAGCUAAAAUUCACGACACAUAUUAAACACAACUAUAAACAUAAACUCACAAAAUUUCACCCGUAGAUCUACUACAAAACUCUUGAAAUCACCCAAAACGUAAACCCUAUUUUAUUUCAUAAAACCCAAGUCAUCCAAAACAAACCUUGACUUUGCAAAGCUAUUACAAAGUCAAUACAGAUCCAAAUCACCCAAAACCAACACCCAUAGAAACCCUAUCCAAUCUUCUAUCAAACCCCACUCUUCGAUCUGCCAAAGAUUCCUUGAAUUGCCAUCAAAGCGCAGUUCUGUGCCUCAGGGUUUGAUUUCGACCCAGGUUCAUAACCGGUCCUCUUCGGAUAUCAACUUUCGUCUUCUUGAGGUAAUUUUUACUAAUUUUCACUCCUAACUCCUCCUUACAUAUGCCUAUAUCCUUUAUUUUUCUAAUUUACCUUGUUUUGUCUUAUUUAUGGCCUUACAAAGUAAAUAGAAGCAUAAUUUGCAAAAAGGAGCAUUAGCACCUUUAAUUUUUCUAUCCUUUGACUAAUAUCUAUUUUUCCAAGAUAAUUUGCUACAAUAUUUUUGAAGUGAGAUCCUCAAACAUGAUAUUUUUUUUUCACCCUUUCACUUGUUAUCUAUGUUACAUCAUGACACCGCACUGGUAGUUCAUUCUAGUGUGCUUGACAACUUGCCUUGUAUCAACAUAAAUUGAGGCAAGUACACGAAUUUCUUCUUUUGUAGACUCAUCUUUACAAUUCGAUGUGAAUUCUGAACUCGACACUUGAGUUUCUUCGUGAUAUUGGAUAGGAUAUAUUUGAAGCACAAUUUUAUCAUUAUCUUUUCUAAUUGUCAAUGUACAAUGGCCUUAGUCAUUUCAAGCUUUAGCUUGAUACAACCACGAUCACUCCAAUAAAAUUGAGUAUGACAAUAUAGAGCUUUGCAAUCAAAAAACAAUAUAAUCAAUUUUGUAGGUAAUCCUCGCAAUUACUGUAUCAAUACUUCAUAAAAUAUCCAUAGGUUUAACUUGACUAGAGUCAGCCAUUCUCAAAACCACUGUAGUAGGCAAUAAGUGAUCUAAAUCCAGUUCUUCUAUUGUAGUGAUAUUCAUAAGAUUUACACUAGAUCCUCCGUCUACUUGCACUCUCGAUAAUAAUAUUCCAUCAAUUGAGUCAUCAAUCGUAGGUACACCCGGAUCGGGAUUCAAACUUACUUUUUGAAUUUCUUUAUUUCGAGAUCUGCAAUGAAUUAAUGAGGAAUUCAAGAUAAUUCGGCACUCAAGUGCUACAACCAAUAGUUGCUUCAUAGAGAUCGUAGACUGUAUGGUGCCCAAAUCUUUUAGAAUAUCAUAUGGUUCUGUAUUAGUGAUAAUUUUUAAUGUCCGUUUCUUCUUCCCAGUCCUAGACACCAACGUAGAUAAAUUGGUUUUCUCUAUAUUGAAAAUUAAUAAAGCUCUAGGAACUGAAUUUGACGGAGCUUGUAAAAUCGGUUCUUUCAAUGGAUAAGAUUGUUCUUCCAAUUGGACUGAUAUUAGUUCUUUAGAAUUCACGCCUCUUAGAGGAUCUUUGAAUGGAAAGGAUAUUUCCUAGAACUGUGUAGAAAAUGGAACAGCUCGACAUGGAACUGAAGCCUUCGUAAUUGGUACCUCAUUGAGGUGCGCAACCAAUUCAAGUCUUAUAUUGAGUAAGGAGCCAAUGUUAGGACCUAAAUUGGAUGUCCCUAUAAUUGGAUCCAAUUGGUCCUUCGCUUUAGGAUCAUCCAAAUGUUGAAUUGGUUCUUUUCCCUUUUUUUGACUUCUUGUAAGGACAACUUGGAAUAAUUCAAUCUGAUGAACUGGUGAAUCUUGAGGACCUUGAUUUAUCUCAUCCAUUUUUCCUUGGCUUUGGAUCUGCUGAUCUCGAUUAUUGAAAUUGAACGGAGCAUUACAUUGCUGAUAAGUAUAUCCCGACUGCUUGCAAUUCACAAAUACUGGCGCAUAAUCGUCACUAGCUCUGGAAUUGGAACAUUCACUAGCAUAAUGACUAAUCUGUCUGCAACGGAAACAACAAAGUAGUCUUCUUACACUUCCAUCCAGCAUAUUAGGUGUCUCCACCGAUAUAUACCUAUUAGGCUUGUUCCAUGUAGGAUUAGAAAAUGAUCCUGGUUGUCCCAUUGGUAUGGAAGGUACUUGGUUCGAUGACGUUGGUGGAGCAUAUUGCUGAUACCUUUGGUGCUCUUUCCCGUAUUUCUAAAAGUUUGAUGUAGAUCCCUGAUUAAAAUUGGAACUUUAAAAAUUAUUGAAUAUUCAAUUUUGUCGAUUAGAUUGAUUUCCAUUCCAUCCAUAAAUAUUUUCCGUUUGUACUUAAUUGACUUUCCACUAAGUCGAUGGGAUCAUGGUUUGAUUACUGAAUUGUUGUUGCCUUUGUAAAUCCCAACAAUUUUGGGUAGGGUGCUUUCAUCCGCAAAAUGUACACUAAACACUAGUUUGCUUGGGUGAUGGAUAUUUCGUAUCAAAAUGACCUUGUUCCUUACAAUUAUUACACCAUACAUUAGGUCUCAUAUUAAAAGGCUUAUGUCGUUUCUACUUAUCUUUAGCUAAAUUCAUGGCCAAUUCUUCCAUUUUUUUGUUAGAUUUAAUAACAAGACUUCAUUUGGAUCUUUAAUAGUCACAUUUGUGAACAAUUCCGGUUGUUGAUAGGUUGGCGAUGUAAAAUAAGGUAUCAUCAUUAUUGGUGCUAUUGCUUGGAGUGGUAUAGCAUUAAUUGGUUGUUGCAACAUAAUAUUCUUCACAUUCGAGGUAGCCAUUUGUGGAUAAUUAUCCAUCGACACAUUUUCCGGUUGUAUUUGUUGGCUUUCUAAACUUAGAAUCAUCGUGGCCUCCACUAUUAACAAUUGGUCAUAAUGACAUUCUUUCCACACCUUUGCUUGUGCCAACGAUGCCUCUAUCGUAGCUGGUCGAGCCUCUUUUACAAAUAUUUUCAAUUUUGGUAGAUGCAAACCGUUAAUUAAUAUCGAUAAUAUAAACGCAUCUAGCAUUUGAUUAUUUGACCAUUUAUGAAGUAUAUCCGUGAUCCGGCCAUAAUAGGACUCCAUAGAUUUCUCCACAAACAUCUUGCUAUUCAUAAAACUUUCUCAAAGUCGAUCUUCAAAUCCAAUUGGUCUAAAAUGGGUUAGGAAGGCAUUCCUCAGGGCCUCUCAAUUGGGAAAUCUAUCCACUAAUUGCCGAAUAUACUAUUCAAAAGCUGUAUCUUUUAAAGUUGCUGACAACUAUCUCAACCAAAUGUCUUCAGUUCUACCAUUAUUAGCCAUGCAAGCUGUCAAGAAUUGAGAUAUAUGGUGAUCGGGAUCAAAGCCCGACCAACCACUAAAAGUAGAUAAUGGUGCCAUACUUAUAGUUCGAUCUCCUAUUGCUCCCAUUUGUACUAUAAUUAGUACUUCUGGUACUCCUACGGCCAUUGGUGAUUUCAUUGGUCUCUUGACUAUUUGAAUCUGAAUUUUUCUUCCUUUAGUUUUUCUUGGACCUGCAAUUCUUUUUUGUCAUUUCCGUAGGCUAUUUCUUAUGCGUAAUUGCUCCUGUCUUUUUUUUGCUUAUCGAUUAUAUCUUUGAUAAUCCUCCCUCCCAUGAUUAUCACUCAUAAUCUUUCAUUCUGCUUUACAAAAUCAAUACUAUCUUGAAUUAUAACUCAAAUAUUUGUAAUCCUAAAACUGGUUCUUCUCAUAUUUUCUUUCAACAUAUAAUUCCAUCUUCCAUACAAUCAAUUUCUAACAUUUCAUAUUGUUAUCAUUUUCCUCACAGCAAUGCCAAAAUGUUGUUCUCAUUGCAUUCCAGCUUCAGUAGACCAAAGUAAUUGAACUAAUAGAGGUGGAUUCGAAUACGAAAAAAGACUGGUUAUAUGAAUUGGGUUUGUUAGUGUCAUAAUUGACUAUAUUCUGGCUAUUUGAAAUCAAAUAUCAAACUAUAAAAUCCCGAGGCUUACUACUUCCAUCUUAAUUCAACCCAUAAUCCAUUCUACAAUUAUCAAUUCAACAAUACUUCUCUCAAUCACCAUUCUUCAUAAGCAAAUAAUAAAGAAAAUAAAGAGAUAGUACCAAACUUACCCCAGCUUAUGACUCUUAGUUUGGCUCUCGACUUAUGACUCUCUGUCUGGCUCUCGACUUACCACUCUCUUUCUUCAAUCUAUUUAUCCUAUCAAAAAAAUGAUCCGGUUGCCAACAGAUUUCAAAGGUUAUGACCUUUUGAAUUCUUAACCAUUUAUUCUACUAACAACCUAUUGUUAUCAGCUAAACUACCUAACUAUCAGUCUAAUUGUCAAGGUUAUCAAUAACCAAUCAAUAACUUAUCACAAAUUUUAUUUACCUAUUUUACAUAGUCUUAUUACCCAUAUAGAAUGGUGGUUGUUCCUUUUGAUAGACAUCUGUAUUGACCUUUUGUUGUUUUUGAGCUUCUUUUAAUUGCGCCUUCAUCGUUGCAUGUAGCUUUGACAAAUAAAUUUCUAAAUCUUUUGUAAUAGGAUUAUCAACUUUUGAAAAAUCAAAAGUAUCAAAUUGUAGAUGAUAAUCAUAAUUGGCAAAGAAAGGUGUUUGUUUUGUUGAAGAAUGUACUGUGUUAUUGUAAGCAAACUCUGCCAAUGACAAAAGAGUUGUACAAUCAUCUUGUUGAUAGUUGAUGGUACAUCUUAAAUACUGUUUUAAAACUUGAUUAAUAUUUUUCCAUUACUUUGAAGAUAGAAUGUCGAAGAUAGUUUUAUAUCCACUUUUAGAAUCUUGAAAAGAGUCCGCAAAAAUCUUGAUACAAAUUGAGUUCUCCUAUCUUAUAUAAUAUCCUUGGGUAAUCCAUGAUAGCGAUAGAUAUUGUCAAGAAAGAGCUUAGCUGUUUUUUCACUUGUGAUGGAUUUUGUACAUGGUAUAAAAUGUGCCAUCUUGAUAAAAUGAUCUACUAUCAUGAAUAUAGAGUCAUAAGAACGUGAGAUUGAAAGAUCCAUGAUAAAAUCCAUAAAAACAAAAGACCAUGGUUGUUCUGGAAUGGAUAAUGGCUGAAAAAGUCCGUAAGGUUGAUGACAAAGAGUUUUUGAUGUUGAACAAAUAAAAUAAGAUUGUACAAAAUCUAUGACUGCUUUCUAUAUUUGUAGCCACCAAAUGUCCUUGGAUAUUAGUUCCAAAGUUUUAUUGUACCCAAAAUAUCCUACUGUUGAAAAGCCAUGACGAGUUUGAAGAAUAUGUAAUCAAGCUUUACCUUCUGGAACAUAUAGGCAUCCCUUGAAAUAUAGUAGAUUAUUCUUGAAUUCAAACUUGGAAGUAUCACUAGACUUUGAAGGAUUUUUCUUAAUAUCACAAAUAAAAGAAUCAAAAGAUAUACUUGAUUGAACUUGCUUAAUGAAAGUUGAAUCAAAAAUUAGUGUUGAUUUCAUUGUUCGAAGAUGGAGAUGCUUUGGCUUCAAGAGAAUUAUCUAUUGUUGAUCGAAAGGAGCAUUUGACAAACCUUAUUCUUUUUCUAGUCGAUAAGUGAUCUUGAAUUCAAAUCUUAACAAAGACAUACUCCAAUGGAUUUGGUAAUGAUUCAAAAUACAUGCUGAUAUAAAAUAUUCAAGAUUCUUAUGAUCCGUAUAUACGAUGACUGGUUUAUAAGCACUUUUUUGAUAAUAGCACCAUUCUUGAAAUGAAUCCACCAUUACAAGAAGUUCUUUGUCGUGGAUCUUGUAAUUGAUCUUGGUUGCUAAAAUUUUUUUAGAAUUAAAAGCUAUUGAAUGAAUUUUAUCAUUUAUUUUUAUUUGUGACAAUACGGUACCUAGAACAAAGUCUGAUGUAUUUGUUUCCAUAAAAAAUGGCUUUGAAAAAUCAAUGCAAUACAAGAUUGGUACAAAAAUAAAGGUUGUCUUUAAAGCUUCAAAUGCUACUUCGGCUUCUUGAUUCCAUUGAAGUUUGUCUUUACAAGUCAAAUGUGUAAGUGGAGCUGCAACUUGAGAGAAGUCUUUGAUGAAGAUCCGAUAGUAGUUGGCAAAUUCCAAAAAGAAUUGGACAUCUCUUUCCAUUUUUGAGAUGUUCCAAUCUAUAAUAGUUUGAAUUUUCUUAGGAUCUAUCAUAAGUCCAUCAUUUUAAAUGAUGUAUCCUAAGAAGUCAACUUAAGUAGUAUAAAAUACACAUUUUUUUAUCUUGGCAUAGAGUCUCGCAUCUCUUAGUUUUUGUAACACACGAUGAACAUGAAAUUCAUGUUCUUCUAAGUUCUUAGAAUAGAUUAAGAUAUCAUCUAAAUAACAGAUAACAAAAUCAUCUAAAAACUCCCAAAAGACAUCAUUCAUUAGAUGUUAGAAUGUUGCUGGUGCAUUUGUAAGUCCAAAAGAUAUGAUGUUGUAUUCAAAAUAUUCAUACCUUGUUCGAAACACAGUCUUCCAUUCAUCUCCUUCUUUGAUGCAUACUAGAUUGUAUGCUCCUCGUAGAUCUAUUUUUGUAUAGAUCUUAGCUUAAUUCAACUAAUCAAGGAGUCCAAAUAUCAAAGGUAGUAAGUACCUAUUCUUAAUGGUGAUUUUGUUGAGUCCUCCAUAAUCGACACAUAUUCGCAAUGAUCGAUCUUUUUUCUUUACAAAUAAAAUUGGAGCUCCUACUAGAGAUUUGGAAUAGUGUAUGAAGUUCUUGGCCAAAUUUUCUUCAAUAUACUCCUUAAAUUCAACCAACUCAUUUUGUGAUAAAUUGUAGAUUGGUCCAAAUGGUAGUUGUACUCCUUCUUGAAGGUCAAUUGAGCAGUCAUAGGAAUGAUGUUUUGGAAGAGUAUCUGCAUAUUUUUUCUCAAAUAUAUCUUAAAAAUAUUGAUAUUGGCUUGAAAUGCUACUUGAAGUCUUUUUACCAGUAGAAACACUUAUGGCAUAAAUGAUACAAGGUGAUCCUUCUUUUGUAGCAUGCAAGAAAGCUCUUGUACCUACAAAUAUAGGUUUAAUUGUAUUAGACUUAUGACUUUCUACUUGAUUAAUUACACUCCUAAUUAUACUUUUAGGAAAUUUAAGACUACAAGAAGUAUAAUCUAUUUUAGGAUUAUAUUUUUCUAUCCAUGAUAAAUAUAAAAUUAUUAGAUUAAAUGGAGAUGUAAUAGUAUUAAAUAUUAUAAAGCUACUAUGAUCAUUAGUUGCUACUUCUAUAGGAAGGAUUUCAUGAGUAACAUCUCUUAAAGACAACGAAUAACUAUCUAUGACUUCUACAUGAAUAGGUUUAGUUUUCUUUAUUAAAAAUAUGCUAUAUCUUUUAGCAAAUUUUUCAUCUAAGAAAUAUGCUGAGGCUCUUGAAUCUAGUAAGGCAGAGGCUUUGUAUUAUUUAAUUCCUAGAAUAACAUUUAUCGUAAAACACGGAGAGGAUUCCGAGGAGAAAAUAGGACCUUCACUUAGUGUUGUAUAAGGUUCUAGCCGCACGGUCCCUAUUGUAGCUGGACAAAUUUAUUUUUUGACAUGCUAUCUUUUUUGAUCGUCAUACUUUUCAUUUUAUGGUUGAGUUGUUUAUUUGGAAAAUGUUGAGCAUUGUGCUUAGAUUUUCCAUAAUAUAAGCACAAUCCUUCUUGACAAUGGUGAGUCUUUUCUUGCUCAGUAAGAAGUUUGAAACAUACCGUAUCAAUGUACAUAUCUUCUACUUCCGAAUGUAUGUGUUGAAAAGAUGUUGGUAUUGCCAUUGAAUUAUAAUAAUGUUGAGGUCCACUUGUAUAGUUCUCAGAUUGAAAUUCAAAAAGAUGAUUGUCGCACUUCACAACAAAGUCAAUUGCUUGACUCAAUGUUUGAGGAUCAGAUAAGUUGAUCAUUAAUUUUUUUACCUCAUAUUAUAAUCUAUAGAAAAAUUGGCUAAUAAGUGCAACAUCAUCCCCCUUGAUAUCAAUUGCAAGUUAUCAAAACUGUGAAGCAUACAAUGUUACUGAUUAAUUGCCUUAUCACAAAAUAUAGAUCUUGUUAUUUGCAACACGAAUUGCAUCAUGUUCUCUAUACAUGGAUCAAAACUCUACCAAAAAAGCCUCCAGAAUAUCUAAUAUUGGAUCUCAUCAUUCAAAAAAAGAUGAAAACCAUGAUAAUACUAAACCUAAAAGAAGCAUAUCAAUGAAUCUAACUUAUAAUCAUGGAGUUGGAUAGCUUUGGAGUUGAAGUUCAAUCACAAGUUGUACUUGAUUGAUAAAUCCUCUAAACUUUGAUUUGGUACCAUCAAACUUCUUAGGUAGGACAAUUCUAAAUUUUCUAAAACUUAAAGGACGUUCUACUAUAAGAGAAGGGAUAUAAUUUGAUGUAGAUGUUGAAGCAGCUCUAAUCAUUUCUAUAUUUUUACUUCUUGUCAAUCUUAUUACUCUUUGUCAUGGUAAAUUGAAUUGAUGCAUCACAAGCAUUAACUUCUUCAAUUGCUCUUGCAUUUGUACCUUUGCAUUCUUCAUUUCAACAAGUUCUUCCAUGAUAAGACUUAUAAAAAAAAGAUAUCUAAUAUCGCUUAAAACAAAUAGAAGAGAGGACUUGAGAACAAUGAAAAUACUAGAGACAAUAUCAAUUGAGAAGAGGGUAAUCUGUAACUUCUAAUACGCUUAUGUCUUAUUAAGAGAAAGAAAUAAUCCACUCUUAAUCAAGAUUAGACAAAGCUCUGAUAUUGUUAGUAUACUCUUGUCAAUCUGUCAAGGAUAAGAACUUGAUAGAGACAAAUAAACAAGUGAGACUUCUCUCAAAAAAAGAUGACAAAAUAGAAAUAACUCAAUAUGUAUAUUAAGAAAGAAAUUGGAAUGGCUAUUGCUAAAAGACAAGAAAACUAAAGAUCCUUGAAAUUAAACUAGAAGCAAGAAAUAAGUUGACAAGAGUGAAGAAGGCUUCACUCUUGUCUUUAUAUAUACUAUCUAACUAGAGGAUACAUAACAAUGUUCUAUAGGACCUCCAAUAUGUAUUGACUUUGUAGGACACAUGCCUUGACUUAUAAGGCAAGUUUUUCUAUAGGUGGGCUACCUAAUUAACUUGGUCUUCAAGCUAACAACAUAUGUGAUACACGGCCAACUUGUUGACCACGUUUCUAAUCCAAAAAGUCAACUAAAGAUAUCUAUAAAGUCAAAGCAACGUCUAUGAAGCUUCAAGAAAGCUUCCAUAAUAAAUAUUAUAGAAUUAACUUAUUUUUACCUACUUUUACUUACUUCUAUCUAUUUAUACAUGUAAUUACUGGCUUAUAUGUGUAUAUCCAUGACAACUUCUCAAAUAGGGAAACUCUUGGUUCUUUAGUAUCAAAAGUAUGUUUUGUUAUAUGAAAAGAGAUAUGAUUUAAUACAGAUGUUGAAGCAACUCUAAUCAUAUCUAUGUCUUCACUUCCUGCCAUUCUUAUUGCUCCUUGUAGUGGUAAAUUGAAUUAAUACAUUGUAAAUAUUAAUUCUCUCAAUUACUCUUAUAUUUAUGCCAUUGCACUCUUCAUUUCAAGAAGCUCUAUCUUAAUAAUACUAAGAAAAAAAAAAAAAAAAAUUGCUCAGAUUCUCUAAAAGAGUGGAUUGGACAUCAAAGAAGAUUUUAAGAAUAAUAUUAGUUUAAAAGAGAAUAAUUUACAACUUCUAAUAUGUUUAUGUCUUAUGAAGAAAAAAAAAUAAUCCACUCUUAAUUAAAAAAAGACAAGGCUUUGAUAUUAUAAGUGUACUCUUAUCAAUCUAUCAGAGAUAAGAACUUGAUAAAUAUAAAUAAAAAAAGUAUAAUAAAAUAAAAAUAAAAAAAUAUGUAUAUUAAAAAAAAAUUGGAAUGGCUAUUGUCAAAAGACAAGGAAAUUAGAGACUCUUCAAUCUAGACUAGAAGCAAGAAAGGAAUUGAUAAGAAUAAAGAAGGCUUCAUUCUUGCCUCUAUAUAUACUAUCUAAUUAACAGCUAUAUGGUGAUAUUCUAUACGACCUUCAAUAUGUGUUGACUUUACAAGACACAUGCCUUAGCUUAUAAGGCAAGUUUUUUAUCUGUGUGCCACAUACUUAGCUUGUUCUUUAAGCUAUCAAUAUGUAUGGCACAUGACUAAUUUUUUGACUAUAUUUUAAAACCUAAAAAGUCAAUUAUAGAUACUUAUAAAGUCAAAGUAGUAUCUAUAAAGCUUUUAAGAAGUUUUUAUAGAAAUUAUUAUGGAAUUAACCUAAUUUUAUCUAUUUUUAUCUAAUCAUAUAAGUAAUUAUUGAUUUAUAUGUAUAUAUCUGUGGUACAAAUCUUCAUAGAAAUCUGUACUUCAUUACUAAAAACCAUUCUUCUAAUAACAAAUGAAAUUCCAUAGCUCUUUUCUUCUUUCAUAUACCAUCAUGUCCUCUUCAAAGGUAUACCUAGCUUUGGACAAUAUGUCUGCCAUCAAAUUUUUUUUACCAGUAAUAUAUACUAAAAUAAGAUUCAGUGUUUUUAUAUAUGCUAUCUAUCUUAAUAUGGUAAUAUCUGAAAUAGUACAGUUAAUUAUCAUCUCAAAUAAUGACAAAUAAUUUGUUUUCAAAACCAUACUUACUCCAAUCAAAUAAUUCUUCUCAACCUUUAGAGCAAUGAAUAUUCUCCAAAACUCUCUUCUAACUUAUAAAUAAGUCCUUUGCCUCUUUAUAAGAAUCCUAAUUUUAAACGUUAUAGUAAAUCUUUUGUGUUCUUCAUUAUCUUGUCCAAUAGUCCAUCCAAUUGUUAUAGGACUUGCAUCACCUGUUACAACCACUGGUCUUUCACAUUGAUAGUCUACUUAACUAAGCACAAGUGAUAAAUUUAAUAUCUUUUUAAGAUAUUCAAGAGCUAUUUUUUGUUCUUCUUUUCAAACAAAUUUCUUAUCCUUCUUUAAUAACUUAUAUAGUGGCUUUGAGAUAUAGAUAAAGUAAGGCACCUAAAUAUAAUAGAAUAUACAUGCUUCUAAAAACCUUCUAAUUUUUGUAAUACUUUUAUAAGUCUUUUUUUAGAUAUAGCAUCAACUUUAUCAAGAUUUGAUUUUCUACCAUAUUUGCCACACAAGUGUCUCACCACUAAAAUCUCAUCAACUCCGAAGCUUGAUUUUUUCUAAGAUAAUAUAAGAUUAAUAAACUCCAAUCUCUCUAAUAUCCUACUUGCAUCUUUAAUAUACCUCUUGACAAAUUUUUUGCAACCUUCAAUUUUUAUGGUUUUAUUUUUAUAUUUUUUUAUUUUCUUUUAUAGAUAUGUUAUUCAAAAAUAGAAUGGUUUUUUUAGAUACAAAUUCUUUUAAUAUUUGGUUAAUAGUAUUUUGCAUAUAAGCCACUUAGUUGGUUGCAUGUUGAAGUAAGGUAUAUAUCCUCAUUAAAUCCAAAGAAGUCUUCAUUAUAGUUAAAUCCCUACUCUCUUUAGCUAAUUGAAAUUGGUCAUAUCCAUAAUAAAAGUUUUUAAUAGAAUAAAUGGCAUGACUUGUAAAUCACUUAGCUACUUCAUUUACUUUAAGACCUCACCUUAUGUUUCAAAUAGUCAUUUUAUUUGUUGGUUUUAUAUCCUAAAUGAACUUUAAUGCUUCUAAUUACUUAAGUAUUAUGAACCAUGUAUUAAAAUAGGAAACAAUUGAAGGUUCCAAAAUAUCCAUCUUUAUUUUCUCUUUUAAUAAUUCUAUCAAUUUUGGAAGCAAAGCUCUAAGAACAAGUAUAGGCUUUAAAUUCCAUGGAAUAUGUGGCAUUGUAAAGAUUAUCAUAGAUAUUAGAAUAUUAAGGUUCAUAUAUCUAAUCUCAUUAGGAGUUAAGACAAAUGCCUUACCAUGUUCAAUAAGUAUUUUAUGAAAUAUAUUUUCUUCUAUUGAUGUCAAGAAAUCACCCCCUCCAAUCUUCAACUUAAAUAAUGUUGCUUGAAUAAAUUGAUGUCCAAUUCUACACUUCUCUCUUAAACUUAUCUUCUCAACUGCCUGCUCAAUAUGUUCUAUAGUAUCAAUUAGUAAUUAAAUAGCUAUAGAUUCUAUUUUUCUUACAUUAGUUUUAUAUUUAAUUUGAACUCUAGCCUUAUAUUUCAAUCCAUAACUUAUAACAAAUCUAUCAUUUUCUACCAUCUCUUUUAACUCCACAUAAGUUCUUUAAGUGUAUUUGUACUAUAGCAUCUCUACCUAUGCUUGUAGCUAAAUUUUUCAAUUUUUUUAUCAAAUCAUCUUUUAAACCUACUUCUUUUAUUAUUCUACCUAUAGCUUCAUCAUUUGAAACUAAAUCCUUCCUUUUUAGGUUCUUUUAUUAUUUUUAUCUUCCUCCAAUUUAUAAAAUCUAAAUCUUUAAUCCUUUAAAUACUCACAAAUUUAUUAUUAGUUAAGUUUAAAAAUCCAAAAUUCAUGGUAUCUCUAUUGAGAUUUGUAAAUGAUUCAUUUACAUCCAUAUGUCUCUAUCCUAAAAGAAUAUUCUCUAAAAAUCCAUAAAGUUAUUUUUUGGCUUCAAAGGCAUCAUUUUUAAUAGUUCUUUGUAUCUCUCAUGAUUAGAUUUCAUAGGAAUAAAUUACACAGCUUUUCUUCCAUGCUAACUAUAAAUCUUGGCAUAAUAUGAAUCAUCAUCCAAGAUUCUAGUUUCUAUUUUAGUAGCUAUAAUAUAAGAUUGAUUAAGUAUUAUUAGGUAUAUAAUAGAGUUUUACAUAAAUAAAAUUUGUUCCACUUCUACAUCUCUAAUUUUUGUCUUUAUAGUUGUAUAAGCUCUAUAUAAAUUACCUUGUUGGUUGUUUGCAAUUCUAAUUAUCCAACCAUGGUUGUUAUCAAUUAGCCACUGUGAUUGUCGUUCUAUUUAUUCCAGAAGAAACCUCUCAAAAUAAACCUAUAUAGGGGAAUUCGAACACAGGGAAAGACCAUAUAUAUGAGCUCCAAUUGUUAGAGUCACACAAUUAACUGCUACUGCUGAAUGCUUACAAUUCCGAAGAACACUUAACUUUUCUUCCUACUGUCCACUCUUUCAUAUCAAUAUGAUAACAACCACAAUAUCAAUUUCAGUAUCCUAUGUAAUUCAUGAACACAUAAGCAUAAUCCAAAUCCUAGAAUGAACAACUUUCAAUCCACAAAAUCUGAUUGAGACAAUUCCUUCAAUUACAAUUCCUCUCCACUGAACUCACAAUCUUGUGAUAAAUAGUGACUAGAAACUUCUAUACAUCAUCAAUCUUUUACAACAAUUAAUAAACAAUGAUCCAUAAAUAACUUUGUAAAUCAAACAUUGAUUCAUUAAAUCGAUUCUCUUUACUAGAAUCAACACUAAUACAAAAGAAACAAGAAAAUUAAAAAGAAGAGAUAGCACCAAGCUUAUCCCGGCUUAGUGCUAUUGCACUCUAGUACCCCGGCUCAUAACUAUCACAGUCUGGCAUUUUCUUCCUCUCUCCCAUCCUCCUUAUACUACCCUCAGAUACCAACUCCUAUACUAUGGAUGAUAACUACUUUUCCUGACUAUUCAUCUAUUCUACUUGUUGAAUCACCUUCUCAGCAAUUAUCUAUCUCUAUUUAUACUAUACACUAGAUAUUUAUAUUCUAAAAAUAACUACUUAUUCUACAUAGCCCUACUCCUAACUGUGUAGUAUUCCCGUAAAUAUAAUAUUGAUAAAUAAAAACCUUUUUUUUUUUUUUUUUUUUUUUUUUUAACUGGACUGUUCAAUCACUUCAAUUUUUGGUGCUGGCUCCAUUUGGUCUUGUUCCAACACUAUAUCUUCUUCUUCCAACUCAUCUUGAAUCUCUACCCUUAAUUGAGCUGUUAAAUCUUCAUUAUAUGCUGCCAAUUUUUAAACCUGAGCUUUCAAUUGGAGUAUUCUGGCAUCUUUAGCUUUCAGUUGUUGCUGCUGCUGUUGCAAUUUCUCUUCCAAUUUUCCAAUUCUUAAUCCCGUUGAGGCAGAUGUCUAUGACUGACCAAUAUUGACCAAAUCACUCUCCAAUUUCAUUAUUGUUUCCUUCAAAAUAACAAUUUUUCCCUGUAGCUCAUCCGUUUUGUUUCAAUAUUGGUCAUCCAAUUGUUUCUUUUCAAGCUCCAAUGCCUCCUUCUUCUCUUGUUCCAUCUUCAGCUGAGCGUUCAUCUUCUCCUGUUCCAAUCUAUACGAUUUGUGAAUUUGUAGUAAUUCUUGCCUUUGAUUUUUCAGGAUAUGCUGAAUCCUCUAUUUCUCCUUUGAUCAGUUUUCCACUCUCUCAUCCAAUUCACGCUUCACUCAUAUCUUGGAUUUCAAUUCUACCUUGAUGACUUCUUUUUGUUCCCUGAUUUUACAAUUUUACUCCAAUAUUAUUUUCUUUCUCGCUUCCACUUACCUUUUUAAGCUACCUUUAUCUUCGAGCUUACUCACCGUAAGUUGUAGCUAGAAAAUUUGAUCCAAUAUAACUUUUUUAAGAUUCUACCCUUCCGUUACACCCCGUUGAAAUCCUAAUUGUUUGCUUUUCCUUGGAACUGGUAUUGGUGUCGUCAUCUCUAUUGUCAACCAAAUUGGAAUCGAAAUCCAACUCGCUUUGGUAUAGAUAUUCAUCUUGCUUCCUGUUCUGCAAUUCUGCUAGAUUCUCCCAUUUCAUACACCAUUACCUCUGGGCUAAUAGUUCUCGUUUGUAAACUUGGAACUAGUGGUUGAGAUUCCUGUUUCAAUAUAUACUCAACCAUUGAAUUUACAUAAUUGGAACUUAAUAGUGAAGCAAACUUCCCCGUCUUUUGCUUAGCUCCUAUUUUUGCAUGUAUCCUUGUGGCCACAUAAGCUGCCCAAUUGAAUACUAUACCUUCCAGUGUUCCUAUCGCGAAAAAUAGUAAUCACUUCGCCAUGUAGGUGGUAUGCCGAUUCAAUGCUAACCACUUCUGAACGAACCACAUCCAUUCCAUAAGUUCGAGCGUAAGUGCCUCCUAUACCUUCCAUUCUUGAUUUUGCUCGAGAGACGACAUUCCUCCUUUGAAGUAGUUUCUUGGCCUGAAGUCAUUUGACGCAUCUCCUCCUACCUCAAGCUCUCCGGUUGGUAAAUGCAAGACCUUGUUUAAGAUAUUCUCAUCUAUUCCAAUCAGGACUCCUCUUAUCACACUCAAACCAUCCUCCGGAUCAUAAUUUUCUACAUAUUCUGCCACUCGUUCUACAUCAAUUAGUGGUAGUUUAUCCGAUCCUCGCAAAAACGUAAAUAACUGUACAUUUCUAAAAUCUUUUUACCUUUUCAAUGACCAACACAUAUCUAAUUUCAUCGGUUCCAUGUUGGUGAUAACUAUAAGAGACUGCGAUCCUAGAUCGCACUUAGAUCCCACAUUGCGGCGACUUUUCAAUCAUUUUGGUACUCUCUUCGCUCUUUCUAUCGACAUUGUGAAAAUCAAACUCUCAAUACUUCCUCGCGCUAAUACUAUUGCUGAUUAUUAUUGUAAAGCUUACAAUUCAAAGCACAAUGUCUAAAAUUUGCAACAAUGAAACCUUCUAUUAGUGCCCCGCCCCUAACUGCUUACUCGGGGUUCGAAUCAAGAACGUCUAAUCUAGUAUACCUUAAUCUCAUGUCUAAUCAAGAAUGUCUAAUUUCUUGACUAACCAUCAAUCGUUUUCUAGCUAUCACAAUCUUUCCAAUCUUGUCGGGUAAUCAUUAUUACGGAGACUCCCUCCUGCCAUUGAGUAAACCUGUCCCAGAUUUACAUAUAAUACAAACAUAACCAGUUUCCAUUAACGUGUAUUGUGAAGUGGGUUUCCAAAAAAUCUUCCAAUUGAAUGGAACCAUUAGAGAAACCUUCUACCACCCGAUAUGGCCCAUGCCAUCGUACUUAAAAUUUACUGAGAAAGUUGUUAAAGCAGCUAUCAUAAAGUAGCACCAGAUCAUUCGACAUAAAAUAUUUUGACCAUAACUUACUGUCAUAAUAACUCUUUCUGCAGUACUGUGUAGCUUCCAUGAUCAAGAGAGCCGUAGUCCUAGCUUCAUCCAAUUUCUCUAAUUGGACUACCCUAUAUUGAAGAGAUUCUCUGUAUCCCAUACGUUCAUCCAAUGUAAUUCAUAAAUUUUGGACCUCCAAUUCGAUUGGUAGAAUUUCUUCCUGACCGUAUACCAAUUGAAAUGGGAUAGAAUUUGUAGUUACUUUAUAUGCAAUACGGUACGCCCAUAAAGCUCCAAACAAUUUAAUGUCCCAAUCGAUUCUCGCUCCUGAAAUAGUCUUUGUUAAGAUCUUACAUAGAAUACCGUUGGUCUUUUUUGUCUGCCCAUUGGCUCGUGGAUGAUAAGGUGUAGUUUUACGGUGCUUGAUCUCAUACUUCGCUGUUAAUGCUUCAAUUUUUGUAUUAAUAAAAUAUGUUCCGCGAUCACUAACCAAUUCUUUUGGACAGCCAAAACGAGUGAUAAUAUUCUCAUAUAAAAAUGUUGCUAUGGUAUUGACAUUAUCAAUUUUCGUUGCCAUAGCCUCUGCCCAUUUGGUGAUAUAAUCGGUGGCUACUAGAAUAUAACGUUUCUAUCCAUUUUGAGAGGUAGGUGCAAUGGGUCCUAUAAAGUCAAUAUCCCAUUUUUUAAAUGGUGCUUUUACCAAAAUUGGUACCAAUGGCAUUGUAGAAGUUCCAGUAAGAUGACCAAUUCGUUGGCAAAGAUCACAAUGACGAAUAUAUUGGUGUGCAUCUGAAAACAUUGUAGGCCACCAAUAUCCAGCCAUUAAAGCCUUACGUGUGAUGCUAUCACCUGUAAAAUGUCCUCCACAACAAUCCAAAUGACAUCCUUCUAAAAUUGUACGAACUUCAUUUUGAAAGAUGCAAUGACAUAAAAUUCCAUCCCGCCCUUAUUUGUACAAGGCAUCUCCAAUCAUGGUAUAUGGCACACUUUUUAAAAUCAAAUGCUUCUUUAAUUUUUUAUUAUAAGAAAUUAGAAAAGACUGAAACGUUAGAUAUUAGAUCAAUUCACCAUAUUCGGAUGUAAUGACAUCCACAGUGAAUAGUUGUGUGUCCAGAAGAGCAUUGUUUAUUGGCUCAUUAUCCAGUAUAUUAGAUAAAUAGGAUAAGUGAUCUGCAUUGGCAUAUUUCUUACCGGAUCGAACAUUAAUCAUAAAGUUGAAUUCUUGGAGGAAUAACAUCCAUCGAGUAAUUUAUCCACUCAAUUGAGGUUUAUUUAUCAAGUACUUAAGCGCAUCAUGAUCAACGUGGAAUACAAAUGGGUAUCCAAGUAGAUAGUGGCGGAAUUUUUGCACAAAGUACAUCAUUUCGAGGGCUUCUUCCUCGGUAGUAUUAUAACUUCGUUCUGUAGCAACAAAUUAUCGGCUUGCAUAAUAUAUGGGAUGAUCUAAUCUUUUUUCAUCCUUUUGAUUGAGAACGGAUUCAAUAGCAACAUUAGAUGCGUCGAUAUAGAUAUAAAACGGUUUUGUCCAACAAAGUGUUACAAGAAUGGGAGCAGCUACCAAUUUCCAUUUCAAUUCGUCAAAUGUAAAAGUACAGUCUUCAGUCCAUAUUGGACUAGAUCCGUCUGACGGGGGUUACUUUAACAAGUUGAUUAACGAUUGACAGAUAACCACAAAGGAUUCAAUAAAACGUCGCUAGUAGCUGACAUGACCAAUGAAACCACGCACGUCCAACAUCGUAUCUAGCUUUGGUAAACCCAAUAUACGAGUAACUUUAUCAGGGUCCAUAGCGAUACUUUCAACAGAGACAAUGUGUCCCAAUAACUUCCCCGAUGGUAUGCCAAAUUGAUACUUCUCCGAAUUUAGAGAUAUUCCAAACUUAUCGCAUUGAUUCAAACAGUUAUCCAGACAUGCUAGAUGUUCAACCAUUGUGCUAAAGGUGCAAAAAUUGUCUAUAAACAUCUCCAUUCAUAAACAUAGAUAACCUUAAAAUGCUUGUAUCAUUACCAGUUGAAAAGUAGCCAGGGCAUUACAUAACACAAAUGACAUUACUUUAUAAGUGAAUGUAUCCCAAUCUGUGGUAAACGUUGUCGUAUUACGUGCUUUCCUGCUCGAGAAUGCACCGGGCGUCUAGUUGUAGGAGGUAGUAUGAAGAUUCGCUAAUAAUCAAGCAGUCUAUCAGUUUUUUACUGUUAGAAUAUAAAUGAUUGCAAGAAUAUAUCAUAAAUCUAUACGGAUGUCCUUCGAUUGCUCGCCGAAAUCCCUUUUGUCCCAGCCGAUAGGUCUCUAGAUGUUAUAGAGAACCCCAAACAACCCAAUCUGCUGUCACGGACAUACAUAUAAUUACCUAUAUGAAUAGAUAAAAGUAUGUAAAAGUAGAUAAAAGUAGGUUAAUUGUGUAAUAUCUUCUAGAGAAGCUUCUUAGAAGCUUCUUAGAAGCUUCAUAGACGCUGUUUUGACUUUAUAGGAGUCUAUAGUUGACUUUUAGGCUAGAAACUUGGUCAACAAGUUAGCCAUGUGCCACACAUGUUGGAAGCUUAAAGAACAAGCUAACUACGUGGUCCAUCCAUAGAAAAACUUGCCUUGUAAGCAAAGGCAUGUGGCCUAGAAAGUCAACAUAUAUUGGAGGUCUUAUAAAACAUCGCCAUGUGGCUCUAGUUAGAUAGUAUAUAUAGAGGCAAGAGUGAAGCCCUCUUCACUCUUGUCAACUCCUUUCUUGCUUCUAGUCUAGUUUCAAGGGUCUCUAGUUUUCUUGUAUUUUGGCAAUAGCCAUUCCAGUUUCUUUCUUAAUAUACAUAUUUCUAUUUUGUCCUAUUUCUUUUUGAGAAAAGUCUCACUUACUCUUUAGCUUUCAUCGAGUUCUUGUCCUUGACAGAUUGACAAGAGUACACUUACAAUAUCAGAGCUUUGUCUUUUCUUGAUUAAGAGUGGAUUACCCCUUUUUCUUGAUAAGACAUAAGCGCAUUAGAAGUUGCGGAUUACCCUCUUUUAAACUGAUAUUGUUCUUAGUAUUUUCUUUGUUAUCAAUUCCUCUCUUCUAUUUGUUUUGAGCGUUAUUAGACAUCUUCUCUUUUCUAAGUGCUACUAUGGCAGAGCUUGUUGAAAUGAAGAGUGCUAUGGCACAGAUGCAAGAACAAUUGAGGGAGUUAAUGCUUGCGAUGCAUCAACUCAAUUUACCACCACAAGGAGCAACAAGAAUGGUAGGAAGUGAAGAUAUAGAGAUGAUUGGGGCUGCUUCAACAUCUGCACCAAACCAUGUCCCUUCUCCCAGAAUGGAACACCCUUCGAGUGUUAGAGAACCGAGAGUUGCCUUGCCCGAGAAGUUUGAUGGUACCAGAUCCAAGUUUCGAGGAUUCAUCAAUCAGGUCCAACUAGUGAUUGAACUUCAAUCCCAAAGCUAUCCAACUCCAGGGUCACAAGUUAGAUUCAUUGGUACACUUCUUUCAGGUUCAGCAUUGUCAUGGUUUUCAUCUUUUCUUGAACGACGAGAUCCAAUAUUGGAUAAUUUAGAGGCUUUUUUGGCGGAGUUUCGAUCCAUGUUUGGAGAACAUGAUGCAAUUCGUGUUGCAACCAACAAGAUCCGUAUUUUGCGACAAGGCAAUCGAUCAGUAACAUUAUAUGCUUCGCAAUUUCGACAACUUGCAACUGAUAUCAAGUGGGAUGAUGCCGCACUUGUGAGUCAAUUUCUCUACGGAUUACAAUAUGAGGUAAAGAAAUUGAUGCUUAAUUUACCUGAUCCUCAAACAUUGAGUCAAGCAAUUGACUUUGUUGUGAAGUGCGACAAUCGACUUUUUGAAUUUCGAUCCGAGAGUCGCACAAGUAGGCCUCAACAUUACUACAAUUCAAUGGCAACACCGACGUCUCCUCAACACAUACCUUCAGAAGUAGAGGAUAUGCAAAUUGAUGCGGUACGUUUCAAACCUCUUACUGAGCAAGAAAAGUCUCGUCGUCGACAAGAAGGAUUGUGCUUAUAUUGUGGAGAACCUAAGCACACUGCUCAACAUUGUCCAAAGAAGCGACGUAACUACAAAAUGAGGAGUACGGCUGUCAAAGAAGACAGUAUGUCGGAAAACGAGUACGUCCAGCUACAAUAGGGACCGUGCGGCUGGAAUCUUGUACAACUUCUAAUGAAGGUCCUAUCCUCUCCUCAGAACCAUCUCCUUGUUUUAUAAUAGAUGUGCAUUUAGGACCUAAUAAUUACAAAGCCUCUGCCUUGAUAGAUUCAGGAGCCUCAGCUUGUUUUUUAGAUGGAGAAUUUGCUAGAUGUCAUAGAAUAUCAUUAAUACAAAAAACUAAACCUGUACACGUAGAAGUCAUAGAUGGUCGUCCGUUGUCUUCUGGAGAUGUAACUCACGAAACACUUCCUGUAGAUGUAGUAAUAAAUGGUCAUAGUAGUUGCGUAAUUUUUAAUAUAAUUAGAUCUCCCUCUAAUCCAGUAAUUUUAGGCUUAUCAUGGUUAGAAAAGUAUAAUCCUCGAAUAGAUUGGAUUUCUCGUAAACUUGAUUUUUCUCGGAGCAUUAGUAACAGUUCUAUUAAUCAAGUAAAAAACCAUGAGUCUAGUAUAGUAAAACCCGCACUUAUAGGUGCAAAAGCAUUUAUACACGCAGCAAAAGAAGGAUCAACUUUUGCUAUUUAUGCUGCACCUAUUUCUGAAAGCGUAAAGACUUCAAGUGGCAUUCCAAGUCAAUAUCAGGAUUAUCAAGACGUUUUUGAGAAAAAGAAUGCAGAUAUUCUUCCUGAGCAUCGCCCAUACGAUUGUUCAAUCGAUCUCAAGGAAGGAACUCAGCCACCAUUUGGACCAAUUUACAGUUUAUCGCAAGAUGAGUUGGCUAAACUCAAGACAUAUAUGGACGAGAAUUUAGCGAAGAAUUUCAUACGCCAUUCAAAAUCUCCAGCAGGAGCUCCAAUUUUAUUCGUAAAGAAAAAAGAUGGAUCUUUACGAAUGUGUGUUGACUAUCGAGGACUCAACAAGAUCACAAUCAAGAACAGGUAUCCAUUACCUUUGAUAUCAGGACUCCUUGACCAGUUAAAUCAAGCUAAGAUCUAUACAAAAAUAGAUCUAAGAGGAGCAUAUAAUCUAGUACGGAUCAAAGAAGGAGAUGAAUGGAAGACUGCGUUUCGAACCAGGUAUGGACAUUUCGAAUACAAUGUCAUGCCUUUUGGACUCACGAAUGCACCAGCUGCUUUUCAACAUCUCAUGAAUGAUGUAUUUCGUGAAUUCUUAGACAAUUUUGUCGUCUGCUACCUAGACGAUAUCCUGAUUUAUUCUAAGAAUGUUGAAGAACAUGAAAUACAUGUUCGUCAAGUAUUACAAAAACUUAGAGAUGCAGGAUUGUACGCCAAGAUAGAAAAGUGUGUAUUUCACACUACUCAAGUUGACUUUUUAGAAUACAUCAUUUCAAAUGAUGGUCUUAUGAUGGAUUCUAAGAAAGUCCAAACAAUCAUGGAUUGGAAGAUUCCAAAGACUGUAAGAGAUGUCCAAUGUUUCUUGGGAUUUGCCAAUUACUAUCGGAUCUUCAUCAAAGACUUCUCACGAGUUGCAGCUCCACUUACACGCUUGACUAGUAAAGAUAAAUUCCAAUGGAAUCAAGAAGCGGAAGCAGCAUUUGAAGCCUUGAAGACAUCGUUUGUCUCUGCACCAGUCUUAUAUAGUGUUGACUUUUCCAAGGUAUUUUUUAUGGAAACAGAUGCAUCGGAUUUUGCCUUGGGUGCAGUUUUAUCACAAAUGGGAACAGAUGACAAACUUCAUCCGAUAGCUUUUCAUUCAAGAAAAUUCUCAGCAGCCGAGAUCAAUUAUGAGAUCCACGAUAAAGAACUUCUUGCAAUCGUGGAUUCUUUUUAAGAAUGGCAUCAUUAUCUAGAAGGUGCUUCUAGUCCAGUCACUGUGUAUACAGAUCAUUAGAACCUCGAGUAUUUCAUGUCAGCACGCGUGUUGAAUCGUCGUCAAGCUCGUUGGAGUAUGUCUUUGUCAAGAUUCGACUUCAUUAUCACUUAUCGGCCAGGAAAACAACAAGGUUUGUCCGAUGCCCUAUCUAGACGUUCUUAUUUUGCACCAAAAGAAGGAGAUGCAGCUUUUGAGCAACAAAGAACGGUCCUCUUGAAACCGGAGCAAUUUCAUCUCCGAGCAGUGAAAUCAACACUGACUGUUGAUUCAACUUUUCUCAAGCAAAUCCAGUCCAGUAUGUCCUCAGACCCUCUUGUUCAUGAUAUCGAGAAUAAUUCUUCCAAGUCUCAUGAUUCUUCUAAGUUCGAGUUCAAGAAUAAUCUAUUAUAUUUUGAAGGACGCCUAUAUGUUCCAGAAGGAAAAGCACGUUUGCGUGUUCUUCAAGCACGUCAUGACUUUCCAGCAGCAGGUCACUUUGGAUAUAAUAAGACUCUGGAACUCAUAUCAAGAGAUUUUUGGUGGCCACAAAUGUGGAAGUCAGUCAAAGACUUUGUACAAUCAUGUGAUAUUUGUUCAAGAUCAAAAAUUCCUCGACAUCGACCUUACGGACUUCUUCAGCCAUUACCUAUACCAGAACAACCAUGGUCUUCUGUUUCUAUGGAUUUCAUCACAGAUCUUCCAAACUCAAGAUCUUAUGAUUCUAUAUUUGUGAUAGUAGAUCGUUUCACCAAGAUGGCACAUUUUAUGCCAUGUACAAAAUCUAUCACAGGUGAAGAAAAAGCUAAGCUUUUCAUUGAUAAUAUCUAUCGCUAUCAUGGAUUACCUAAAGAUAUCAUAUCGGAUAGGGGAACUCAAUUUGUGUCGAGAUUCUGGAGGACUCUUUUCAAGAUUUUAAAAGUGGACAUAAAGCUAUCUUCAGCUUUCCAUCCUCAAACUGAUGGACAAAUAGAGCGCGUAAACCAAGUCUUGGAACAGUAUUUAAGGUGUACCAUCAACUACCAACAAGAUGAUUGGACAAACCUUCUGCCAUUGGCAGAGUUUGCUUAUAAUAAUACGGUACAUUCCUCCACGCAACAAACACCUUUCUUUGCCAAUUAUGGCUAUCAUCCACGACUUGAUACUUUUGAUUUUUCAAAAGUUGAUAAUCCUGCAGCAGAAGAUAUGGCAAAUCGGUUGUCAGAGUUACAUGCAAUAAUGAAGGCGCAGUUGAAGAAAGCUCAAGAACGACAAAAGAUAAAUGCAGAUGUAUAUCGUAAAGAGCAACCACAACUCAACGUGGGUGAUAAGGUAUGGCUACUUCGUCGCAAUAUCAAGACCACUCGACCUUGUGACAAAUUGGACUAUCGUAGGCUUGGCCCCUUUUUUGUUUCUGAACAGAUCAACCCAGUUGCAUAUCGGUUACAUCUACCGGAGUCAAUGAAGAUCCAUCCUGUAUUCCACGUGUCUCUUCUUGAACCAUAUAAGACAAUGGAUAUACAAGGAAGAAGACAAAUGCCACCGCCUCCUAUAGAAGUAGAUAAUAAUGAAGAAUUUGAGGUGGAAGAGAUAUUAGACUCAAAGCGGCGCCGAAAUAAGCUGGAAUAUCUUGUUCAUUGGCACGGAUAUGACAUUAGUGAGCGCACAUGGGAGCCAUCCAGGAAUCUAGCAAAUGCAUCAGCUAAAGUCAAAGUUUUUCAUCAACGACAUCCAUCAAAACCAAGAUGAAAACCUCUCUUAUAAAAGAGACAAGAUUGAGGCAAGAUAACAUUCAAUUUCCUAUCCUUGUUUGUAACUUCUUUACAUUUGUGACACUAAUUAGAUGGAGAGCCAACAACCAGCGGAUUCAACUCAAGAACCUUCGUUUGCUGACCUGCCGGACGAGACAUUACGAUUGUCACAACCUUCAAGACGACGCAAUCGAGAUGAAGAUCUUCAAGAACGACAUGUUCUUCCUCGAACAGAUGGUGAGAUACAACGCGUUUGGUAUCACGAUUUGGGAAGGGAUUCUCGAUGUUUGGUGAUAUUAUUAGAGAUAGGAACGACUCCUGAUGGUAUUUCAAAUGUAUUAUUUGAAGGAAGUUAUGAAGGCCUCAACAGUGAUCAAAUAACAGGGUGGUCUUCUCGCCCUGGAAUGGGACACUAUCGAUGGCUAAGAGGACCCAUCAACUAUCUUCGAAGAGAACAAAGAUCAGAGUAUGUAGCAAAUACAAUUCGCCGCAUAUUAGACUUUCUCAAUAUAUAAUCACCGCUCCUCGUGGAACUCGUCCCUAGAAGGGGGGGUAAUGUCACGGACAUACAUAUAAUUACCUAUAUGAAUAGAUAAAAGUAUGUAAAAGUAGAUAAAAGUAGGUUAAUUGUGUAAUAUCUUCUAGAGAAGCUUCUUAGAAGCUUCUUAGAAGCUUCAUAGACGCUGUUUUGACUUUAUAGGAGUCUAUAGUUGACUUUUAGGCUAGAAACUUGGUCAACAAGUUAGCCAUGUGCCACACAUGUUGGAAGCUUAAAGAACAAGCUAACUACGUGGUCCAUCCAUAGAAAAACUUGCCUUGUAAGCAAAGGCAUGUGGCCUAGAAAGUCAACAUAUAUUGGAGGUCUUAUAAAACAUCGCCAUGUGGCUCUAGUUAGAUAGUAUAUAUAGAGGCAAGAGUGAAGCCCUCUUCACUCUUGUCAACUCCUUUCUUGCUUCUAGUCUAGUUUCAAGGGUCUCUAGUUUUCUUGUAUUUUGGCAAUAGCCAUUCCAGUUUCUUUCUUAAUAUACAUAUUUCUAUUUUGUCCUAUUUCUUUUUGAGAAAAGUCUCACUUACUCUUUAGCUUUCAUCGAGUUCUUGUCCUUGACAUCUGCUAAUCUCCGAUACUGAUUUAUACUCAUGACCUUGUAUCCACUGACUGUCUUCUUAGAUUAACCCAAAAAUUUUCAUUCACUCUGCAUACUCAAUUCUAUAGACACCUUUUUAAUUCUUCAAUCACAGACGUAACUUCGAUUUCACAAAACAGUCAAGAGUAAUCACACCCACUUCAUUAAAACCCUGAUUCAUCAGUACAACACAUCGAUCUUUUAACAUUGAUUGCCAAAAGUUCCUUUUCUGACCCCUAUCCAAAAACCUUGUAUCCUCCCUUUUUCUUAACCUCCCUAAUUCCUGAAUCUCUGAAUCCUCUCCUCUACCCUAAUCAUUUCUGAAUGUUUUUUUCUCUCCCUCUCUCAAACCCUAGCCUUUGAAUUUCUUCAAUCUUCUGUCUUGGAUCUGGAAUUGGCCCUGCCAUCAAAGCUUUCUCUUCCAUUUUUUGCCUUUUAAAAGGUUCUUUUUUUAGAAAUAACGUUCCCUAAAACGGCACAGAGAACAUGACAACCUGAAACGAAAUCGAAACCCCUGUAAUCGGGACCACAUUGAGUCGCCCGACCAAAUCAGGUCUCAUAUUGGCUAAGAGGCUUGUAAUAAGACCUGGAUGUUCCCGUAAUUGGGUCAAAUUGGUCCUUUGCGUCAGGCUCGCUCAGUCAUCGAUUUAGUCCUUUCGAUUCUGUUGACUCCCAUUAUUGGACUCGAAUAGAGCAUUUCAUUAUUGGUAAGUAUGCCUUGACUGAUUGUGAUCGGAUGUCUGAACUAGUCCCUGAAUAUUGGCACUGCAAUCGGUCGUUGCUCCCAAUAUUCGAGGUAAACGAACAUUAAUAAAAGUCCCCUUUCUUUAUAUUUUCAUAGUAUACUCGUGUUACAAUACGACAACGUAAUCUUUAACUGAUCUUCUUCAGCAAUUUUAAUUUGAUUAUACUCCAAAAAUCUGUCCAAAAAUGAGUAACAUUCAUGUCCGGCCACUGCCUCCAAAAUACUGUCUGUAAAUGGUAAUGGAAAAUAGACCUUCUUAAUAGCCACAUUUAACUUUUGAAAAUCCUGACAUAUCCUGAUUUUUCUAUUCUUCUUCGGUACCAUCACGAUUGGCGACACCCAUGUACUAUGCGGAACAGGAUAAAUAAAAUCCACGUUGAGAAGUUUAUCCAAUUCCUCUUUCAUUAAAAGGAAAUAUUUUGGAUUAAGCCGGUGUUGUCUUUAAUGAACUAAUAUAACACCCUCCUCUAAAAUAAUCUGGUGCUCACACUCGUUGGCUAGAAUCCCUUUCAAAUCCGCAUACAACGACGCAAAGGCAGAUUUGUGAUGGACAAAAAAUUGUUUCUAAACAUUCAAUUCCAUACUUAUAAUAUCGACAUAUAUUUUAAUUAGCUGUGGCAUUUCGUUGGUGCCUAGAUUAAUGGAUUGACACACAGGGUCUUUUACAACCUUUGAUUUAAUUAUCUUCUCCUGAUCUCAAUAUCUUAUAUUAUCCGACAUAUAGAAACUACCCAAUUUUGGUUCCAAUGUGGUGACUCUACUGAUUGAGGGAUUGUUCAUCCAUUCGGCAAUAGUAUAAUCGGAGUUAGUCGCAUCCUCUUCAUGCAAUAAAUAUUCAUUGGGACCUCCACAUUGGUAGACUCCUGCCUUUAUUGUUGAAGUAUUUUGUCCUACCACAAAUUGUGGUGAACCUAUAACAUCGUCAUCUCCCUCAAUCGAUUGACUCUUGUUGUCCGAUGUAAAUUUUGAUUCUGACAAUUGAGAUUCUCCAUGAUAUUAUACUAAAUACAUCUGUAGAACGAUCUGGUCCCGACCUUUUCCAAUUGUCAAUGUACCUCGGUGCCAAUUGUUCUUAAUUUUGGCUUGAUAAAGCCAAGGUUUGUCCAAUAAAAUGGAAUAUGAUAAUGUAGAACUCUGUAAUCAAAAUACAAUAUAAUCGAUUUUGUAUGUCAAUCCCAUGAUUACAAUGGCAAUAUUGCGUAAGAUUCCCAUUGGCUUUAUCCGACUAUGAUCUGCCAUUUGCAAGACCAAUGUUGUAGGUAGCAAUUGCUUUAGAUCCAAGUCCUCCAUUGUAACUGCGUUCAUUAAAUUCACACUGGAACCACCAUCAACUUGUAUCCUUGGAAUUAAAACACCAUCGAUUGAUACAUCGAUUGUUGGUGCUUCCAGAUCUGGAUUUAAGUUAAUUUCAUGAAUUUCUUUAGUGCGGGAUCUUCAUCGUAUUAACGCUAAAUUCAAUGUAGAUCGAUAUUUUGGUGCUACUGCCAAAAGUUGCUUCAUUGUAAUUGAAGGCUGAAUAACAUCCAAAUCCUUCAGAAUGUCAUAGGAUUUCAUAUUGAGAAUAAUUUCCAAUGUUCUUUUGCAUUUCAUUCGUUUUGAUUUUACUCCGUUCGGCAGCAAUUCCUUCCUGGUGAUUGGAAUUAUCGCUGAUAACUUUGUCAACUUUUUUACUACUAAAAGUUCCUUUAAUGCAUAAGAUCUUUUAUUAGGCUGUACAAGUAUUGGUACUUAGUCAUUUGGGAUCGAUCUUGAAGGUCCCGACAAAUUGGCACAUGGAACCGAAUUGGAUUCUUCAAUCUGUUGAGGUCCCAACAUUGGGAUAUGUCCCAAUACUGAUAUUGGUUUGUUUAGCCAUGUGGAUGGUGCUAGUUGCUCUCCUACGAUUGGUUUAUGUAGGUCUUGAAUUGGAUUCUUGUCUUUUUGUUGGCCUCUGGUAAGCAUUGCAUUCACCACGUCGACAUGAUGUCGGGAUAGAGAAGUUUUGCCUCAAGAAAGCGUUGGACUUCUGGCUGUCACUAAUUGCUCAAUCAAGCUUAAAAUAAGAAAACCCUAAUUUUAUAUAUAUAAGUUCUCCUUUUGGGACAAUUACACCAAAUACUUAAGUCUUAAAUAACCAACAACACCCAAAAUAUGGUAGAAGUACUCUAAAACCUUGUAUAUCCUUGUGUGGAAAUUCUCCCGAACCUCAACACCUCAUAACUCUUGAUCCAAUUGUCCAAACAAGAUCAAACUUUACAUAAAGUACUGAUAUGUUGUUAUUAAUUUGUACAACAAAUUUCAACUGCAAAUUCGUCUCGGAUCUUGAGAUAUCUUCAAAACCCUAAUAGUCGCUUCAAACCCUAAUCUUUAUAUACCCACGCGCAAUUUUCUUCAUAUCUCACAAACCAUAAGUCAAAAUGCCACGAAACUUAUGUAGAUAGCUUUUUAACACAAAUUUUUACAUUGUCCCAAAGUUUGAGCCAAAAUUUCAUUCAAAAACUCAAGUUAUGGCUCCUAACACUACUUUGAACAAAACCACUCACUUACUGCCUUUGAUUUGAAUGCAUUGUCUUUAACUCCCUAUAACUCCUUUACAUAAACUCCAAAUGCAAAAUUUUCUUUGCAAAAGAUGUAUGUCUUGAAGUUGCCCUUCCAGCCGCACCUUUCGAUCUCCAAAAGCUUCCGUGAGACUCCUCUUAAACUCAAAAUAGUAACAGUAGGUCUCAAAUUGACACCUUAACUUCAAACGGCUAUAACUUAUUCACCCUAACUCCAAACCCUAUAAAAUUUGCACAAAAAUUGUAGCCAAAACCCUAAACUUUACAAUCCUUGACUCUGAUUUCCUAAUGGCCUCUUUGAAGUCGCCGAAACCCUUAUCAAGGUCGCGGGCAGCCUCCUAAAAGCCCAUUGGGCAUGGAUUUCGACCAAUGGGGAUGAAGAUCCUUAUUUCUACCUUCAUCCAACCAUGCCUUGGUUUCAUCCCUCCCAAUUAACCUCCUAUUAGUUUAAAUCUUCAUCUUUAGGCCCCUAUCUCCUCUCAAGGCUUCAUACUUAACAUUAAGGUUCUAUAACUUUUAUAUACUAUAAUCAAACUAAGUAAGGAAAAUAAAAUAAAGUUUUUUUUUUAUACCAACUUUUUUUAAUUUAAUCUAUUAUCCACUCUAACAUACAUUUAGAUUUAUUAACAUUUAAUGUGUUUUAAAUAAUUUUUACAUAGUGUAAGUAUUUACAGUACGACAACGAGGUACUGGUGAGUCCCAUUGAAUAGGACCUUUGUCUUCCGCCGGUUGGCUUGUUUGCAUUUACUGGUCUCGGUUAUUAUAAUUAAAGGGCGCAUUGCAUUGCUGAUAAGUGUGACCAGACUGCUUAUAAUUUCCACAUAUUGAAUUAUAGUCAUCACUAGUCUUUGGAUUAGGACAUUCACUCGCAUAAUGUCCGAUUUGUCUGCAAUGAUAGCAAUGAAGUGGUCUCCUGCCAGCUCCUUUAGGGAUAUUGGAUGUCUCUAUUGGGAUGUACCGGCUCGACCUGUUUCAGGUCGGAUGGGUAAAUGAUCCCGAUUAUCCAAUUGGUACUGCAAAAUUCGAAUUUGAUUGCUAAAAGGGUUGAUAUUGGAAAUACUUUUGCUGAUUUUGUACCAUUCCUUGAGCAUUGGUUCCGUAUUCUUGAUUGUAUACCAAAUUUUGAAAUUUGGAAAAAUUUCUAUUUGGCUUAUUGGAACGAUUUCCUUUCCAGCCAAACCUAUUUCUUGUAUGAAUUCGGUUAAUAUCCCACGAAGUCGGUUGGAUCAUUAUCUGGUUACUGAGUUAUUGUUGUUUCUGUAAAUUCCAAUAAUUGGUGGUAAUAUGCUUGCCCCCGCAAAAGGUACAUUAUACAGUCAUUUGAGGUGGUGAAGGACAUUCUGUUACUAAAUGACCUUGUCCUUUAUAAUUGCUGCACCAGACAUUGGGACGCAUAUUGGUUGGUUUAUGCCUUUUUUCUUUAUCCUUGGCCAAAUUCACAGCCAAUUCAUCCAUUUUUUUCGUCAAUGUUAAUAGCAAUGACUCAUUGGAAUUCCUUGAUACCAAUGCAUUUGGCAAUUCCUUCGUAGGUAUUAGUUUUUGAUAUGUGGAAUAAGGCGCAUACAAGUGUGAUGAUAAUUGUGGUACAGCUUGCAAUGGGACGGCAUCCACUAUUCCCUGUGGAAUUGUACCAUAAUCAUUCCUUCUCAAAUAACUUUCCGAUGCAUCAUUCCAAUUUGUCAUUUGAUAACCUCCUUGAGAUGGAAUCAUCUUGGCUCCAAUUGUUAAGUUCUGGUCAUAGUGACAUUCCUCCCAUACUUUUGCUCGCUCAAGAGAUGAUGCAAUGGUGGCUAAUUGGGCCUCCUUUACAAACAUCUUCAAUUCUGGUAGAUGUAGUCCAUUAACUAAUAUGGACAACACAAACGAUUUCAGCAUUUGGUUAUUUGGCCAUUUUCGAAGUAUAUCUGCUACACUACCAUAAUAUGACUAUAUCGCUUCCCUUGGUACCAUUCUGCUGUUCAUUAAUUUUUCUCUAAGACGUUUUUCAAAACCAAUUGGUCAAAAAUGGGCUAAAAAUGUAUUUUUCAAUGCCUCCCAAUUGAUAAAUUGUCCCAUAGGUUGGCGGUUAUACCACUCAAACGCUGUGUCUUUAAAUGUCGUUGGUAGCCAUCUCAGUCAAAUGUCUUAUGUUCUUCUAUUAUUGGCUACAAAUGUCGUCAAGAAUUGAAACAUAUAUUGAUUUGAAUCUACACUUGGUAAACUCCAAAAAGUAGGUAAUGGCGUGACGCUAGUUGUUCAAUCGCCCACUGCACCCAUUUGAAUUGCAAUCGAAACGACUGGUCCUCCUGAUACCAUUGAAUUUUUUAUUUCGCUAAAUUUCAUUUUAAAACAAUCACUGCUUCUCCUUAUUCUAAUUUUCAGGCUCUCAAUGCUCCUUGAUUUACUGUUAUUUUUUGUAAAUAGUUUUAUAGGUUGAAUUGCAGGUAAAAACAUCGAAUUUUGAAAUACAAUAUAUUUAUGUUUAUUGGCGACUAAUUUGUGCCAAUCUAAAGAGCCACUAUUGCUUGUUUCGGUGGUACCUACUAUUGGAAAAAUAUCCAAUGGAGUACCCAAUUCUUCUAUGCUUCCACUUUCAGUUAAUGGCCUCAAGAUUCUCGCUAGAAUAUUAACAAAAUUUCCCGCGAGUGUUGUUGGUAAUUUUUCUAAUGGUACAUACAACUGUAGAAUUAACAGUCUGUUCGGUUCUUGAUAUGUUUGGAUACGGCGACAAGCUUGCAACCACAGUUUAAUCCAACACUAUCGAUGCUUUUUUUUAAGAUUAUGUUCUUGCUUCUUUCUAAGCAAGUUCCUUCCUUGCGCUCUUUUCUGUCUUUCUCUCAACUGAUUUAUUUUCCUCGAUGCAAUAUUUUUAUUCUUAUUAACCAUAAUCUUUCUUUAUAUACUUUUGAAUUUGCUUCAUAUUUCCCAUCUAUUCAUCUGGCAGUUAAUUCCUAACACUCAACGAUAUUGUCAAUCCCCGAUAGCGGUGCCAAAAUGUGAUUGUCAUUUUACUUAUUCUAGAAGAAAACUCCCAAAAUAAACCUAUAUAGGGAAAUUCGAACACAUGAAAAGACCAUGUAUAUGAGCUCUAAUUGUUAGGGUCACACAAUUAACCGCUACUGCUGAAUGCUUACAAUUCCAAAGAACACUUAACUUUUCCUCCUACUGUCCACUCUCUCAUAUCAAUACGAUAACAAACACGACAUCAAUUUCAGUACCCUGUGUAAUUCAUGAACACAUAAGCAUAAUCCAAACCCUGGAACGAACAACUUCCAAUCCACAGAAUCUGAUUGAGACAAUUCCUUCAAUUACAAUUCCUCUCCACUGAACUCACAACCUUGCGAUAAACAAUGACUGAAAACUUCCAUACAUCAUCAAUCUUUCACAACAAUUGAUAAAUAGUGAUCCAUAAAUAACUUUGUAUAUCAAACAUUGAUUCAUUAAAUCGAUUCUUUUUACUAGAAUCAACACUAAUAUAAAAGAAACAAGAAAAUUAAGAAGAAGAGAUAGUACCAAGCUUAUCCCGGCUCAGUACUAUCGCAGUCUGGCAUUUCGGCUCAUAACUAUCACAGUCUGGCAUUUUCUUCUUUUCUCCCAUCCUCCUUAUACUACCGUGAGAUACCAACUCCUAUACUAUGGAUGAUAACUACUUUUCCUGGCUAUUCAUCCAUUCUACCUGUUGAACCACCUUUUCAGCAGUUAUCUAUCUUUGUUUACACUAUACACUAGAUAUCUAUAUUUUGAAAAUAACUACUUAUUCUAUUGCCACUUAUUCUUUUCAUAUAUCUAUCUUGAUAUAAUAUUGAUUUCAAAUCCAUGAUUAAUUAAGGCCAAAAUUGGAUCUUUAGAAUGUUUUGAUCUUACAUAUAUUUCUAUAGUAGUUCUUGUCUAGUAAAAAAUUGAAUGGCUAUUAUUUCCUAUUCCAUCAUUAUUAUAUUUAGAGCAAGUGUUUAUACAUGCUUCUUGUGUAAUCUUCAAAGCUUCUAAAAUUUAUAUACAAAUUGUAGCUCAAAUCCUAAAUCUUAUUGAAGAAAGAGAAAUUAGAGCCAUAACACUUAGCAUCAGUAAGGUUGCAUACAAAGAAAAGUAUGGAAUAAGAUGUUUCUCUCUUUCAACACCCAUUACUUAAAGAAGGUGGCUAUUGCCCUUAUAAACAACUUCCAUCUUUUGAUGAAUACAUCCAUCCAAUAUUCUACGGAGGAUAUCUAUUACUAUCCUAUAUACCAUAGUAACAUCUUUUAAUCUCUUGUUAUCUUUUAACUAUUAGCAACUUAUUAUGAUUUAACUUUAUGUGGUGGCAAGUAUGUAAGAUCUUGUUGAUCUUCAAUACUCCCACUUUGUUAAUUAUCAAAAUAUUUUCAAUCCUAAUGCCUCUAUCACCAUAUCCAUUGCAUCUCUUUUAGUUCUAAAUACCCACUUACAACCAACAUUAAAUCGAUUUGCUAGAAGAUAUGCCAAUUUCCAUAUACCAUUGUUUAUAAGAGAUUUUUAUUCUUCUUCUACACCCUUCUUCCACUUCUUUGCAUCUUAAAACUUUAUAACAUCAAAUGAAGACAAUAAAUCAACAAAGAGAGCAACAUUUGCAUGUUCUUCACUUACUUGAGAAAAGAUGUGGUUCUUCCAUCAUUUGCCAUAAGGUCUUCUAUAAACUCAACAUCAUGACUUUUGAUGAUCUUUUUGGUAUCCAAACACAUUAGCCUAUAUGCCUUAGUACCUUCACAAUAUUCUAAGAAAAUACACUUUGUAUCUUUUGCAUCAAGUUUGGACCUCAUACAAUCUCGUGUCUUUACAUAUACAAUCAUUUCAAAGGUCUUUAUAUGUGAAAUGUAAGGUCGUCUCCUACUCCAAGCUUCUUGUGGUAUCAUUGAUGCAAGAGGACUUGUUGAACACCUAUUCUUUGCAUAUACUACAUUCACCACAACUUCCGUUGAAAACUCAUAGCUAAGAUUUUGAGCAUGAAGCAUGUUUCUUGCCAUCUCUACAAUGGUUUGAUUUGUUCUUUCAGCAAUACUAUUUUCUUGUGGAAUAUAUGGAGUUGUUAUUUGUCUAACAAUUCCUUCAUUCUUCAAAUAAACAUCAAAUUACUUAGACAUAUACUUACAUCCAUUGUCUAUAUAUAGCACCUUAAUUUUGUACUCACUUUGUUUCUCAAAAAAUGCUUUAAAUUCGUUAAAUUUCUAAAAAUACUCAUUUUUUGCUUUAAGAUUAUAAAUCAAAUUUUUUUAAAAAAAUCAUCAAUGAAAAUGAGAAAAUACCUUGUUCUUCUAAUAUUUUUGUUCUUCAUAGGUCUACAUACAUCUGAAUGGAUAAUCUCCAACAACUUCAUAGCACGUUGUCAUACUGUAAAUGCUUACAAUAUGUAAAAAUUAGCUAAAACAUAUUAUAUGUUGAUAAAUCUAGAUGUGUGUUAGAGUGGCUAGUAGAUUAAAUUAAAAGGAGUUGGUAUAAGAAACUUUACUUUGUUUCUUUACUUCUUUUGAUUUUGACAUUAAAAUAUAUAUAUAUAUAUAUAUAUAUAUAUGACCUAAAUAUUUUGUAUGAAGCCUUCGGAGAAGGUGGAAACCUAAGGAUGAAAAUCUAAACUAGUAGGAGGCUAAUUGAAAGAGAUGAAAGCAAGGCAUGGUCGGAUGAAGACAAGGAAUGGGAAACUUCAUCCCUAUUGGUCGAAUACCAUGCCCAAUGGGCUUCAAGGAGGCUGCCCGAGGCCUUAUUAGGGAUUAGGGUUCCUCUUUCGAGGACAUUCACAGAUUACAAGCUAGAUUUGUAAAUUUUAGGAUUUGGGGUACAAUUUGUGUAUAAAAAUUAGAGGCUUUGGAGCUAGGGUGAAAAGUUAUAGCCAUUUGAAAUUAAGGUGUUUAUUUAAGACAUACUGUUACUCUUUUGAGAGUACGAGGAGUUUUACAGCAGCUUUUGAAGAUCGAAAGGUGCGACUAGAACGGCGAUUUCAAGGUCUACAUCUUUCACAAAAGAAUUAUUGCUUUUGGAGUUCAUAUGAAGGAGUUGUAAGGAGUUGAAAGCAGCGCUUCUAAAUCAAAGGCAGUAAGUAAGCGGUUUUGUUUGUAGUAAUGGUUGGAGCCAUAAUUUGAGUAUUCGGAUGAAUUUUUGACUCAAAAUUUUUGGAGAAUGUAAAUUUUUGUGUUAAAAAGCUAUACAUACAAAUUUCGUGGAAUUUAAGCUUAUAUUUUGUGAGAUAUGAAGAAAAUUUCACGCGGUUGUAUAAAGACAAGGGUUUGAAGCGGCUGUUAGAAUUUUCAAGAUAUCUCAAGAUCUGCAACGAAUUUGUGGUUGAAAUUUGUUGUAGAAGUUAAUAAGAAUACAUUAGUAUCUCAUGUAAAAUUUGAGUUUUUUUGGACGGUCGGAUUAGGAGAUAUGAGGUGCUGAAGUUCGGGAAAAUCUCCACAUUAGAAUAAACAAGGUUUUAGAAGAUUUUAUCAUAUUUUGGAAGUUGUGGGUUACUUGAGGAUUGUGUAUUUGGUUUAAUUACUCAAAAGGGAAAAAAUUAUAUAUAAACUUAGUGCUUCUCUUAUUUUCAAGCUUGAUUGAAUAAUUAGUGACAACGAGAAGCCCAGCAUUUUCUUGAGGCAAAUUCUCUCUACUCCAACAAUGUGUUGCUACACCACUUGGAAAUAUUUCUUUUUGUUGUUUGCCUUGUAUGCAUCCUUCACAUGCAAAUUAUAUUGCAUUUUGGUUUGUUUUAUCAAGAUCUAAGUCCCUUAUCAUGGACUUAAACUUUGCCAUGUUCUUCACAUUUCAAUGGCCAAGGCGACAAUGCCAUACAUUCAACUUAACUUGAUUUGAUAUAAACUCAAAAAAUAUAGCUACUUCUACUCUAUUGACCUUCUUACACUUGAAGUAGUAUAAAUUUCCCUUUCUAGAAUCUUUGGAAAUCAUGUUUCUAUACAAUGUUUUUACAAAACAUCCAUUCUUGUUGAAUUGAACUAUAAAACCUUCUAUUACAAGUUUACUCAUUGAAAGUAGAUUUUGCUUCAUCUUAGGUACAUAGAUGAUAUUUUUGAAUUUGAUCUUAUUGGUUUUUCCAUUCACAACAACCUCUACCAUAAUAAAACCAAUUCCAAUGGCUUCACAGGUGCCACUAUCUCCCAAAAUCACAUUUGAUACUGAAAUAGCAUCAUAAGUACCAAAUGAAUACUUACAAGGUGUCAUAUGCUUGGAACAACCUGAAUCUAUAAUCUAUCUUGACAUGGCAGCUAUAGAGAUCUUAUUUGUUGCUAAAAAUAUAUAAUCUUAUCCUCUAAAUUUAUCUUGUAUACUAUUUGCAUUCUUCAUUUCUAUCCUUUUGUCUUUAUAGAAAUUUUGAGCAAAAUGUCCUACUUUGCCACAAAUUAAGCAAGUUUUGAUAUUAUCUCAUUGAUUUGAAUAAUUGCCCUUGUCUUGUCAUAAGUAGAGUGUUGAAUUUUAAUUUAGAGAGUCUUUUUCUUUCUUCUUGGUUACGUUAUGGCUAAGUCUUAUUAUCGCAUAGUCCAUUAUGAGUUCUUUCAUCUUGAUGGAUUUCAAAGCCACAAUGAGAUAGUUAUAAGAUUCCAAAAAGCUCAUGAGUAGAGUCAUGACAACAUCUACUUUCUCUAAGGACUUGUCAACAACUAUAAGCUGAUUUACAAGUGCCUUCACCUUGUUGAUAUGUACCAUGAGGUCUUCACCUUCUUCCAUCUUACAUGUGAAGAACUUCUUUCUUGUGUAGAUGAUGUUAGAUAAGUUCUUGCUCUCAAAGAUGUUGCAAAGAGUCUUCCAUGUUUCCACUGAUUCUUUGUAUGAAAUAAUGUGGGAGAAGUUGGCUUCAUCCGCAUUGCAUGCAAUUAAUCCAAAGGCCUUCUUUUCAGGACAUUUGUAGUUUUAUUUAUUUUUUUAUUUUUUUAUUUUUUUUGUAUCAGCAAGCAUGCUUGGAGGCUAUUUACUUUCAUCUACAAUAUCUUAAAGGUCCAAAAAAGCCAAAAAAAAGCUCUAUUUUGACCUUCCAAUGAUAGAAAUUUUCACCUCUAAACUUUUCAAUUGCUCUCAAGCCUUCACCUUCACUUGAAGCUAUCUUUAAAGAAGAGAAGUAUCAAAAAAAAAUCAAGAAAAAUAGUCCUCAAUCUCUCAAAAUCAGCAAGAAGGAGUUGCUACCUUAAAAUCUUAGAAUGCCUUUUUUGUAAAUAAAUUAGUAUUUUCACUCUCAAAACACUUUCAACUUUACUUCUAAGUCCUCUCAUAAGUUCAAUGAUCAAUGUAAACAUCUCAAAUCAGAUUUUUCACUCUUCUAUCACUUUUAUAUUCACAAAUCAUGUCUAGACAUUAUAAAAGGUCUUUUAAGCACUUUAAGCUCUUUGAACAUAUGAAACCACAAAGUUAGUCUACAAAAGAGCUUAAUCAAUCAGCAAAUACAAUACUAGUAUUCUAUACCAUCACCAUAAGGUGCAAAUCAAACCUUGAAUCCAAGAUGCACUUAAUAAUAAAUAAGAGCAAUCAAAGAUCUAAAUCUAGAUCUCAAUCUAAAAAUUAAGAAUAUCAAAAUCCUAAAAAUAAUAUGAUCUACUCCAUACAACAACAAAAACUUCAUAAAACUUCAAUGAAACUCAUAAAGAAAUGUAAGUGGAUCCAUAACCUAUUAAAGAGAGAGAAGUUAGAAGCGACAAUACUUAACAUCAGCAAGGUUGCACACAAAGUGAAGUAUGGAAUAAGAUGUUUUUCUCUUCUAACACCCAUUACUUAAAAGAAGUGGCUGUUGCCUUUAUGAACAACUUCCAUCUUUGAAUGAAUACAUCCAUCUAACAUUCUACCGGAGCUAUCCAUUGGUAUUUUAUUUAUUAUAGUAACAUCUUUUAAUCUUUUGUUAUCUUUUGACUAUUAGCAACUUACUAUGGUUUAACUUUAUGUGGUGGCAAGUAUAUAAGUACUUGCUGAAUUUCAACAAAUCUUACAAUCCUUCCAUUUGAUUAUCAAAUAUCUUUUUUGAAGUUACCAAAAUCCUUGUUAUAGUUAUAGAUAGCUUGUUUAAUGCCUAUUGGGUAUUGCAUUCAAUUAAUAGGAAUGAAGAUCUUUACCUUUAGCCUUCAUUUAUCCAUACCUUAUUUUCGUCCUUCCAAAUAAGUUUCUUAGAAUUUUGGAUCUUCAUCUUUGAGCUCCAAUCUUUUUUUAAAAUUUUAUACUAAAUAUAUAAAUUUUAUAUAAUUCAAUUAUUAAAAUCAAAAUAGGUAAAUUUAAAAAUAAAUAUUUUUACAUCAACUCUCUUUAAAUUAAUCUACUAACUAUUUUAAUAUAUAUCAAUACUUACAAAUAUAUUAUAUAUUUUAAUUAAUUUUUAAAUAUUAUAAAUAAUUAUAAUACAAUAAUACUUUUACAUAGCUUUUAGAUAGAUAGUAUAUUUAGAGGCAAGAGUGAAGCCUUCUUCACUCUUGUCAUUUUAUUUUUUUAGUCCAGUUUUAAGAAUCUCCAAUUUUCUAGUCUUUUGUAAUAGCCAUUCUAGUUUUUUAUUAAAUAUUUUUAUUUUCUUAUUUCUAAUUUAUCAUCUCACUUUGAUUUAUUUUUAAUUUAUUUAUGUAUCUUUUUUGAAUUCUUUUCCUUGAUAGAUUGACAAGAGUCCUAACUCAUUCUUCUUACUUUGUUUUUAGAAUAAAGCAGAUUAUUCCACUUCAAACAAUAGUUUAAUCAAUAAUAGAAGUAGAAUAAUUUAUUCCAUUCUAAAUCUUUAAUCUUAGUUGAAAUCCUAAUGGACUUCAAUUAAAUUCUAAGCUAAAUUCUAAAUCCUAAAUCCUAAAUCCUAAAAAAAUUCUGAAUUCUAAAUCCUGAACCAAUCCUAAAUCUUAAAUCCUAAAAAAAUCUUAAAUAUCAAAUCCUAAGAAAAUCCUAAAUCUCAAAUUCUAAGAAAAUCCUAAAUUCAAUCUUAAAUUCUAAUCAAAUCCUAAAUCUUAAUCAAACUUUAAUCAAACCUUGAGCAGAUCCUAAAUCUUAAAUCUUAAGCAAAUACUAAAUCAAAUUCUAAAUUCUAAUUUAAUCUUAAAUCUUAACUAAAUUUUAAUCAAAUCCUAAAUCUUGAUUCAAUCCUAAUCCUAAACCAAUUCUUAAUUAAAAUCUAACCAACUCAACUUAAUCCUAAUACAAUUUAAAAUCUCAAUAUCUAUUGAUUAAACUAUUCAUCUUAUUUAAAAUUUUAUAUAAUUUUUAAAAACUAAAUUAGAAAAAAAGAUAUAAAAUUUAAAGAUAACUAUACUUAUCAAAUCAAAAGAAAAUCCUAAAAUCCGCUCGGAUAUUACCUAGCCUCCUAUUUCAAUCUAAAUAUUGAACUUCCAUUGCUAAUAUCUCUUUUUCAAAUAGUUUAAUUUUUCUCAAAUUUCACAUAUGUAUAGCAAAUUAAGUCUAUUACUCUUUCAUACAAAUUUUUUUCCAAUCCAAUUAGUAAAUUGCUGAAGAUCUUAGAAAUUCUAACUGCCCCUCAAAGUUUAAUUUUUGAGACCUCAAUCUACUUAAAAUUUAAUAACUUUCAAUUCAAUUCUUCGAUCAAGCUCAAACUUAAAGCAUAUACUUUACACAACUAUUCAAAUAAGUCCUACAUAUAUUCAUAUUCUUUAUUUUUCUAAUCUACCUUGAUUUGCCUUCUUUAUGGCCUUAUAAAGUAAAUAGAAAUCUACUUUACAAAAAAAUAGUAUUUACACCUUUAGUUUUACUUUCUUUUGAACUAUUGUCUAUUUUCUAAGAUAAUUUUCUAUAAUAUUUGAAAUAACAUCUUCUAUAAUAUAAAAAUUUCUUCACCCUUUUCAUGUGAUAUCAUGACAACAUUAUUAAGAAGAUUUAUGUCUAUAUUGUGGAAAAUCUAAGCAUAUUGCUCAAUAUUAUCUAAAGAAAUAAUAUAAUUAUAAAAUAACAAGUAUGGUUUUUAAAGAAGAAAAUGUAUCAAAAAAUAAAUUUUUCUAGCUACAACAAGAAUCAUGUGGCUAAUAUCAUAUGCAAAAUCUAGUAUAGGUCAUAUUCUCUCUUCAAAUUUUUCACCUUAUUUUACAAUAGAUGUAUAUUUAAGACCUAAAAAUCACAAAUUAUUUACCUUGGUAGAUUCAAAAGCCUCAACUUGUUUUGUAGAUGAAGACCUUGUCAAAAAAUAAGAAAUACAUUUAGUCAAGAAAUCUAAAUCCAUAAAUGUAAAAAUCAUAGAUGAUCAUUUACUAUCUUCUAGAGAUACUACACAUGUAACUAUUUUUUUAGAUGUAGUAAUUAAAGAUCAUAAUAGCAUAAUAAUAUUUAAUUUGAUAAAGUCUCCCUCUAAUCCAAUUAUUUUAGAAUUAUCAUAGUUAAAAGAAUAAAUUCCUAAUAGAUUGAAUUUCUUACAAUCUUAUCUUUUUUUGUAAUUUAAUUCAAAAUUUUAUUAGUCAAAUAGAAAUACAUAAUUUUAAUACAUCCAAAUUCUUAUUAGUAGGUGCAAGAUCCUUUAUGCAUAUGGCAAAAAAAAGAUCAUCUUUUGCUAUAUAUACCAUGCUCAUUUCUGUUAGUAUAAGACAUCAAGUUAUAUCCCUUAUCAAUAUUAAGAUUUUCAAGUAUUAAAUAUAUAUAUAAAAUAUUGUAUAUAAAUAUAUAUAUAAAUAUUAAGAUUUUUAAUAUAUAUAUAAAUAUUUAUAUAUUUAUAUAUAUACAAUUUAUUACAUAAUGUAGUAAGAGCCAUAUUAUUAAAUUUUAAUUAGUUAUAAAAUAUGAUUAGAUUAUUAUUUUGAAGUAAUUAGUCUAAAAGGACUACUAUUGAGAUUGAUUUUAUAUUAAUAAUAGUUUUUGUAUACUUAGAGUCACCUUUAUUAAACAUUGGUGACUCUUAAAAUCUUUUUUUAUUUUUAUUUGAUAUUUAGGCCACAUACUAUAUAAAAUUUAUUAGAAAAGGAUUUUUAUAUAAAAAGAGGUAGUUAGGCCAUCCAUAUGGAUGAUAAAAAUCUACAUUUUCAUUGGCCAAAGGUCAUGCCCAAUAGGCUUCAAGGAUGCUAUCUAAGGCUUUAUUAAAAAUUAGAAUUAUUUUUUUGAAGACAUUCAAAUAUUAAAGAUUAGAAUCAUCAAGUUUAGAAUUUUGAAUAUAAUUUUGGUACAAAUUUUGUACAAUUUGGAGUUUCUAUAAAGAAGAUAUAGAUAUUCACAAUCAAUGCAUCAAUUUUAUACCUAUUGUCUCUCUUUGCAAUAUAGCACAUGUUUAUAAAAGACUGUUGAAGAUUAAAUUGUGUAGUUGGAAAUUUUAUUUAAAAAACCAUAUUUUUCAUAUAAAAAAUAAAAGUUUUGGAUUAAUUUAUAAAAAAAAAAAAAAAAAAAAAAAAAAAAAAAAAACUACUUAAAGAUAAUACUUCUAAAUUAAGAUUUAUUAAUAAACCAAUUUCAUGAGUGGUUUGGCUCUAGCUAUAUCUCACACUGUCAUACUUUUAAUUCGACUAUAUGAUGAAAAUAUAAUCAAAAAUAAAUUUCUAAUUAAUAUUUAAUUAUCUUAAUUCAAUAAUAAUUCAAGAUAUUUAAAUAUGGCUUUUAUAUAAGCCUCUUAGUUUAUUUUCUUAUCUUAAUAUUUAACAUUAAAUGUUAGCUAGUAAUUUUAUCUUCUAAGUUAUAGAGACUCUUUUAUUGCCUUAAAAAAACCAUAAAUUAGUAAAAUCAUAUUGGAAGAGAUAAAUAAUUAAUAUGAUUGAUAAUAGAGUUAAGUUGAGGAUAAUAUUAGGCUAAAAAUUCCCUAAGAUAGAUUAAAUUGAUAUCUGGAGAUUAACCAUUUAUUAGACAAGGUUGAAAUCAGAUUUCUAGUUACUAAAAUGAUCGCCUAGGGCAAAAUAGAGAGACAUUUGAAGAUCAGCAAUUAGAAUUGAAGAGUUAGUUUAGAGCUUGUUUCAAAGACAUAAGGCUUAUUUUUGUAGGAUUUGAGUUUAACUUGGCAAUUAUUAUUCAAAAUCAAGGUUUGUAUUGGUGACUUGGAAUUUAUACAAUACAAUUAUGGCUAUCAUUCUUAGCUAGUUUGUAAAAUUUAUGUCACAUCUAUAAUUUAAAAUUUGAUAGUCCUUAGUUAAGUGGAUGUACUAAGUAUAUGUGGAAUUUUGUGAUAAUCUAAUAGUACAGCUGAAAGAUAUUUGGAUUUUGAUACAAGAAGGUAUUAGAAGUUGGUAGUUUGAGGUUAGAUGGGAUUUCUAUGAUACUUGAAGAUCUACUAGUUGAAUCAAGGUGAAAUUUGGUAUGGUGUUAGAGACUUAAAGAUCAAGAUAUACACUAAUUUUGAGUUGAAGUUAGCAAUUGAAGAAGGAGAAAUCACUGUUGGAACAUUUGCAUCAACUUUCAAGUUGGCAACCAAGUAACAUCAAUGUGGUUUUUGGACGUUUUCUCACAAUUUGUAAGUUGAAUUGAAGUAAAUUCUUUUAAGCAUAUAGAAGACUUAUAAUAGCAUUUGUGUGCAAAUUUUUUCUCUAAGCGGUGUCAUGAUAUAAUACGACUAAUAGGUGAAAGAGUGUAGAAGUUAUUAUAAUGUAGGAGAUCUUAGUUCAAAGUAUUUGAGCAAAUUAUCUUAGAAAUAUAGUUAAUAGUCAAAAGGAUGGUAAAAUUAAAAGGUAGCUUCUACUUACUUUGUAGGACCAUAAAUAAGGCAAAACAAAGUAGAUUGAAAAAAUAAAUGAUAUAGGCAUGUUUAGAAGAAAGUUAAGAAUAAAUUCUAAAAAAAUUUACUUAGAAAAACUAGAUAUUGAUACCCAGAGAGGGCUGGUUAUGAACCAAGGUCGAAAUCAGACCUUGAGGCACAAAACUAAGACGCAAUGAUGACUCCGAGAUUCUUUUACAGAUCUAAGAGUAGAAUUUGAUAGCAUACUAGAUAAGGUUUUUAUGAGCAUUGGUUUUGGGUGAUUUGGAUUCAUAAUGACUUUAUAAGAGCUAUGGGAUAUUAAAAAUUGUAUAUACAUAGAAAAAAAGAGAUAUUGACUCUAGAAGACUGGCAUCAAGGUUGGAGAAGGAGGUCGGCCAAUACUUGAGCACAUUUUUGAGGUUAUUAUCUAUUUGGUAAUUUUGAUCUUUUUCAAAUUUUGAGAAAAAUAUUUUUUAACUUGUUUUAAACUUAAUUUUUAAGAAAUAUGAAAAAUUUGAGUUAAGAUCAAUGGUUCAUUCGUUGGUUAUUGAAGUUUAAAUCUGUUGUAGAAAUUAUUAGGAUUUUGUUAGGAUUUGAUUUAGAGUUAGGAUUUGGUUAGGAUUUGAUUUAGGAUUAGGAUUUGAUUAAGAUUUGGUUAGGAUUUGGUUUAGGAUUUAGAAUUUGGUUUAGGAUUUAAGAUUUGAUUAGGAUUUGGUUUAGGAUUUGAGAUUUGAUUUAGAAUUUAGGAUUUAAUUUAGGGUUUAAGGUUUGAUUAGGAUUUGGUUUAGGAUUUAGGAUUUGGUUAGAAUUUGGUUAGGAUUUGAUUUAGGGUUAGGAUUUGGUUAGGAUUUGAUUUAGGAUUAGGAUUUGAUUAGAGUUUGGUUUGGAAUUUAGGAUUUGGUUAGGAUUUGAUUUAAGAUUAGGAUUUGAUUAGGAUUUGGUUUAGGAUUUAGGAUUUGGUUAGGAUUUGAUUUAGGAUUUAGGAUUUGAUUAGGAUUUUAUUUAGGAUUUGAUUAGGAUUUGAUUUAGGAUUUAGGAUUUUAUUAGGAUUUAUUUAGGAUUUAAGAUUAAGUUAGUUUUUGGCCUAAAGCUUGAAUGAAGUCUAAUAGGAUUUUAAUUAAGAUUAAAUUAAGAUUGAAUUGAGAUGUAUUUGAGAUAUAUUUGUGAUCAUUCUAAUGUUUCUUUGAAUUUGAUUAAAGCUUACUUACCAUUGAUAUGAUCUAAUUAGAGUUUAGUUAGUAUUCUAUUAGAGUUAGGAUUUUGUUGUUGCAAUUUCCAUUCUAUCUUCCUUGGCCAGGUCCCCGGAGCAUUCUCAAGCAAGACUUCACAUAUUACGAUAACGGUAUUGGGAUAGAGAGAGUUUGCCUCAAGAAAGCACUGGGCUUUUGGCUGCCACUAAAUACUCAAUUAAAUCUAAGAUAUAAAAAUUUCAAAUUUAUAUAUAUAAUAUUUUUUUUUUGGAGAAAUCACAUCAAUAUAUAAGCCAAGUACCAAGAAAACAUCCAAAUGUAUGAUAAAAUAUCUUAAAACCUGAUAUAUCCUUAUGAGAAAUAUUUUUUGAACUUCAAAAGCUCAUAUCUCACGAUCAGACUAUCCAAACAAUCCUAAAUUUAACAUAAAGUAUUGAUAUACUUUCAAAAGCUAUCAAAAAAAUAUUCAACUACAAAUUUAUUACGGAUGUUGAGAUAUCACCAUAAUCCUAAUAGUAGCUUUAAACCUUAGCUUACAUACAUCUAUUUAUUAUUUUAUUUAUAUCUCAAAAAAUAAGUACUUAAAUAUCAUGAAACUUUGAUUUAUAGCUUUUUAACCUAAUAAUUCACACUUACAAAAAUUUUGAGCCAAAAAUUCGUCCAAAAACUGAAGAUAUGGCUCCAAUCAUUACUAUCAACAAAAUGACUCACUUACAGCCUUUGAAUUACAUAUACUAUUUUCAAUGCCCUAUAACUCCUUCAUCUAGACUUGGAAUUCAUCAAAAAAUAUAUGUAAAAUAUAGCCAAAAAAGUGUUCUCUCGAAUUCCAAUCACCAAUCUUGCAUUGCUCUCUAUAUACAUGUGUUAUGCUUCAAAGAGUUACAAUAGGUAUAAAUUUGACACCUUCACUUUGAACACCUAUAUCUCCUUCAAAAAAACUCGAAAUCACACAAACUCUUCAUCCAAAUUAUAUCCAAAAUCCUGACCUUGCUGACCUUGGCCUCCAAAGCUAUAAUGACUUUGAAAGAGAAAUUCUAAUCCCUAAUAAGGCCUCAAGCAACCUCCUUAAAGCCCAUUGGACAUGGCCUUUGACCAAUAGGAAUAAAGAUUUCCAUUCCUUGCCUUCAUCCAACCAUGCCUUGCUUUCAUCCCUCUCAAUAAGCCUCCUAAUAGUUUAGACUUUUAUCUUUAGACUCCAACCUUCCCUUAAGUUUCAUACUAACAUUUAGGUUCUAUAUUUUUUUUUUGAAAUGCUAUAAUUAAAAAAGAUAAAAUUCAAAAUAAAGUUUCUUAAAUCUAUUCUCUUUAAAUUAAUCUAUUUAACCAUUCUAACAUACACCAAGACUUAUGAACAUAUUAUAUGUUCUAACUAAUUUUUAUAUACUAUAAGUAAUUACAGUAUAAUAGCAGUGUCGUAAUACGUGAAAUCUUGCUUGAGAAUGCUCUAAGCACCUGACUAUGGAAGGAAGAAUAGAAAUUGCAAUAACAAAAUCCUAAUUCUAAUGGAAUACUAAAAAUGCUCUAAUUGGACCACAAUAAUGCUAAACAAGCUUAAUCAAAUUCAAAGAAACUUCAAAGAAAUUUCAAACAAACAAUAAGAAUUCUUAAAGAAAUAUUAAAAGGAUCACAAAUAUCACUCAAAUACAUCUCAAUUCAAUCUUAAUUUAAUCCUAGUUAAAAUCCUAUUGGACUUCAUUCAAACUUUAGGCCAAAAUUAAUUAAAUCUUAAAUCCUAAAAAAUCCUAAUAAAAUCCUAAACCAAACUCUAAUCAAAUCCUAAACCCAAACCCUAAAUCCUAAACCAAAUCCUAAAUCAAAUCCUAACCAAAUCCUAAACUAAAUCCUAAAUCCUAAAUUAAAUCUUAAACAAAUCCUAAACCAAAUCCUAAAUCCUAAAUCAAAUCCUAACUAAAUCCUAACCAAAUCCUAAUUUAAAUCCUAAAUCCUAAAUCAAAUCCUAAAUCAAAUCCUAACCAAAUCUUAAAUAAAUCCUAAAUCCUAAAUCCUAAAUCAAAUCCUAAACCCUAAACCAAACCCUAUCCAAAUCCUAAACCAAAUCCUAAUCCUAAACCAAUUCCUAACCAAACCCUAGUAAUUCCUACAACAGAUUUAAACCUCAAUAACUAAUGAAUAAACCAUCGAUCUUAACUCAAAUUUUUCACACUUCUUAAAAACUUAGUUGAAAAUAAUCAAAAAAAUUUUGAAAAGGAUCGAAAUUACCAAAUAGGCGAUAACCUCAAAAACGUGCUCGGGUAUUGGUUGGCCUCCUUCUCCAACCUUGAUGCCAAUCUUCUAGAGCCAAUAUCUCUCUUUUGCAUUGUUUGAUUGAUCUCAAAAUUCUCAUAUACAUAGAAAAAUAAGUCUAAUAUCCUUUUGCAUAAGUUUCACUUCAAUCGAACUAGUAGAUUGCAAGAAAACUCAAAAACCCUCACUAGACCUAAAAUUCUACUUUUUAACACCUUGACCCACUUAAACCUCAAUAUUCCUUAAUUCAACCGUUAGAUCGAGCUCAAAUUUACAACACAUAUUAAAUACAACUAUAACCAUAAACCCACAAAAUUUUACCCAUAGAUCUAUUACAAAACUCUUGAAAUCAUCCAAAACGUAAACCCUAUUUUAUUUCAUAAAACCCAAGUCAUCCAAAAUAAACCUUGACUUUGCAAAGUUCUUACAAAGUCAUAACAACUCCAAAUCACCCAAAAUAAAUUUACAUAGAAACCUUAUUCAAUCUGCUAUCAAACUUAAUUCUCCGAUCUACAAAAGAAAUCUGGAGUCGUCGUCGAGACUCGGUUUUGUGCCCUAGGGUCUGAUUUCGACCCUGGUUCAUAACCUGCCCUCUCCGGAUAUCAAUAUCUAAUUUUUCUAAGUAAUUUUUUCUAGAAUUUAUUCUCAACUUCUUUUUAAAGAUGCCUAUAUCAUUGAUUUUUCUAAUCUACUUUGGUUUUCCUUACUUAUGGUACUACAAAGUAAGUAGAAGUCACCUUUUUAAAAGGCAGUAUUGGUACCUUUUAAUUUUUCUACCCCUUUGACUAUUAACUAUAUUUCUGAGAUAAUUUGUUCUAAUACUUUGAACUAAGAUCUCCUAAGUUAUAAUAAUCUCCUAAAUUAUAAUAAUCUCCACACUCUUUCACCUAUUAGUUGUAUUGUAUCAUAACAUCCACCCCCCAGAAUCUAUGCAUCCUUCAGCAUGCAGCAACGAUUCUUCAAUUUGUUGAUGUAGAAUGUUCUUCAUCUUGGUACAAUUCUUGAUCUUCAAUAUUCUCUUCUAUUCCAAUCUCAAUAUCUUAUAUUGGAUUUUGUUCUUCAUCAAAACAAAUACAUUCAUCUCUUUGUUUAAAUAACUUGAUUUAUUUGCGUGCUAUGAGUACCUUCAAUUUUGUACCAUUAAGUUCUUAUAAUGAAUAUGUUCCAUUAUUGUGUGUCUUUUUGAAAAUAUAAGGUCCAAACCAUCUCUUUGUAAACUUCUUCAUAGUGUUAUGUUGAUUGUCUAAGCUACUAUCAUAAACUAGUAUCCAAUCACCAUCUUCAAUAGCCUUAGGUCAUAGUCGAUGUUUUUUAUCAAAUCUUUCUUUAUUCUUUUUCCUUGUUUCUUUCAAUUUUUCUAUUGCUAUUUCAAUAUCAUUGGGUCUUCUUUCUACUUGUCAAAUCUGUAAUGCUAAAAGCUCUUCUCUGUUGAGAUCAUUCUUUCAAGGCAAUACACCCCAUGUAGGUACUACAUCUUCUAUUGGCAUUAUUGGUUUUUGUCCAUAUAUUAAUUUAGAAGGCAUAUAACAUGUUACCGAACUAGGAGUUGUACGAUCUGCCCAUAGUACAAAUGGUAGUAGUCUAGGCCAUUCAUAUGCUUUACCAUUGCAUGCCUUUACUAAUGUCUUAACAAUAAGUAAAUGCCCAUGCUCACUUUUAUCAUUACCUUCUGGGUUAUAUGUUGUUGUUAAAGAAAGUUUAAUUCCUAUUCUACUAAAGAAUUCUCAUGCUUUCUUUGCAUCCAAUUCAUCCCUAUCCGCUGUAAUUUUUCCAAUACAACCAUAGCAACAAAUAACUUCUUUUAAUAGAAAUCGGCAUACUCCUUUAGUAUCCUUUGUUCUUAAUGCUCGUCUUUCAAUCAUAUUUGAUAAAUCUUCUUGUACAAGUACCAAAUAUUUCAUUUGUCCAAGUUCUAUAGGCAUUGUCACUAAAUCUACCACCCAUUUGUAAUGUAAAGCCAAUGGUUAUGUUGGAUGUAAUCCAUCUCGAUGCUAAAUAUUUGAAUACAUUUCGCAAAUCUCACAAGAUUCUACAAAUUUUGCUAUGUCUUUGUACAUUCCCUUCUACCAAUAUUUUUCUCUUAACUUAAUGAAUGUUGUCCAAAUACCUUGAUGUCCUACCCAUAAAUUUUCAUGAAAUUCUUUAAUAAUCCUUUGUUGAGCUUCUAAACUACAUAUCACCCUUUGUGGUACUUCUCCUCUCUUUUUUGGAUGCUUCCAUAAAUAUCCAUAAUGUAAAAAAUAUCCAUAGGCUUUCUUACAGAUUUUCUUGAAUUCUUGAUCCAUCCAAUCUUUUUGUCACUUUAAUGUGCUCAAAUACUCUCCAACAUCUUUCCAUUCAUUUUCAUAUAAAUCUCUUAAAAACAUUUCCAAUGGUAUAUUAAAAAAUACACCCUUCUCCUUUGAUAACGCAUUGGUAUAAAAUUUUGUACCCAUAUCAUCUUCUAAAUCAAUCAUCUUUUCCUCAUCAUUAUACCUUGCUCUUGAUAACAUAUCUAUAACUGAAUUUUCUUUCCCUAUAAUAUGUUUAAUUUCUACAUUUAUAGAUUUGAUAUAUGCUAUCCACCUCAACAUAGCAAUAUCAGGAGUUGAACAACUUAUAAUCAUGCCUAACAAAGGUAGACAAUCUAUUUCUAUAACUACUGAUGUCCUAAUCAAGUACUCUUUUUUAUUUUUCAUAGCUAUUACUACAUUCCAUAAUUCUCUUUUGAUUUGCAUAUAUGCCUUUUGCUUGCAAUUCAAUACCUUUGCUCCAAAUCUUACUACAUAUCUAUUCCCUUGUUCAUCAUCUUAUCCAACCAUCCAACCUAUUCCAAUUGGACUUGCAUCAAUUGUUAAUACCACUCGCCUUCCACCUUCAUAAUUUACUUUCUUCAAAGUUAGAGAUGAAGAAAGAAGUUCUUUCAAUUUUUCCAUAGCAUUUCGUUGUUCUUCUUUCUAUUGAAAUUUUUGAUUCUUUCUUAACAACUCAUACAAUGGAUCUGCUAUAUAUGCAAAGUGAGAUAUCCAUAUAUGAUAGAAAAUACAUACUCCUAAAAAUUUUCUCACUUUCGUUGUAUUUGUACAUUCUUUGAUCUUUUUAAUAAUAUCAAUCUUUUUUAUACUUGGCUUGCAUCCAUAUGAACCACACAUGUGUCCUACCACCAAAAUUUCUUUUACUCCAAACAUUGGUUUUUUUCCCGAUAAGGUUAAAUGAACUUCUUCCAAUCUUUUCAAAAUCUUCUCACAAUCUUCAAUAUGAUCUGCCACAAACUUCCUACAUCCCUUUGAAUCCAAAGUUUCAUCUUUUCCUUCUUCUUCACAUCCCUUAAUAGGUACAUUAUUCAAGAAAGGCAUUAUUAUUCUUGAAAUAAAAUCUCAUAAUACCUUAUGUAUUCCAUUCAUCAUAUGUGCUACAGAAUUUAUAGCCCCUUUUGGUAAUGUGCACAUUCUAACUAAUCCUAAUGGUGUCUUCAUAGUUGUCAAAUUCCUACUUUGUAUUAUCAAUUGAAAUUGAUCAUAACCUGAAUAAAGAUCACCCAUUGAGUAGAUAGCUCUUCCAGCAAAUGCUUCUAUAAAUUCAUCUACAAUUAGACUUGAACCUAUAUUUCUAAUAGUCACUUUAUUUACGGGUUGCAUAUCUUGUGUAAAUCUCAUUGUUUCAUUUUUCUUUGAUAGUGUAAACUAUCGAUUAGAGUAAGGUGCCAUAGAUGGUUCCAAAAUUCCUAUUUUAAUCUUUUCAUUGAGUAAAUCUACUAACUUAGAUAAAUGCGCUCUUGGUACUAGAAUUGGUCACAAAUUCCAUGGUUCAUAAGGAAUAAUAAAAAUAACCAUGGGUGCUACAACAUUUGGAUCAACACACCUAAUUUCAUGUGUCUCAAAUGCAAAAGCCUUUCCAUGACGUGAAAGCAUAUCCCUAAAAUAUUUUUCUUUACAUUUUGUCAAAAAUCCCUCACCUCUAACAUUUAAUCCAUCUAAUGUAACAUCCGUAAAUUAAUGCCCUAUCUUCCUUGGAUCUCUUAAAUUUGGUUGUGUCGAUGCUCCACUUAUCUUUUCUUCACAAUCAAAUGGAAGUGGUAAAGCCAUUGGUUUGACCUUCUUUGCUAUUGAUUUAUACUUAGUUUCAACAUAUACCUCUUGGCGACUUAAAUUUUCUAUAAAUCUUUGAAUUUUAUCAUAAAAUUCUUUAGAACAUACAUUAAUAACUCUAUUUUCUACUUCUAACCCACAUUGUAAUAGAUAAUUGAAUUCUCCCAUAGUAUCUGCAAAACCUACUUCUUCAUAUGCUCCUGAAAUAAAAUCAUUUUCAAUCAAUUCUCCAUUUUCUUUCAAAAUUUGUUCAAUAUUUUUAAUAUAACAUCUGUCCCUCCUUUUCAUCUUAUCAAUAGUCUUAAAAGUUAAUACAAAAUCUUGUUUCAUCUCAAUAAGUUCGGUAGAUAAUGAUUCUUCUUUUAAAUUAAGGAGAAGCUUUUUUUUCUCUAAUCCAUUGCAAUCCCGCCUUACAAUGGUGUACGGUAAAAAUCCUCAAGGUCUUCAAAUUUUUCAUUUCAUAAUGGCUUUUCUCUCAACUUAUCACGAUUUUUCUCAUGAUUAGCACAAACAGUUAAAAAUUGAACUGCUUUCAUUCCAUCUUGGCUUCUUAUUCUUCCAUAGGCUGAACUAUCAUCCAUUACUUUUGUUUCCAUUCAUGUAGAAAUAAUAUAUGGUUGUCCCAAUAUAAUAAGAUAUGUAGACAUGUCUUGCAUAAAGAAAUUUUGUUCAUGAAUAACAUCUCCUAUUGUCACGUUGAUAUUUGUACAUACUCCAUACAAAUCUCCCUUUGAAUUAUUUGCAACUCUUAUCAUCCAUCCAUGUUUAGUAUCAAUAGGCCAUUUUUCCUUGUUAUACAAUUCUUUUGACAUCAAAUUGAUUUCAGAACCAUGAUCAAUUAAUGUUACAACUGGUUCUUCUAAAUUUUCCAAUUUUAUUACAAUCUCCAUUGUAGCCCUUGUCUAAUGACUUCUAGAAUAAUGGCUAGAAGCUUGAAUGACAUCUUCUUUUUCUACAAAUCUUACUCACAAGACAUCCUCAAAAUUUUAUAUUUCAUCUUUUUCAUCUUCAUUUCUUUUCAUUGCUCUUAUUCUUUGUGUAUUUGAUGUCAUAGAGUCUCCUAUCGAUUGUCAUUUUUUCUUUAUUGUAUUAAUAAUAACUUCAUGAAACUUACGCUUUGUAAUUUCUAGAAUUUCACUAAUUGUGAAUUCAACCUUUCCACUUAAAAUCCGUUCCUCCAUUACCUUCUUCAAAUCUGUAACAACUUCAAUAUCUAAUUGUAAUUUAUAAGCAAGAGCCUUUACUUUUUCUUUUAUAAUUUCCCUUCGUUUUGUAGAAAUGUUCUCUAUAGUCUCUUCAUGAAUAGAAUUCUUUUGUUGUCGUGCUUUUUCUCUCCUUGUAGUUCUUUUUGAGGGCCCUUCAUUAUUUUCAUCUCUCCUUCAUUUUUCUUCUAUUAAUGCUUCAUGUUGACUCCUUGCAAUAUGAGCAUGUACUGAUAAUCUAUCUACUAGAUCAUCUCAUCCAAUAAUUUAUCGAAUGUUAUUACCAACACGUUUUAAAUCAUCUCUAAUAAAAUUUCCUCUUUCAGCAUAACUCAUUACACUUGUCUACAAAGAACUAGAUUCUCCUGGAAACUCAAGUUUUAUACUUGAACAUCUACUAGGAUCUGUUUCCACCCAAUAUGUUGAUGCUUCAUUGCUUGAGAUUGUAUGCUCUUUAAAAGUAUCUCCAACAAAUAACUUCAUUCCUCCUUUAUCAAAAUUUGUUUUCAAUUUUCCUCCACUUUCUUUUGAGUGUAUCAUACCAUCUUUAAAAAAAACAACUCUUUUACGUAAUGCCUCUAUAAAAUCUUCACAUUCCCUCCUUGAGUGAUCUAUGCUAUCACACCACAUGCACCUAUGUACUACACCUUCCAUUGGCCCUAAUCUUUAUUUUGUUGAUAUUCUUGAUGAUUGAUCCUUUUCUUCAAGUUUUGUAAAUUUUAUUUACAAAUCUCUCAUCGUACAUAUGAUUUCAUCAAUUUCUAUUUCUUCUUUCUUUGAUGUAGCCAUUGAAGGUUGAAUCAAAGAUGUUGGAUGGGUACUAGAUAUCUUUACCUUAGAUACUUGUAAUGGUCUUUGGUCACCUCUCAUAUCUUUUCUCCUUUCUUUUUUUGUCAACAACUCUACAGCAUCCUCUACCCUUUUCUAAUUUUUUGUCAAUCCUUCAUCUUCUUCUUUAUCUUCAAGCAUGAUUUCCAAGUUCUCUUGCAACUUUCCAUCAGCUGCUUGAAGAAAGAGCUCCACCUUACUUGGAUCCAAUAAUUAUCUUUCUUUCUUUGAUAAAGAAGAAUAUUGCUUUUCAAACUCCCUUAAUAAUUUUGUUGCUAGAAGGUCCUUCUUUGGCCUUUCAAUUCAUUCAAAAAAAAGACCUUAUUGUAACCCUAUCACUAUCUUUCAGGAAAAAUUCAUUCUUCAAUGCUUGAGAAAAUUUCUCCCAUGAACCUCCAAAAUAUUGUAUAAGAGACUUUACUUGAUUUUUUAUCUCUUAUGCAGAGGCUAAUUCAAAUAAUUGAACCAUCUCUUUAUUUAGAAUACGGUUCAAUUCCAUUUCCUUUACAUAACAUCUUAAAUAUUUUGUGAUAUCUUUUCCUUCAAAUUGAUUAAUUUUAUCCACAACUGCUUGUAAUGCUUUGUUAGCCAUACUCUCUUUGUGAUCUUUAACCUGUUGCUAUUGUUGUUGCAUGAAUAAGGCCAAAGCUUCAAACACGCCUACAAAGUUAGAAUCAAAAUGCAUACCUUGUCCUCCAAUCGAAGCUCCUCUUCCAACUCCACUUGAAGCACCAUCAAAAAUUCGUCCUUCUAUUCCCCUUAAAAUCCUUCUUCAAAAUUCAAAUAAUCCAAAAAAUAAACCAAAUUCCUUCUACUUCAAGCAAUUCACGUCGGGUUCACCAAAUAUGUUGUAAUACAUGAAGUCUUGCUUGAAAAUACUCCAAGCACCUGGCUAUGGAAGGAAGAAUAUAAAUUACAAUAAUAAAACCCUAAUUCUAAUAAAAUACUAAUAAUGCUCUAAUUGGACCACAAUAAUGUUAAACAAGCUUAAUCAAAUUCAAAGAAACUUCAAAGAAAUUUUGAACAAAUAAUAGGAAUUCUUAAAGAAAUAUUAGAAGGAUCACAAAUAUCACUCAAAUACAUCUCAAUUCAAUCUUAAUUUAAUCCUAGUUAAAAUCCUAUUGGACUUCAUUCAAACUUUAGGCCAAAAUUAAUUAAAUCUUAAACUCUAAAAAAUCCUAAUAAAAUCCUAAACCAAAUCCUAAUCAAAUCCUAAAUCCAAACCCUAAAUUCUAAACUAAAUCCUAAAUCAAAUCCUAACCAAAUCCUAAACUAAAUCCUAAACCCUAAAUUAAAUCUUAAACAAAUUCUAAACGAAAUCCUAAAUCCUAAAUCAAAUCCUAACUAAAUCCUAAUCAAAUCCUAAUUUAAAUCCUAAAUCCUAAACCAAAUCCUAAAUCAAAUCCUAAAUCCUAAACCAAACCCUAUCCAAAUCCUAAACCAAAUCCUAAUCCUAAACCAAUUCCUAACCAAACCCUAGUAAUUCCUACAACAGAUUUAAACCUCAAUAACUAAUGAAUAAACCAUCGAUCUUAACUCAAAUUUUUCACACUUCUUAAAAAAUUAGUUGAAAAUAAUCACAAAAUUUUUGAAAAGGAUCGAAAUUACCAAAUAUGCGAUAACCUCAAAAACGUGCUCGGGUAUUGGUUGGCCUCCUUCUCCAACCUUAAUGCCAAUCUUCUAGAGCCAAUAUCUCUCUUUUGCAUUGUUUGAUUGAUCUCAAAAUUCUCAUAUACAUAGAAAAAUAAGUUUAAUAUCCUCUUGCAUAAGUUUCACUUCAAUCAAACUAGUAGAUUGCAAGAAAACUCAAAAACCCUCACUAGACCUAAAAUUCUACUUUUUGACACCUUGACCCACUUAAACCUCAAUAUUCCUUAAUUCAACCGUUAGAUCGAGCUCAAAUUUACAACACAUAUUAAAUACAACUAUAACCAUAAAUCUACAAAAUUUCACCCAUAGAUCUAUUACAAAACUUUUGAAAUCACCCAAAACAUAAACCCUAUUUUAUUUCAUAAAACCCAAGUCAUCCAAAAUAAACCUUGACUUUGUAAAGUUCUUACAAAGUCAUAACAACUCCAAAUCACCCAAAAUAAAUUUACAUAGAAACCUUAUUCAAUCUGCUAUCAAACCUCACUCUCUGAUCUACAAAAGAAAUCUGGAGUCGUUGUCGAGACUCCAAAUCACCCAAAAUAAAUUUAUAUAGAAACCUUAUUCAAUCUGCUAUCAAACCUCACUCUCUGAUCUACAAAAGAAAUCUGGAGUCAUCGUCGAGACUCGGUUUUGUACCCUAGGGUUUGAUUUCGAUCCUAGUUCAUAACCGGCCCUCUUCAGAUAUCAAUAUCUAGUUUUUCUAAGUAAUUUUUUCUAGAAUUUAUUCUCAACUUCUUUUUAAAGAUGCCUAUAUCGUUGAUUUUUCUAAUCUACUUUGAUUUGGGUUACUUAUGGUACUACAAAGUAAGUAAGAGUCACCUUUUUAAAAGGUAGCAUUGGUACCUUUUAAUUUUUCUACCCCUUUGACUAUUAACUAUAUUUCUAAGAUAAUUUAUUUUAAUACUUUGAACUAAGAUCUCCUGAGUUAUAAUAAUCUCCUAAAUUAUAAUAAUCUCCACACUCUUUCACCUAUUAGUCGUGUUACAUCACGAUAGCGGGCAGUUUGAUUAACAGCUACAACUCACUAAAGCAUAUUGAUUAGAAUUAAGGCUUAUAUAGAAAAAUAAAAAUUACCUAAUUAUGGAGUAACAAGGAAAUUGGAGUUUAUUUAUGAUUGAAAUUAUUAAAAAGAGUGUUUUUAAGUACUUUUUAUUGGAUUUAAGUACUUUUGAAUUAAAAUUCAAAUAACAUUCUUCUUAUAAGAAUGAAUCAUGUUAAGAUUCUUGCAUACUUGUAAAACACAACCUCACCUUUCACAACCAAAUAUUUGGUGCAUUCUCAAAUAGGACAACAUGUAAUCUAAUAACACAUUUAGAUAAAAAUUUAGCUAAUUUUUUUUACAAAUGUGUAUAACUAUGUCAAAAAGUUAUAUACCAAAUUUUGUUGUAUUUGAAUUUUGGAUUUUUGAAAUACAAAGAAAAUAGUACUCAAGUGCUUGUAAAUUGGGAUUUAGAGUACCCAUUGUCAUGUUGUGAUUUAGCUACCAUGUGAAAAUAAUGUGAUUAUGUAUUUAAUGUAUAAUUUACUUAACAAUAUGGUAAGAGUCAUGUUAUUGGAUUUUAGUUGGUUGUAGAGUGUGGUUAAAUUACUACUUUAAGAGGAGGUUGUUUAAAAAGAUUACUAUUAGAAUUUUAUAACUUUGUUUUCUUUUGAUAGUGGCUUUUGAGAUUGAUAUUGUUGGUAAUAACUUUAAAUAUUUAGAGUCAUCUUUAUUAGACAUUGAUAAUCCUUGAAGUCUUAUUUUGUUUCUUUUUUUUAAUAUUUAGGACAUAUAUUAUAUAAAUCUUAUAAGAGAAAGGAUUAGAAAAGAGUCUUGAUAGCAAAAAAGAGAAGUUAGGGCAUCUAUAUGGAUGAAUGGAGAUAGAUGAUGAAAAUCUCCAUUCCUAUUGGUCAAAAAUCGUGAUCAAUAGACUUCAAGGAGGUUGCCCGAGGGCAUAUUAGAAAUUAGGGUUAUUUUUUUGGAGUCAUUCAAAUUUCGAAGACUAAAUUUAGAUAACUCAAGUUUUUGGCUAUGAUUUUGGUACAAAUCUUGUAUGAUUUGGAAUUUAUAUGAAAGAGAUAUAGGUGCUCAAAGUUAAGGUAUUGAUUUGGGAGCUACUGUCACUCUUUUUGACAUAACGCAUGCGUACGGAGGGCAAUUGAAGAUCGGCAAUUAUAACUGAAGAAAAUACUUUUGCGGCUAUAAUUUUUGUAUAAUACUUGCUAGAUUCCAAAUUGGAAUGAAGGAGAUAUUGGAUUUUGAAGUCAGUGCAUGCAAUCUAAAGGUAGUAAGUAACCCAAUUUACUAGUGGUUGUGUCUUGAGCUAUAUCUUAAGGAAUUUGACAAGAUUUUGGCUCAAAAUUUCAGAAAAUUUGUAUAUUCAUAUUAAUAAACUUUAUACAUAAGUUUAAUGGCAUUUAAGUAUUGAUUUAUGAGAUAUUAAGAAAAUAGUGCUCACGUGCUUGUAAAUUAGGGUUUACAAUAUCUACUAGGAUUUCUUAGAUGUCAAAAGAUUAGAAGUGAAUUUGUUGUUGGUUUCUUUUGUUAUAAAACUUAAGGGUGAAUCCUACUUAUCCUAUAAAUUUGAGACAAAUUAAAUAGUUAGACCAAGAGUUAUGAAUUUUUAAAGUUUGAAAAGAAAAAAUCCUUUGCAGAAAAAAUGUGUUUUGAAGGAAUUUUGCUAUAUUUUGAAUUUUAUGCAAAAUAAAGGAGUUUUGGAAGUUAAGUCAAGAUACAUAUAAAAGUAUAAGCUAAAAUUUCUACAACUAGAUACUUCAUGUAUUCCCAGAUAGCAAAUCAUGUAAUACAACACUACUAGUAUUUUCAAGAUAUUAGAGGAUUGGAAGUAGAUCUAUAGUUGGUUGUUUUUAGUAGUAAAUCUUGAAGAUAUAAGCUAUAUUUUUAAUAAAUUUGAAGAAAUUUGAAUGGUUCAAUCAAGAGAUAUUAGAUUCUAAAGUUUAGAAAAAAAAUUAACUUUUGUAGAUAAAAAAAAUAUAGGAGGUUUUUGGCCACAAGUUUGGAUCUUUUAUAUAAACCAAAGUAUUUUUGGAAGCCAAGAUUUUAUUUAUAUGUUGAAGAUAGAUAUAUAGAGCUAUGAUAAAAUUUUGAUAUAAAGAUAAAUUUUUGAAAGGAGAUUAGAUUUUUUUUAAAAUUAUUGAAAUCCUAACUUAUCAACAAAUGGCUAGUUAUGAUUUGGUAAAAUAAAAGAUGUUAGAGAAUUUUCAUAUGCUCUAAAAAGCCUUAUGUACAAACCUUCUAGAAUAUUAAAGGAUUUUAUUAGUAGAAUAUUUUUUCUUAUUAUUUUUUUUUUUAUUAUUUUAUUAAGAAAAAUUUACUUAUUGGAGCUUAGCCAAUAAUUUAAAGCUAAAAAUUCUAAAAUUAUAUACCUACUGUAUUCUUAGAUCAUAAAUUAUAUCAUACAACAAUGGAUGUACAUAGACUAUUGAAGACUUAAUAAAAUAACCAUUAAGAAUAAGUAUUCUUUAUCUUUGAUUUAAUAACUUAAAAAAUUUAAUUAAAUAAAGAUUUUUAUAAAAAUAGAUCUAUAAGAAGCAUACAAUCUUGUCUGCAUUAAAAGAGGAUAUGAAUAAAAGAUUACUUUUUGAAUUAGAUAUAGACAUUUUAAAUAUAAUGUCAUGAUUUUUGGACUUGCAAAUGUAUCAAUCACUUUUUAACAUCUUAUCAAUGAUGUUUUUUUGUAAAUUCCUUGAUGAUUUUGUAAUCUCCUAUUUAGACAAUAUUUUAAUUUACUCUAAGAAUAAAAAAAAGAUGAAUUUUAUAUUUUUUGUGUGUUAUUUAAAAAUAUGAGAUUAUAUAUUAAGAUGAAAAAGUGUGUAUUCUAUACUAUUCAAGUUGACUUCCUAAUGUACAUCAUUUCCAACAAAGACCUUAUGAUGGAUCUCAAGAAGGUCCAAACUAUAAUAGAUUAGAAGAUCCUCAAAAUAAUAAAAGAUAUAUAAUAUUUUUUAGACUUUGUCAAUUACUAUCAGAUCUUCAUCAAGAAUUUUUUUCAAGUUACAAUUCUAUUUAAAUAUUUAACUUGUAAAGAAAAAUUUUAUUAGAAUAAAGAAGCCAAAGCAUUGUUUGAUGUUUUGAAGAAAGAAUUUAUUUUUGCACCAAUACUAUAUCAUAUCAACUUUUUCAAGGCAUUUUUUAUGGAAAUAAAUGCAUCAAAAUUUGUUUUGAGUGUGGUAUUAUAACAAUUAGGAAUAGAUGAUAAAUUCUAUUUAAUCGCUUUCUAUUCUAAAAAAAAUUAAUAUUAAAAAUCAACUAUAAAAUCUAUAAUAAAAAACUUCUUUUAAUUGUAGAUUCUUUUAAAAAAUAGAGUCAUUAUUUAAAUGACACUUCUAGUCUAAUCACCAUAUAUAUAGAUUGCAAAAACCUUAAGUGCUUCAUGUCAACAUGCAUGUUGAAUUGUUACUAGACUUGUUAGAGAAUGUUAUUAUCAAGAUCACAUAUCAACUUAAAAAACAAUAAGGUUUGUCAAAUAUACUUUCUAGGCAUUCUUAUCUUAUAUCAAAAGAAAGAGAUACAGAUUUUAAUCAACAAAGAAUAGUCAUCUUAAGGCCUAAGCAAUUUCAUCUUCAAGCAAUAAAAAUAAUAUUGAUUAUUGAUUCAAUAUUUAUCAAGCAAAUUUAAUCAAGUAUAUCCUUUGAUUUUCUUAUUUAUGAUGUCAAGUAUACUUCUUUUAAGUCUCAUGAUACUUUUAAGUUUGAAUUUAAGAACAACUUAUUCUAUUUUGAAGAUUGCUUAUAUGUUCCAAAAAGAUAAGUAUAUUUAUGUAUUUUUCAAGCUCAUCAUUACUUUCUAGCAUUAGGAUAUUUUAAAUACAAUAAGAUUUUGGAACUAAUAUUGAAAGAUUUUUAGUGGCUACAAAUACAAAAGGCUAUGAAAAACUUUAUAUAGUCAUGUGACAUUUAUUCAAGGUCAAAAACUCUUCAUCAUCAAUCUUAUAGACUUCUACAACCAUUGUCUAUACCAAAACAACCAUAGUCUUGUAUUUUUAUAAAUUUUAUUAUGAAUCUUUCAAGUUCAAGUUUAAAUAAUUUUAUAUUUAUAAUAAUAGAUCAUUUCAAAAAAAUAAUAUAUUUAAUAUCAUGUACAAAAUUUAUUUUAGAUAAAAAUAAAUAAAAAAAAAAAAAAAAAAAAAAUCUUUGAUAAUAUCUAUUGCUAUCAUGAAUUAUCAAUAGAUAUUAUAUUAGAUAGAAGUAUACAAUUUAUACUAAGAUUUUGGAAAAUUCUUUUUAAAGUACUAAAGGUGGAUAUAAAAUUAUCUUUGGUCUUUUAUCCUUAAACUAAAAAGACAAAAAAAAUAGAUGAAUCAAAUUCUAGAGCAAUAUUUGAGGUGUACCAUCAAUUAUCAUUAAAUCAAUUGAAAAAUUCUUUUGCCAUUGGUAGAGUCUGUAUAUAAUAAUUUAGUACAUUUGUGUACUCAACAAAUACCUUUCUUUAUCAAUUUUGAUUAUCAUCUAUAACUUGAUACUUUUGACUUUUUAAAAAUUGAUAAUCUUGUAAUAAAAGAUUUCGCACAUUGCUUUGCAGAAUUAUAUGUAAUAAUAAAGACAUAGUUAAAAGAAGCUCAUGAAUGACAAAAGAUUUAUCUUAAAGAUAUAUAAGAAUUUUAAAUAUUUUUAUCACAUUUUAGAUGUUUUUUGAUACUUAGGACUUAUGUAUUGAUAUAAUUAUUCCUAUAGAAAAAAAAUUAUAUAUAAACUUUAUAUUUUUUUAAUCUUGAGACUUGAUUGAGUAAUUAGUGAUAGUUAAAAGCUUAAUAAUUUCUUGAGGCAACUCUCUCUAUCUCAACAAUGGAUGCCAAUUGCAAGAAACAACCACAAUUCAAUAUGGAUGAUAAUGUGUGGUUACUUCAUUGCAAUAUCAAGACUAUUUGUCCUUGUGACAAAUUGGAUUAUUGUAAGCUUAGACUCUUUCCUAUUUGUGAAUGAAUCAUUUUAGUUACUUAUUAAUUAUAUCUAUUGGAAUUAAUGAAGAUCCAUUUAAUGUUCCAUAUGUCUCUUCUUAAGCCAUAGAAGACAAUUGAUACAUGAGAAAGACAAUAAGUGCUAUCUUUUCUUAAAAAAAUGGAUAAUAAUGAAGAGUUUGAAGUUGAAGAAGUCUCAGACUUAAGGUAGUGUAAAAAUAGGUUAAAAUAACUUAUUCAUUGAAGUGGAUAUAAUAUUAGUGAAUAUACAUAGGAGCCAACUAAGAAUCUUAUAAAUGCAAUGAAGAAGGUGGAUAUUUUUUAUUAAUAACAUUGAUCAAAAUUAAGAUGAAAGAUAUUAAAUCUUUGCUAUAAAAGAAUUAUAUUUUAAAAAAGAUUGCAUUCAAUCUUCUAUCCUUGUUUAUAAUUUUUAUAUAUUUUUGAUACUAAAAAAAUAAAGAAUCAAUCUCUACCAAAUUUAAUUUAGGAAAAAUCAUUUGCUGACUUAUUGGAUAAGACAUUGCAAUUAUCAUAGCCUUUAAGAUGACAUAAUUGAGAUAAAGAACUUUAAAAAUGAUAUAUUCUUCUUUAAAUAAAUAGUAAGAUAUAAUACACUUGGUAUCAUGAUAUUAGAGAAGACUCUCAAUAUUUGGUGAUUUUAUUGGAGAUAAGAAUGACUCUUGAUGGUAUUAUAAUUUUUUUGUUUGAAGAAAGUUACAAAGGCUAUAAUAAUGAUCAAAUAACAGAGUAGUCUUUUCACCUAGAAUGGAAUAUUAUUAGUGGCUGAGAGGACCUAUCAACUAUUUUUAAAUGAAAUAACAAUCAAAGUAUAUAAAAAAUAUAAUUUUCCAUAUUUUAGAUUUUUCAAUAUGUAAUCACUACUCUUUGUGGAACUUAUCUUUAGAACGAGGAUAAUGUUAGGAACAUAUCUAUAAUUAUCCAAAUAAUAUGAAUAGCUAAAAGUAGAAGUAAGUUAAUUUGAUAAUAUCUUAAGAAAAAGUUUCUUAAAAGCUUUAUAGAUGUGACUUCAUCUUUAUAUAUGUCUAUAUGUAAUUAAUAGAUUAAAAACUUUGCCAACAAGUUAGCCAUGUAUUACAUGUAUUGGUAACUUGAAGUAUAAGCUAACAAAGUCGUAUACAAGUUUAGACAUAUGUCUUAUAAAUUGUCAUUAAUACCAAGAAAUAUUAUAUUAAAUAAAAGAUCUUGAUUUGUAUUAAGAUUAAAGAACUUUUUUUAAGAUACUAAAAAUUGACAUAAAACUAUUUUUGACUUUUUACUUUCAAAUUAAUAGACAAAAAAAAUAAGUAAAUCAAAUAUUUGAGAAGUAUCUAAGAUACACCAUCAACUACUAUUAAGAUGAUUAGAUAAAUAUUUUGCUAUUGGAAAAGUUUUUCUAUAAUAAUAUGAUAUAUUUUAUAUUUAAGAAUCACAAUUUUAUGUUAAUCAUGGAUAUUAUUUAUAAUUUGAUACUUUUGAAUUUUUAAAAGUUGAUAAUCUUAUAAAAAAAGAUGUAGAAUUUUUUUAUCAAAGCUAUUUAUAAUAGUUAAGGCAUAAUUAAAAGAAGAUUAAGAAUAAUUAAUUAAUUAAUAUAGAUGCCUAACACAAGAAAUAAUUUUAAUUAUAUAUUAGCAAUAAGAUAUGAUUAUAUUUCAUAAUAUCAAGACUAUAUGUUCUUUAAUAACUUUAAUUAUUAUAUAAUUAAAUUAUUUUUUAAUAAAAAAAUAUUAAUCUAUUUAUAUAAUAAUUACACUUAUCAAAGUCUAUAAAGAUCCAUCUUACAUUUCAUAUGUUUCUUCUUGAGCUAUAAAAAAAAAUGAAUAUAAAAAUAUGUAUAUAUAUAUAUAUAUAUAUAUAUAUAUAUAUAUUGUUUCUUCCUAUUAAAAUAGACAACAAUUAAGAAUUUGAGGUUGAAGAGUUCUUAGAUGAAGGUAGCGCCAAAAUAGGUUAAAAUAUCUUGUACAUUGAAACAAAUAUGAUAUUAAUAAAUGAACAUAUGAGACAUUUAAGAAUCUUACAAAUACAAUAGAGAUGAUCAAUAGUUUUUAUUAAAAAUAUCCAUCAAAAUCAAGAUGAAGAGUAAAGAAGAUCUUUGCUAUAAAAUAAAGUAGAUUGAAUGAAGAUUGCAUUCUAUCUUCUAUCCUUGUUUGUAGUUUCUUUGUAUUUGUAGCAUAAAAGAGAUGAAGAAUGAAGAACCACUAAAUCAACUUAGAAAAUAUUAUCUAUUGAACUAUUAGAAAAAAUAUUGAUAAUUUUACAACCUUCAAAAUGAUGUAAUAAAAAUGAAGAUUCUUAAGAAAAAUAUAUUUUUUAUUGAAUAUAUAGUAAGAUACAACAUGAUUAAUAUCACAAUCAUAGAAGAAACUUUUAAUGUUUGAUAAUAAAGUUAUAAGUAGAAACCACUCUUUAUAAAAUUUAAAAUAUUUUAUUAAAAAAUAUUUAUGAAAGCUUCAAUAAUGAUCAAAUAGUAGGGUGGUCUUUUUGCCUUCAUAUAAGAUAUUAUUGAUAGUUAAGAUGACCUAUCAACUAGGGAUCUACUUGGAAAAUAUCUAAAUAGUAGAUAAAAAUAAAAAUAUAUAUUUCAAAGAAAAUUUUGUGGUAGAUAGAAUGUUAAAGAAUAUUUUAGAUAUAUCUAAUCAAUAAAUAUAAUAAUGAACUGAUGGAAGUUGUUUUAAUAUCCAAGUUUUUAUCUUUCUUAUUAUUUUAUCUUAUAUUUUUAACUAUUAAUUUUUAGCUCACUUAAAGAAAAGGAGAUGAGCAUCAAUUAGAGAGUCUAGUGAAAAAAAAAAAAAGUAAGAUAAGUUAAAUGUGUCAUUAUUUAAGACCUUAUUGCUUUGAUUUUUUUAAUUAUUCAUCUAUUUUUUUUUAUAAUAGAAAUGGUGGAAUUUAUAAAUAUAAAGUUAUUAAUUCUUUUGUAUUUAUAAUUUUAUUUUAUAUUUAGUUUUUUAUUUUUCUUAUUAGAAUUAGAACAAAACUUUAAGGCUUAUGUAUAACUUAUAAUUUAUACUUUUAAAGAAAUUAUAAGUUGGUUGUUUAAAUAGUCUAUAUUAAGGUGUAUCAACAAGCAUAUAGAAUUGAUUGGAGCAUUGUCAAUCUUGCUAUUAUAGCUUUAGUAGAUAGAAAGCCAUUUUUGUAAGAAACAAUAAAGAAUAACAUAUAAUACUAAUAAUAGUAUUAUAUUUUUUAAAUGAUAAUCAAUGGAUGAAACAAGUUAUAAAAUAAUAGGCUAUAAUGAAUUUAAAAAACUUGUUCUUCUUUUAAAAAAAACAUUGGAUGCAAAAUAUCAAAGAUAAAAUAUUUGACAUGUCUAUUUUGAAGAAUCAACAAUAGAUUGUUCGAAAUUUUAUCAACUCUAAGUAAUACUUACUUUGAAGGUGAUAACUUUAAUACAAGCAUUGUGGAUUAGCAAGUUGCUAAUUUCAAGAAGAUUGAAAUAGCAAACUUAUUGAAGAAUAAAGAAGUUGUAUAUAGAUUGAUGGUGAUUGUAGCAAAGGCAAAGAUAAGGUUGUUUUUUCUAACUCCAAUAAGCCUUGGCUAUGCACUCAUUAUUACCACUAGUAAUGAGUAGACAUAUAUUGACAUAAUAUUAGAGUUUGAAGAAAUGUGCUUAAAUAGCCUCUUAUUCUCAUUUCUCUUCCUUGUUUUUUAUCUCUUAUUUCUUUUUUAUAGUCUUUGUUUCUUAUUUUUUUUCUUUCAUUCCUUAUCUCUCAUUUUAAAGACUCUCUCCUUCUCUUCUCCUUCUAUUCUUAUGCAUAUCUUCUAUUUCUUGAUGCCUAGUAUUUUUUAUAAGAAAUUAAUAUAAAUUAAUACAUUUUAUCUCUGAUUCUUUUAAGUUCCAUGCAUUAUAAUGUCAUGGACAUACAUAUUUGCUCCAAUAAUUACCUACAUAAUAUGAAUAGAUAGACUUAAAUUAAAGUAAAUAAAUUAGAUAAUAUCUUAUAAAAUAGGUUCUUAGAAGCUUUAUAGCCAUGUCUUUAUCCAUAUACAUGUCUAUAAUUGAUUAAUAGGUUAAACACUUGGCCAACUUAUUAGCCAAAUAUCACACAUAUUGAUAAUUUGUGAUGCAAGUUAGAUAUGUGGCGUACAUAUAAGAAGCUUAUUUUAUAAGUUAGAUAUGUGUCAUGUAAGUUGGACAUAUAUUUGAAGCCUUAAAAAGCGUUCAUACAUAGCUCUUAAUUAAAUAGUAUAUAUAGAGGCAAGAAUGAGGCCUUCCUCACUCUUAUCAAUUCUUUUCUUACUUCUAAUUUAGUUUCAAGGAUACUUAAUUUUCUUGUUUUUUAGAAAUAGCCAUUUUAGGAUUUUUUUUUAAUAUAUAUAUUUUAUCAUAUUUUUUAAAAAAAAUAUCUCAUUUAUUUAUUUGCAUUCAUCAAGUUUUUAUUUUUGAAAAAUUAAUAAGAGUGCACUUAUAAUAUUAAAAAAUUAUCUUUUUUUAAUUAAAAAUAGAUUAUUAUUUUUUUAAUAAGACAUAAAUAUAUUAGAAUUUUUGGAUUAUUUACUUCUAAAUUGAUAUUAUUCUUAGUAUUUUUUUUGUUCUCAAGUCUUUUUAUCUACUUGUCUUGAGGAAUAUUACACAUCUCUUUUUUAAUUAUGUUAUCAUGAUAAUGCUUAUUGAAAUACAGUAUAUAAUAGCACAAAUACAAAAGUAAUUAAAAGAAUUAAUACUUACAAUACAUCAACUUAAUGUAACACCAUAAGAAGCAACAAGAUUGGCAGAAAGUAAAGAUAUUUACAUGAUUGGAGCUGCUUUAGUAUCUAAAUCAAAUAUAUUACUUUUUUUAUGAUAAAAAAUCUUUCAAAUAUUAAAGAACCAAGAAUUGCCUUACCUAAGAAGUUUAAUGGUAAAAAACCAAAAAUUUGAGGAUUCAUCAAUCAAAUAUAAUUGGUGAUUGAAAUUCAACCUCAAAGCUAUCAAACUAAAGGAUCACAAGUCAAAUUUAUUGAAAUAUUACUUUCAGAUUUUGCUUUAUCUUAAUUUUUAUCUUUUUUUUUAAUAAUUUUAUUCAAUAUUGAAUACUUUGGAGAUUUUUUUCAUAAAUUUUUAAUUCAUAUAUUAAAAAUAUGAUAUAAUUAAUAUUUCAAAUAUUAAUUAUUAAUAAGAUUAAUAUUUUAUGGAAAAAUAAUUAAUUCAUAAUAUUAUAUACUUCAUAAUUUUGAAAACUUGUAAUUAAUAUUGAGUGAAAUAAUAUUAUAUUUAUUAGCCAAUUUCUCUACAGAUUACAAUAUGACAUAAAGAAAUUAAUGCUAAACUUACUUAAUUCUCAAACAUUAAUUCAAGCAAUUGAUUUUGCUAUGAAGUCUCAAAAUCAGCUUUUGAAUUUUUAUUUGAAAGUUAUACAAUUUAACUCUAAUAUUUUUAUAAUUUAAUAGCAAUAUCAAUGCAUUUUCAACAUAUAUAUUUGAAAGUAGAAGACAUGUAAAUUAAUAAAAUACAUUUCAAACCUAUUAUUGAGCAAGAAUAGACUUAUUGUCAUUAAGAAGGAUUAUACUUAUAUUAGAGAGAACCUAAGCAUACUACUCAAUAUUGUCUAAAGAAGCAAUAUAAUCACAAAAUAAAGAAUAUGGCUAUCAUUAAAGAUAAUAUGUCAAAAAAUAAGUUUUUUCAGCUAUAAUAGGAACCAUUGUUGUAAUACAUGUGGCCUUGUUUGAAAAUGCACUAGGCACUUGGCUAUGAAAGAUGAAGUUGUGUUUUAUAAAUAUCCAAGAAAUCUUAAUAGGUUUUAUCUAUAUAAGAAGAAUGCAUUUCGAAUUUGAAUUCAAAAGUACUUAAAGUCAAUACAAAGUGCUCAAAAAUAUUCUUCUUCAUAAUCUCAACUAUACAUAAACUCCAAUUGACUUAUUACUUUUAUAAUUAGGUAAUUUUGAUUUUUCUUUGUAAGUCUUAAACUUAAUCAAUAAGCUUUGGCAAAUUGUAUUUCCUAAUUUGAUUAUCUGCUUAAUUUAAAAUUUUGUAUAAAAAUGCUAUUAUAAACCUUCUAUAUGUUUAGAAAAAUUUAAUUCAAUUAAAUUUAUAGAUGGUAAAAAAAAAUCUAAUAACUCUAUUAAUGUUACUUGACCAUCUACUUGAAAGUUGAUGCAAAUAUUCUAGUAGUGAUUUCUCCCUUUUUAAUUAUUAACUUUAAUUCAAAAUUGGUCUAUAGCUUGAUUUUAAAGUCUUCUUCUACUAUGCUAAUUUUUACCUUGAUUCAACUAAUAGAUCUUUAAAUAUCAUAGAAAUCCUACUCAACUCUAAACUACCAACUUUUGAUAUGCUCUUAUAUCAAAACCUAGAUAUCUCUCAACCACACUAUUAGAUUAAUACAAAAUUUUAUAUAAAUUUAGCACAUCCAAUCAACUAAGCAUUGUUAAAUUUUAAUCUAUAGAUAUGACACCAACUGCAUGAAUUAGUUGAGAGUGCUAGCCCUAUUUAUAUUAUAUAAAUUCCAAGUCACCAAUAUGAGUCCUAAUUUUGAACAAAAAUUACAAAGUCAUUUCAAAUCCUAUAAAAACUAACCUGAUACAUUUGAAAUAAGCUUAAAGCUAGCUCAUGAAUUCCAAUUUUUGAUCUUUGAAUUAAUUCUUAUUUUGCCUUAGGCAGCCGUUUUAGUGGCUGGAAGUCUGAUUUUGACCUUGUCCCACAAAUACUCGACCCUUGAGUACCAAUUCAAUUUAUUCUAGGAUUUUUUUUAGUCUGACCCUAAUUUCAAUUUAAUUUUAAUAUCAACCAUACUAAUUAUUUACCUCUUUUAUUCUAUUUUUAUUAAUUUAUGGCCUUUUUAAGAUACUAAAAAAAAUUCUAUAGUUUAAAAGGUAAAAUUAUUGAUCAACCUUUAAUCUAAUAGCUAUUAAGAUAAGAAAAUAAAUUAAGAGGCUUUUAUAAAAGCCACAUUUAAAUGACUUGAAUUACUAUUGAAUCAAGAUGAUUAGAUAUUAAUUAAAAUUAUAUUUUUUAUCAUAUAGUUGUAUUACAACAUGAUAUCAUGUGGUUGAGAACUUGUACAAUACCUAAUGAAGGUCUUAUUCUCUCCUAAGAACGUUCUUUUUAUUUUAUAAUAGAUAUUAGUUUAGGACCUAAAUAUCACAAAGUCUAUACUUAAUAAAUUCAAGAAUCUUUUUUUAUUUUAUAGAUGAAGAAUUUGUUGAAAGUCAUCAUAUAUUUUUAAUAAAAAAACUAAAUCAAUACAUGUAGAACUCAUAAAUAUUUGUUUGUUGUCUUUUAGAGAUAUUAUCUAUAAAAUUCUUUCUAUAAAAGUAAUAACUAAUAGUCAUAAUAAUUUGUAAUAUUUAAUAUUAUUACAUCUUUAUCUAAUCUAAUUAUUUUAGGUUUAUCAUGGCUAAAAAAGUAUAACCUUAAAAUAAAUUGGAUUAAUUGUAGUCUUGACUUUUUUGAGAGUGUAAUUAAGAGUUUUUUUAACCAUGUAAAAAUUCAUAAGUCUAAUACAAUCAAACUCGUAUUUAUAAAAAUAAGAACUCUUUUAUAUGUUUUAAAUGAAGAAUCACCUUGUGUUAUUUAUGCCACACUUAUUUUCGAAUGGUAGAAAGACUUUAAAUGGUAUUCUAAGUCAAUAUUAAGAUUAUUAAAAUAUUUGUGGAAAAAAAAAUGUAGAUACUCUUUUAGAAUAUUGGCCCUCAAAUUAUUCAAUUGACCUUUAUGAAGAAGCUCUAUUACUAUGUAGAUCAAUCUAUAAUUUAUUAUAAAAUGAGUUAGUUAAAUUCAAGGAGUAUAUUAAUGAGAAUUUAGCUAAGUAUUUUAUAUGCCAUUCAAAAACUCUUAGAGAGGCUUUUAUCUUAUUUAUUAAAAUAAAAUAAAAUAAAAAUAAAAAUAAAAUAAAUAAAAUAAAAAAUGAAUCAUUGUAGAUGUGUGUAGAUUAUCAAGGACUUAAUAAGAUUAAAAUUAAGAAUAGGUAUCUUCUAUCUUUGAUAUCCAAACUUCUUGAUUAAUUAAAUUAAGCCAAGAUCUAUACUAAAAUAGAUUUAUAAAGAACAUAUAAUCUAAUAUGCAUCAAAAAACAAAAUCAAUAGAAGAUUUGUUUUUAAAAUAGAUACAAGCAUUUUAAAUAUAAUGUCAUGCCUUUUGGAUUCACAAAUAUAUUAGAUAUUUUUUAACAUCUAAUAAAUGAUGUCUUUUGAAAAAAAAUUGAUAACUUUAUUGUCUGUUAUUUAGACAAAAUUUUAAUCUAUUCUAAGGAUACAAAAGAGUAUAAGUUUCAUAUUUUUUUAAUGUUAUAAAAACUUAAAGAUACAUGAUUAUACACCAAGAUAGAAAAGUGUAUAUUUUACACUAUUGAAGUUGACUUCUUAUGAUACAUCAUUUCAAAUGAUGGCCUUAUGAUAGAUUCUAAAAAUGUCCAAACUAUCAUAGUUUGGAAGAUUCUUAAAAAAAUAAGAUUUGACUAAUUUUUUUUAAAAUUUAUCAAUUAAUAUUGGAUCUUCAUCAGGAAUUUUUUUCAAGUUGCAAUUUUACUUACACAUUUGACUUGUAAAGGUAAAAUUUAGUAGAAAAAAAAAUUGAAGUAUCUUUUAAAGCUUUAAAGAUAAUUUUUAUUUUUGCACUAAUCUUAUAUUGCAUCAACUUCUCCAACGCAUUCUUCAUAGAAAAAAAUGCAUCAAACUAUAAUUUAUAAAAUCUUCUACAAAAAAUUCAUAUUAAAUAUAGAUUUCUAAAUUAUAUUAUUGUAAUUUUAUAUAAUCUAUUUAAUAUCUUAUGAACAAUAUAACAAGUCUUUAACAAUCAAGUCUUUAUGUGAUAUUAUAGAUCUUAUAAUUGAACUUCAUUGUGGACUUUCUUUUAAGCACAAUAUUGUCACAAAUAGGAAUAAAUGACAAACUUCAUUAUAUUGAUUUUUAUUUUUAAAACUUUUUAGAAAUUAAAAUCAAUUAUCAAAUCUACAACAAAGCAUUUUUUGUAAUUAUAGAUUUAUUUUAAGAAUAGCACUAUUAUCUAGAAGACUUUUUAAGUCCAUUGAUUAUUUAUAUAAAUCAUAAGAACCUUAAAUAUUUCAUAUUAGCACGUAUCUUAAAUUAUUUUUAGGUCUAUCAAAAUAUAUUUUUCUCAAAAGUUGAAUUCAAGAUUACAUAUUGGCUAAAAAAAUAAUAAGAUUUAUUAUAUGUCUUUUAUAGACGUUCUUAUAUUGUGACAAAAAAAAAUGUAACUUUUAAUUAACAAAGAACUAUUCUCUUAAAGUCAAAAUAAUUUCAUCUUUGAGUAAUAAAAGCAAUAAUAAUUAUUAAAUCAAUUUUUCUAAACUAAUUUAAUCAAGUAUGUCUUUUAAUUCUCUUAUUUAUAAUAUAAAGUUUUUUUUUUUUUAAAUCUCAUCAUACUUACAAGUUUGAAAUCAAUAACAAUCUAUUCUAUUUUAAAGACACUUAUAUGUUUAAGAAGGUGAAGUAUAACUACAUGCUCUUCAAGCUUGUUACAAUUUUUUAACUACAUAAUAUUUUGGAUUGUGAGUCCCACCAAUGGAUCUUAAUUGAUGGAUUAGUUAAAAAUAUAGUAUUGAGUCAUUUAAUGAGAUAAAUACUAAGAUUAGAGAGUCUUUUUGACUAUUUACAUAGUAUUAGAAUUUAGAAGUAUUUAUAAGUAUAAACGUCUUAUUAGAAGAAAAGUUACAAAAAUGGAGUCUUAGUAAGUCUUAGAGGUAAUUAUCUUAGUUGAUUUAGUAUUUUCACUCAUUAUUGAAUAUUAAUGAUUAGUAAUUGAGACCAAUUUCUAUACUAGCCUCAUAUCUAUAUGUAUUACUUACAAAAAUCCUAUCAAUGAUUAGUUAAUAGUUAAAAGAAGCAUGAAAAAGAACUUCAUGUCUUUUAAGUUACAUAUGUAAAAAAUAGGAUUUUUAGUAGAUUUAAAUUUAUUUUAUUACUAUAAAAAUCAAAAAAAAUAGAAAAAUACAGUAUUUUAUGGAUAUUAGUAUUAUAAAAAUAUUAUAUAAUGUUUUAGAAUUUAUUUAGGAUUUUUUUAUGAAUUUUUAGAGAAAAUUUUAAGAUCUUGGUAAAAUUGAGUUUUAUCACCUUGAGAGCCACUAAGAAGAAAUGAAACAAGAUUUGAAGACUAUACAAGGAUUUUAUGCUAAUUAGGUAUUUUUGAACAUCAUGGUGAAGUUAAAAAUACAAAAAAUUAGUUUUACUAGUAGAAAAUAGGAGGACCAGCAACUAGUAUAGUCCUUGUUUGAAGAGAGGUGCACAAUUUCUAUAUGGGUUGUAGCACCUUAGGUAUAGGUAGGAAGACAAGACUAAGGCCUCAAGGCCUCUUUAGAAAACCAAAAUACACUACUUGUAAGCCUUAGUGAAGUUCGAACUCCUAAUUUCUUAAGCAAGUUAUCCUUGAGAUAAAAAUUAUUCACUUAAUUUUUCUAUUAUUUACAUUCUAUCUUUAAUCUAUCAUAAUUUACUCAUAGUAACUUAAAAUUACAUGAUUUUUAUGUCAUUGAAAAGAUUAAAAAAUUACAUAUCUAAAAAUAUAGUUUUUACUUUUUAUUUUUAUUUUAACUAUGUAAAAACCUAGAGAACAAACUAUGACUAGUUUUGUAGUGUACAAUUGCUUGAUUGCACUUGUUUCACUUGUUUGGUGUUGUCCUUCUUUGUUCCUUGUUUAUUGCUACUUCUACUUCUCACCACCAAUUACAAGCAACUCUUAAUUGAGGCCAUCUUGUAGUUUGAGAUGAAAGAAAAAUUUACCCUCACAUAGAUAUAAUAAGACCUUAGAAUUGAUCUGAAGAGAUUUUGGGUAGUUUUAAAUGUAAAAAAUAAUAAAAGGCUUUGUACAAUCAUAUGAUAUUUAUUCAAGAUCAAAAACUCUUUUUUAUUAAUCUUACAACUUCUAUAAAUACUAUCUAUAUCAAAAUAACUAUAAAAUUUCUAUUUAUAUGGAUUUUAUGACAAAUCUUUCAACCUUAAGUUUAUAUGAUUUUAUAUUCAUGAUAGUAGUUCUUUUUACUAAUAUAUUUUGUAUCAUGUAUAAAAUCUAUUACUAAUAAAGAAAUAACUAAGCUUUUCUUUGAUAACAUCUAUUUCUAUCAUAGAUUAUCUAAGGAUAUUAUAUCUAAUAAAAGAACUCAAUUUAUAUCAAGUUUUUAGAAGAUUCUUUUUAAAAUAUUAAAUAUAGAUAUAAAAUUAUCAUUGAUUUUUCAUCCUCAAAUGAAUAAACAAAUCAAAUGGGUGAAUCAAGUUCUGGAGCAAUAUUUGAAGUAUACUAUCAAUAACAAUCAAGAUGAUUCAACAACUUUUUUUCUAUUAGUAAUUUUUUUUUAUAAUAAUAUAAUACAUUAUUCUAUUUAAUAAACAUAUUUUUAUGCUAAUCAUGGUUAUCAUCCAUAAUUUUAUAUUUUUGACUUCUCAAAAAUUGAUAAUCAUACAACAAUAGAUUUUACAAAUUUUGUAUUAGAAUUACAUACAAUAAUGAAGGUACAAUUAAAAGAAACUAAAGAACAAUAAAAGAUCAAUGUAAAUUCCUAUUAAAAAAAAAAACUUAAAUUUCAUGUUGGCAACAAGUUAUAGUUACUUUAUUAUAAUAUUAAGACUAGCUAUUAUUGUGAGAAGUUGGAUUAUUGUACACUUGGAACAUUCUUUAUAUGUGAAUAAAUUAAUCUAGUUGCAUAUGAAUUAUACCUACCAAAGUCUAUGAAGAUCCAUUAUAUAUUUCAUGUGUCUUUUUUUGAACCAUAUAAGAUAAAGAAUUUAUUUAAAAAAAAAACAAAUACCAUUGGCUUUUGUAGAAAAGAAUAAUAAUUAAGAGUUCAAAGUGGAAGAGGUUUUAGAUUCAAGGCAAUGCCUACUGAGGUUAGAAUAUAUUAUUCAUUGGUGUAGAUAUGAUAUUAACAAAUGCACAUAGGAGCAAACAAAAAAUCUUAAAAAUAUAAAGAAAAAAAAAUAAAAAAAUAAAAAAAAAUAAAAAAAAAUCAAAGCUUUUUAUCAAUUGCAUCUAUCAAAAAAAUGAAGAGAUAAGCAAUUCCUUACUAUAAAAGAAAGAAUGUUUAGGAUUUAGGAUUUAGGAUUUUUGAAUAGGAUUACAUUGUCACAGCCUUCAAGUCAAUGUAAUAGGGAUAAAAUAAUAUUUUUUUUUUGAAUAGAUGGCAAGAUACAACAUAUUUGGUAUCACAAUUUCAAUAGAGACUUCAAAUAUUUGAUAAUUUUAUUAGAGGUAAAAAUGACUCUUGAUAGUAUUAUUCAUAUUUUAUUUGAAAGAAGUUACAAAGGCUUCAAAAAUAAUCAAAUAACAUGGUGGUCUACCUACCUUAGAAUAUGACAUUAUUAAUGGCUAAAAAAACCUAUUAACUACCUUCAAAAGAAAUAAAAAUUAAAGUAUGUGGAAAAUAUAUUUUAUUAGAUUUUGAACUUCUUCAAUAUGUAAUUAAUGCUCCUUAUGGAACUUGUCUUUAGAGAGGAGAGAAAUAUCACAGAUAUACAUAUUUAUUUUAAUAAUUAUCUAGAUAAUAUGAAUAAAUAGAAGUAGAUUAAAAUUAAUAAAUUUUAUAAUAUCUUAUAGAAAAUCUUUAUAAAAGCUUUAUAGACACAGUUGUGCAUUUAUACAUAUCUAUAGGUAAUUAAUAACUUAAAGUUUUGGCCAAAAAGUUGACUAAGUGUUAUACAUGUUGAUAAUUUAUGAUACAAGUUAGACAUGUAGUGUGUAUAUAUAUAUAUAUAUAUAUAGAUGAAGUUAGACAUGUAUCAUGCAAGUUGGAUAGGUAUUGAAGGAUUUAUAGAGCAUUGCUACAUAAUUCCUAAUUAGAUAAUAUAUAUAGAGGCAAAAGUGAGGCCUUCUUCAUUCUUGUCAAAUUCUUUCUUGCUUCUAAUUUAGUUUCAAGGAUCUUUAGUUUUCUUGUCUUUUGGCAAUAUCUAAUUUAGUUUAUUUUUUUAUUAUAAAUAUUUAGUUUUUUUGUUAUAUUUUUUAAAUAAAAGUCUUAUUUUUUUAUUUAUAUUCAUCAAAUUUUUAUUUUUAACACAUAAUAUGUUGAUCAAUUUAUGAAAUCUUAUUGAAAAUCUUUACAAUCUCUUUUUAAUAUAACUAAAGAUAUGGCAUAUGUAAUCAAUACUAAGGAAGACAAAACGUUGAUUCUUACAUUAUUAAUAAUAGAACAUCUGAUGCUUCCAACAAUAGUUAAGAAAGGAAUAAUGUUAUGUAGUAAUAUGGCCAUUUGAUUAAAAUAUAUAUAUAUAUAUAUAUAUAUAUAUAUAUAUAUAUAUGUUUUUCAUUAUAGAAUAGCCUAAUUAAAAAGAUAUAGUAAAAAAACAUAGAUAAAAAAUAGGCAAGUAGUAAAAUCUUAUAGUAUUAAAAUUACUUUUUAUGAAAAAAUAUUGUACUUAUUUUAUAUUACCAUAAAUAAGAUAAAUAAGGUAGAUUAGAAAAAUAAAGAAUAUUAACACAUAUAAAGAGUUAGGAGUUGAUUUAAAUAAAAAUUACCUUGAGAAAAUAAUAAUUAAUACCCAAUAAGGACCAAUUGCCAACCAGAGUCAAAAUUAGACCCUAAGGCACAAAAUCAAGUACCUAUAUUAUUUUUGGGAUUCCUUUGUCAAUCAAAGAGUGGAAUUUGAGAGCAAACUUGAGAAGAGAUUUUUGAAAGUUGGUUUCAUAUCAUGUGGAUUAAUAUAGAUAUUUUUAGGGAUUUUCAAAGUUAGUAAUAUACUCAAUGGAUUUAGAUUUUGAGAAAUAAAAAUAUAUUUACAAAUUUGAAGGUUUUGUAAGUUUUAUUGCAUAUUUAUAGAUGAAAAUUUGGUGGUUUGUUGUGCUUUUAGUAAAUGUGUGUAAGAAAUUUGAAGUCAAUUGAAUGAAUAGAUUAAAUAAUAUAAGAGUUUUAUAGAUUAUGGUCUUAAAAAUUAGAGAUUAAAAGUUUGGUGAGGAUUUCUAAGAUAUCUAUCAAUCUGCCAACUUGAUUGAAAUACAAUUUUGUUCAAAGGUAGUUAGUUUGACUUCCAAAAAUUUUGCCAAGUUUGGGAUCAAUUGAAUUGUGAAAUUAAGAGACCAUGGUUUAGAAAUGAAAACAUCAAGAUUAGAGAAAGAUGUUGGUUAACACUUGAACAAAGUUUAGAGAGUAUCAUCUAAUUGGUAUGUGCAAUCAUCAUCAAAUUUGUUAUAAUUGUUGCUAACUUAGUUGUUGCAAAGUUAUCAAAUUUUAAAUCAAAAGCAAGAAUUCAAAUAUUAGUUUUUGAAUUUUCAAUCUGCUAUAAGAUUUGUUAAGAAUUAGUUUAAGAUUUAGGAUUUACUUAAGAAUUAAUUAAAAUUAAUUUAGGAUUUAUGAUUUCAUUAGGAUCUAAUUUAGGAUUAGGAUUUGAUUAAGAUUUGAUUAAGAUUCGAUUAAAAUUUUAUUAAAAAUUAGAAUUUCAUUAGGAUUUGAUUUAAAAUUUGAUUAAGAUUGAUUUAGGAUUUUAUUAGAAUUUAUUGAAGCUUACAUUAAAAUUUGAUUAGGAUUAAAUUAGGAUUUCUAUUUUUGAUAUUUUUAUAAAAAUUCUUUAAGAUAUUUUUAUCAUAUAUAUAUUUUUUAAAGAUUAAUUUAAGGUUUUUUUAUAUUUCUUUUGUAAGUGCUUGAGACUUAUUUUGGAUUUAAUUAAAUAUUGAUUAACAUUUUAUAAUUUAAUUGGAGUUUGUUUAAGAUUCUAUUAGAAUUGUUAGGAUCAUCUUAUUGCAAGUUCUAUUUUUUCUUUCAUAGCUAGAUUUCUAGUGCAUUCUCAAGGAGACUUUAUGUAAUACAACAUUAAAAUGAAAGUUUGUUAAGAGCACAAAUCUAAGCAAACUUAUUAAAUGUACCCCCAUUUAAACUUUUCUUGCGCCUUAUUUAAGGACAAGAAAUAAAAGAUGGGAAUAGAAAUAAGAGAGGAGGGAACAUAAGAUGGAGAACAAGGAACAAUAAAAGAGAAUAAUGACAUGGAACAAGAGAGGAGAAUAGGGACAAGGGAUUGGAAACAUGAACAAGGGAUUUUUAAUGAGGUAUAGGAAAUGGAAACAUGAAACAAGAGAUGAAAACAAAGAUAUGGGAUUCAAAAAAAAUAACAAAGACAAGGAAUGGAUAGAAUCAAUCGUGAAAUGAUAAGGAGAGGUGUGGCUUUAACAACAUUGAGGUGUAGCUUUAUUAUAUAUAUAUAUAUAUAUAUAUAUAUAUAUUAUUUAAAAUAAUAUUUUAUAAUUUUAUAUUUUGAUAUUACAUAUAAAAUAUAUAGAAUAAUAUAUGUAAUAAUAUUUUAGUAGAAUUUAAAUAAGUUAUAAUCUAAUUUUACAUAUAUGAAACCCUAGCCCCGGCAGCCGGCGGCGAAGGCUAGGAUUCCCAGCGCCGGGCCAGGGCUGUGUUGCCAACGGGACCAGUUAGGUGCCGGGCAGCUUGCUGAGGCUGCCCGUCUAGGUGGCGGGCACCUGGGGAGGGCAGCCGGAUGGAUGCAGGGCACCCCCACUUGAGCUAGACGGAUGGACACACGGGAUCCGUCCGUCUGCUCACGUCUCAGUCUGGGGGUGCUUUCGAACUCUUUCGUCGCUGUCUUCAACCAACUCUUCAAAUCGAAGUCUUCCCUAUUAAAUAGUUGGUUAAAGCCUUCCACGUUUCGAGGUCUGAACCAUUUGUACCUGAACAACGCCCUAAUCUUCACGUCAUCGCUACCAGACACACGCCAAAUCUGCAUACUCUGCUUCAUGAAGGCAUUAUUUUUCUGAUGUGCUGCAUGAUUAGCCCGUCUUGGUUUGAAGCAUCGGUCACCUGUAUAAAUCGGUAACGUUUCCUCGGAGCGAGCAUAGGUGAAUGCGUGACUGGAGAAAAUCGUGGAAUGACCUGAACUUGAGGCCGGGUUAGGACUGUUGCAGGCUUUAUUAUUUGCUCAAUCGGUUGUGUGCGGUUCCGUACUCUGAAUCUUGUAAUCGCUGAACUGAUGAGUACUGCACCAGACCACCAGUGAGCAAGGUCAUAACAUCUAACGCAGCGCUUACGUCAGGGAACAUUGAUUCAUCGGUUUAGAGGUUUCGCCGGAGCCAAGAGGUUUGGCUAAGUAGGUUUCGUCAUGGAUUUGUGGAAUUCAAUUCUACUUCAUUCACCGCAGCGGUAUACAUCUGGAGCCGUUGGGUCCAGUGCUCGUGUGCUAGAUCCUGAAUUUAGGAGAUCAUGGGCUUGGAAACAGGGCAUUAUCGUUGAGCCUGACCUGAGCUCCGCAAAGAGAUUCAAAAGUGAAACUUCCCUCGUGAGGUAUAGCCUAAAAUUCAGUAUUACUCCAAGGGCCUUGAAUGGUCAGGCAUCAGCUCCACAGAACAACGAGGAAUUCAUCCCAGUCCAUUCUGAUCCAGAAGAUGCUGCGGUCCGAAGAUUGCUGGCCUCGCCAUGCUCAGAUGUGAUCCUCAAGGUGAAAAACUCAGGGUCUUUACAUCGGUUAUUCGAAGGAGAAUUCGUGGAGAAUUCUAACCGCUUAUUGUACAGGCAAAUGUUCGUGAUUAGAUCAUACGAAGUUGGAGCAGAUAAGACUACCGAUAUUACCACUAUCAUCAGCUUUUUUCAAGUGAGCUCUACUCUUUAGUUCUGGAAAUAAUGGAUGAUAUGUGGGUGGUCAUUGUAAACUAAAAAGCACAACACAAAAAGUACUUCAAAAUGUAUUAUUCUUUCGCUACAUUUUGAAACAUCAGUUGCAUUGUGAUUUAUGACAUUCGUUUCAAAAGAAAGAAGCCAACUUUAGGAUUUCAUGAAUACAAGUGACAGAAUUCAUGAACUGUUGAGCACAGGUCUAGAAAGAAAUCAAAUUAUUCAUCGGUAGUAGUAAUAGUAUACUGAGUUUUGUGCUUUUGUUUAAGCGACCCUCUAGAUUUUCCAAUUGGUAUGUGACAGGAAGUGUCCUUGUGCCAUGUGCAAUUAAUGGGGAUUAAAGGAGAUGGAUUUGGGGCUACGAAGGCCAUGAACUCUCAGGGGCUCAUCUGGGUGGUUUCUAAAAUGCACGUGGUAGUGGAGAAAUUCCCCAAAUGGUAAGAAUUCUACUGAAAGAAUCCAUUAGCAAACUUUGAGGCUCUGACACCAUGAAUGUAAACUCAACCUUGGGCGGAAAGGAUGGUAUUUGGAGGUCCCACAUGAGGAAUACAGCAAACAAACUACGAUUCAGGCCAGUAAGGAAGUGCAGUUGCAUCGAAGUGGCUGAACUUUUCUUUCUUACGUUUUCUUACCUCAGAUCUUGUGUGAGAAUUGCGAAUAUUAUGAGUAACACCGGUUGACUAGAUAUCACCCAUUUCAUGGAAAUGAAGAAUCUCACUGCCGAUGAUCAAUGGAGAUUAAUCGUGAUUGAGAACAUUACUGUGCCAUAUCUGCUGCAGGUCGGACGUAAUUGUGAUCGACUCUUGGAUUGCUCGCUCUGGUAAGAAUGGAAUGCGCCGGGACUGGAUUGUGCGUCGUAGCGACACAAAUGAAGUGCUUAUCCGGGCCACGAGGUAGCUUGACAGUAAACAACUUACCAGAUGCUCAGUAAAUUUUAGCACCAACUACACUAGGUCAUGAGUUUUUUUUUUUUUUUUUUUGUCAUGGAGGUUAUCAUCUAAUCCAGAGACUGAGUCAGUUGCAAUGAUGUGCAGCAAUUGGUGCAAUAUGGACUCCAAAACGCGAAGAGUUUGUAGGAUGCCGGACACAGUUCGAGCAGAGCUCGAUCCUUUCUUUGAGGACGAGCAAUCUGCGUUUCAACAGAAGAAUAUGCUUUCCACCAAAAUAGUGAAGCUUGACAACCUCACGGCCAAGUACGUGAGCUCCCCGAUCACGGUAACGAUCAAUUCCAAACAAACUUUGUGCCAACUUUCGGAUCACAUAAGAUCAUGCAAACUGGAGUCACCUGAUGUAAAUGUGCAGUCUUGCAGGGCAGAUCUUGAUGUGAACCAACACGUGAGCAACCUCAAGUACAUCAUCUGGGCUCUUCAGGUACCACCAAAUUCGUCCUGUUUCCGUAGCGUCCAAUUCAACAAUAUUUGUUAGGGCAGUUUUUUCACAAAUGCCAAAUUGGAUUGCAGAGUAUUCCAGACGAUCACAUAGAGACACACAACUUGGCAAGCAUCACGCUGGAAUACAGACGCGAAUUAAGUAAAAGCAAAAACGUCGUCGAGUCUCUCACCAGCUCCAAAACAGCUACUGAAGAAGUGCAACCCUUUGCAGCUUCAGUGCCUUCGCAGGGCUUUUGGCUUUCCCCUAGAUGCGAAUAUACUCAUCUUCUUCGAACCCAUGACUCCCAGCAGCUCGAAAUUGUUCGUGCCAGAACGACAUGGCGCCCAAAGUCGUGCAACACAGCACCUCUCGUCGUGGCCGGCAAUUGAGCUUCAAGUAGCAAGAGCUUGACACUAAUAUCUAGGAACCGAACCUGAGAUUUUUUAUCUUAAAUACUUCACUUGAGUGGAUAAAUAUGUUUUGGGGAUUAGCUUUUGAUAUUUGAGUUUUCCAAAAACAGUUACAUGAUUUGCCACAUUUUCUUUUAAAAGAACAGGCGGUUUUAUCAACUUUAGCAAAAUAUAUGUCGUUGAAAGUUAUACAUACCAUUUCAUUAUUUACAUGUUUUAUUUUUUCAAUCAUCGGUUAUCCAAGAUUUUGGUUAAUCAGCUAUUGUGUUACUAAGUGUUAUCACACAUAUGUAUUAAUAGAAAACUACAGAAUAUUACAAAAACCUUUAGAUACGUAAAACCAAGAUAACAUACGCAGAGAAUCUCCUCAAUCUAAAACAUGUUGAACUAUUUAUAAGUUUUACAAAUUUCAAACUAUAGAAUGAUAUAGUUUUAACAACUACAGCAUAAUACAGUUUUAAUCAACGCAUCAGAUCUCACUGCGGAUGAAUGAAAACCCUAGAUUCUACGGAAAGGUGCCAUACGCAACAGAGACCUCCACGUCAACAUAAGUUCUUCCAGGGGAGUCACGAAUAGUAGAUUAGGGAACCGAGCGAGGGAGAAAUAAACCGGGAAAAUAUGAAUUUCCCUCGCUUUUUUCAAUUCCCUCCAGUUUCUCUCACCCCUCCCCCGCCCCGCCAAACCCUUUCCCAGGCCCCCGCGCAGCGCCUUCUGGUUGCAAUGUUGAGAUUGCGUUCACGGACCUUGCUUGCGUUGGGGAGCAACUUGGAAUUCGAGCAAAGGCAUGCUGCUUGUUCUUGUUUUUAUCGCAAGGUAUGAAAAUCCGUUCUUGUUGGUUACCUAGUUUUUCCUCGAUUCGUCGUUUAGUCAAUUGUGACUGCGGCGCAAGAAUGAGAGACCUUGCAAUAUCGUGUGGCUCGAAGAGAUUCAGUUGAGGGAGCGAGCUUGGAGCGGUAUGUAGGGGGUCGGAGUUGGCUUUUGGUGACUGUGGAUGUGUCUAGGUGUUUGAUUUGAAGUACUUGCAAGGGUUUUGCGUCGUGGGUGAGGCUUGGGUAGUGCUGGAGUUGGUGGCAGUUUGAAGGGAAUGUUAAUUAUGUUCGUUGUGUUUUUCACUAUAUUCCGUGUCGUUUUCAUUUAUUUUGUUAAUAAAUACUUGUAGAGGAAGUUCAAGUGUAGUGGAGGAUGAGUUUCUCCGGGAAGGGUAGUCGAAUCUCGUUGCACUCCAAGUUUCUGCCUAAUUUCUCGCGUGUGAGUUUGUGCUUUUAAGAAAUAUAGCGUCUUGUUGUCAGUAGGGGCUGAGAUCUGUGACUACCGAUAGAGCUGAGGCAAGUGGGGAUUUCAGAUGGCAUUAUGUAGUGAUUUUGCUCUAUUGCGCUAGUGAGGGUUUGAAAGACACCUUAGAAGUGCGGGAUGUUGGUGCUGAGGUGUCCAAGAUUAUGGUCUGUUGCGGCAGUGUCUUAGAUUCAGGGUUGACGCUUUUGUUUUUGUUACUGAAUGGGGCGAGUGUCGUUACUUCCGUCAACUACAUAUCAGUCAGCGAAUUGGAUAUUAUGCUUGAUAGUUUUAAAAUACCUUACACCCUUUCUUCUCUUCACUUUCCCUUUUUUGUUUUUGUCUUGAGUACAGAGGAGCUGCGAAUGAGCGCAACAAUCUCUGCACGUCAUUUUCGUCUUCUGAAUGAAACGAUAUUCGUGCUACAUGAAGUUCUAAAUCUUCUACUGCUAUUCCCGAGUAGUCACUCCGACGGAUUAUCUGUCUUCUUCUUGAGUGAAGGGACAACGACAAGGUGUCACAAUGGCAGGCGAGGGGUUGAAAAAAGAAAAGUGCGAGUUAUUUGACCUACCACCGCGUAAACGGUUUAAAUUGCUAGAGGAGCAGCGUAGAGAGAAGGAAAUGGAGUUGCAAACGCGCGACUCGUGUUGUAAUGACAUUACGAAUUAUCCUUCCCAUGGGGUAUCUCCGAAGAAACUGGCAUUGCAGGAGCUCCUUAUGCUGGAUAAGGAGAAUCACAAUUAUAAGCAACGGAGAGUAAAGCGGCCUUUAGUGCAAGCAAUGCCGCCAGUGCCACCACGGCCUGUCGCCGUCAAAAGAAAAGAUCCUCCAUCAUUGCUUAUGCCGAUUACUGCAAGGAGUGCAUCGCCAAUGAUGAAGCUGAAGUCGCCCGCUUCCGGUGCGUUCAAGAGCUGGGGUGAUCCUCCUUCAAAAGGUUCCUUUACUGAGAUCAAGGGCAAUUUGGAGGUUCACCAGCCAGCAAAUGUAUCGUCUCCAGGAUCCAGUCAAUUAUUCAGCGAAGCAUCUGAAGAUUUGAUUCGUAGGUCCGUAUGCUAUCAAUCAGAUGUUCCGAGAAAAGAAUCUCGUGCUGCACAUCUAAAGACUCCGACCACAUGGGUGAUGUCGAAAGGUGUGACAUGCUCAAUUAACAAGGCACAGGAAGAUGCUGACACGAUCGUGUGUGAGAGCCCUUCGCCUAGUUCCUACACAUCCAGCUCAGAAGAGGAUAUGACAGAGAAGGUUGUGGAGUCGGUUUCCAUGAACACGACAUCGUUUCCUCCCAUGGUGCCAGUCGGUCUCAACGUGUUGAUCACACGAAGCGAAGAUACUCACCAGCUCGCGACUGAGAUUCAAGAGGAUAGUCUCGUGGAUGAGGACGUGAUGGCAGCAUCUCAGACUGCUUAUCCUUCCACUAGUGAUGAUAUGAUGAAGGCUUCUACUUUUUCUGUUCCCAUGGGCCAAGGUGUGAACAGACGUGGAAUAGAAUCAGAGACUGAAUCUUCAACUGAAGCCGAGGUUAAGCCUGUCGACGCUGAACAAUCUGUGUGUUUGGACGCCACCAAUACUGCUGCUUUAAACGUCAAGACAUCAAUCCAAUUGACAAAUGGCGACAUUCUGCUAGCGAAGGAUGGCGACAAGAAUCGUCCAUCCUUGGAUGCAGGAGCAACAAUUGAAACUACUUUGCCAACCAUGGUGAAUGGGUUAACCUUGCGAAUCCCUGCCGAUGGCUAUGAACUUAAAGUAAAGGAAACCAAGAUGGAAUAUCCAUGUAAAACAUCGGAGGAGAAUCUCAAAGCAUCUACCACCGGUAGUAUAAUUAGAGAACCAGAUGCUUGUUCUCUCACCGCUUCCUCUUCUAUAGUAGCGAGUGUCAAAAGUGCUGGAACAUCAAGCAAUCCAGGAUCUUCGGAGGGUGUGACUGUUACUACUAACCAAGUGAAGGACAAUUUGUGUGAAAAAAGCGACAGUGAUUGUCCAGCAAAACAGCAGGAAGAGCAAACUCCCCAAGUGGCGUCGGAUGCUUCAGAUGAUUUCAAUGGAAUUGGGGUGCAAGAGAACCAAGAACGAAAGGUAGUAACGACCUUGGUUGACCCACUUGCAAUCAAUGAGGGAGAUAGGAUAUCAGCGACUGACGCGCUACAAAAUCUUAUGACGGGGCAAGAAAGAUUACUCGUUGAUUUGGAUCGGCGUAUGAAACGCCUUUUUAAGCGAAUGCUUGGAAGGGAGGGUUGCAAAGGGGGUGACUUAGAGCAAGGCAGGAGCAAUUCUUCGUCAAAUUCUUUUUUGGCUUUCAGUGAGAUGGAGAGUUUUAAUUCUACGGUCGAGGACGGUAGGAAACUGAUAGAUGUGGCUACCUCGAAAUUUCAGGACCUACGGCAAUUAUCAAUAUCUUGGAAUGAUGAAGUUGUUGAUACGAGAAGUGCAGAGGACUGUCAAGUAGAACCAAGAUCCAUCAACAACGGAGUGGUGCAAUCCCAGAAUUCUUCAUUCGCCUUUACAGUGAGCUCCUGUAAAGCUUCUCAAGGUGAUGAGGUUUUCCCAUGUUCGGAGAGUCCAGAAAAAGACAGUCCAAUUCCACCUGAUUUAAAAACCUCAAGCUUCAGAUUACAAGAGCAGUCCCAUGAAUUGGUCUGCAAAUCAUCAAAAGAAGACAAUGGCUGGGAUUGGGAGAUGGAUGUACCUAAUUUCACUUUCGGUAUGCGAAGUGGAAUGACACAACGUGUGAAAGCACCUGGUCGAUGGUCAGACAGAUCAAAAGUCGAGGCCACCAGCGUAGAUGAAGACGAAGAUGAUGAUGGCGCUUGCGAUGUAUGCCGCAGCGCCGAUGGCACCCCAUCGGAUCCCCUUGUUUAUUGUGAUGGAUGUAAUGUUGGAGUUCAUGCCAACUGUUACGGCAACCCCCUGCAUCAUGAAGUCCCAGAAGGAGAUUGGUUUUGUGUUCAAUGCCAGAGCAGAAGCCCGGAUUCUAGAAGCUGCUGUCUGUGCCCAAGAUCUGGGGGUGCUAUGAAAUUGACUACCGAUGGAAACUGGGCCCAUUUAUCAUGCGCUAUUUAUGUACCCGAGGUAUGUGCAAUCUGGUGGUUUUGAUGCCCUCAAGUUUUCAUUGAAACUCUUGCUCCAGCAGCCUUGUGACGUGAAAAAAAGAAAAACAUCCAAUACAUAUUAAUAUUCUGUUGAACUCAGAUUGGAACCAUUUGUGGAGGCAUAUUUUUAGUGUAUUUAGAUCACAAAGUGUAGGUGCACAAAUUUGCAAUCACAUUUGUUGUGCAGACUUAAGCAGUGUUGUUUUUAACACGGUGUAUUUUUUUUUGUAUAAAACUCAGGUAUUUUAUCGCCAACCAGAUGACUUGGAGCGAAUUGAUACGUCGCAUGUUCCCAGUAAACGGUGGCUUUCCACGUGUAGUGUGUGCAAUUCAACCGGAGGUGCUUGUAUCGAUUGCACGGAGAUUGGAUGCACGUUACGUUUCCAUGUUUCUUGCGCUUUGAGAAAGAACCUUGCUAUGGAGUUUCGGGAUGGCCGAAAUGGUGCCAUCGUUAUCUCGUUCUGUGAGGAACAUACGGCUGCUUGGGAAGAGGUACUUCCAACAUCUUCCAAUUACGUGUAAAUAAUUUGUAUGUGGGUCAGCAUGUUCUCAACCGAAUCGUAUGUGUAAUUGCCCCGGCACUCAAUACAGCUUCUAUCAUGAUGAUUUGUUUCAAAUGCUGACUUUAAUGGGGGGUUAACAGGAUAGCAAAGAUGUCUCCACCCAUUUUUCGAGUUAAGCUGACGUCUUUCGUUGGUUGUUGGUUGCAGCAACAGGAAUCUAAAAAGGGACAUUCGAAGUACAAAAUUGUCUCCCGUGAACCAAAGAAGAUGAAAAUGCCUUUGAAAAUGAGGUUUUAAGCCGCGAUGAUGGUUGAAAAAGAGAAUUCCUUGUUCGUAUAUGGCAUUUGUUUGUUUCCAAUGGUUGGGUUCCACGAUGACCCUCAGCUGAUUGUAUCAUACUCUGUGGUGCUUGGAUUCCACCUUAGGUUUGAGGGGUUAGAAUUCAUAUUUGAUUUUUUAAGAGCAUUGAGUCUCAAUUUAAUUCAGUGCGAACACAGUCUAGCUGUAUUUUCGCUCAGCUGUGGCUUUGACACACGACUACUGCAUCUUCAUCAUUAUCCUGCUUGCUUCGAGUGUGCUUCUUGGAACAUAAAAUCAAUUUGCCAGUAGUUGAAAUGUACUUGAAUUCAUUUAUUUGUUACUGACGUUCAAAUUUCUACUGCCCCUUCUGGCAGAAAACCGCCCCUCUUAAAAUCUUGCUUGUGGUAUUGGAAGGUAUAUAAUUUUUUGAAAAUUUAGAGGAAAUAGAAGCUUCGCUCACCUACAUUUCCUGGUAAGGUUCUUUCUCAGUGGUUGUCAUCUACGUUACAUCCAGGCCCCAGUCUUUUUUCCAUUUCUUUGAGGCAAACUUAAAAAAGAGGCCAUCUCGUUGUUUCGAAUGUUCUUCUGCGCACGUGUUCUCUUUCAUGACUCAACUACCCCACUAAUCACCGAAGACUAAUUUUGCGUUUCAAUACGGAACAACUCCUGUACCGUAUAAAACAAGUUUUUGUUGGCUUCAAUGGAUAAUUCUUCUCCACUUAAGUAUGCCUCUUCAAGUUGAAGUCUGAUCCUCCUAGCAACUAGCUGUGUAUUUAAUAACAACUAUAAUAUCAACAAUAAUAAAAGGAAAUCAUCAUUAUUGACAUUCCUCUUCAAACUUAUCUAGUUCUAGGGGCAAUUUGUCAGCAGCAUGAACUGAUCAGUUCAUUACUUGAACUGGAUUCCUGGCAUGCAAGAUAAAAUAAUAUGCAAUUCCAACUUCUUUCAUGUCUGUAUGGCACCAAAUGGCUGGAGACCAGGAGAAGAGAAUGAGAGUUUGUGCAUCAGCAGACAGAGAAGACCCACAAAAUAGAGUCAAUGGUGCCAAUAAGCAUUCAGUCAUGGGUGCCAUGACUGCAUGGCAAUGUUCACCAUUAGUGUAGGGCAAAAACCAAUGCAAGAUAAUUACUGACUCAAAACCAAACCCAAAUAGAAUAUGAUGCAUGAGAUGGUGGUUUUAUUGUAUCAUAUUUUGUUCAUUUCCAAAUAUAUGUAUUCAUACAUGCAUACACACUCAAACACACAUACUACCACCAUAAACAACAGUUUCUACUUAAAAAAGAAGGGUGCAGAUUAUUAUCACCAUUACUGGUUUUGAUUCUCCUCUAAGGCAAAAGGAAGGGUUGAGGAAGGUCAGGAGGCAGAAAAAAAGCCUGCAUGGGGAUAUUGGAAGAAAGUGGUUAAGGCAAUUGCACACCUGUGGCCAUUCUGCACUCUCAAAGGCUGGAAAUCAGAGGCCAUGCUCCAUAUUUGUAAAGAGCAGACUGAUACAUACAGAAUAACCUGAGGAGUGACUGAGUGCUUUGGGAGAGGCUGCAAACCCAUGUCCAUUUUUAGCUGUGCAGCAGCAGCAGCAGCAGCAGAAAAAGUAGCAGCUGAGAAGCUGAGAUCCAGUACCUCCAUGACCUCUCUGAUGGCUGCAUUGCUUGCAGGUGGAGUUUUGUAGGCUUGCAGCUGCAGAUGUGAGGCCAAAGGAGACAUGAAAAAAGGCAAAGGGGAAAGGGCAAAAGGGAAAACUGUAAACCAUCAUUUGGGGUCUUGCAUUUGUUCCAAGAUAUAUUAGUUUCAUUGGAUGUUGAAGCACUUUUUGUGUGUACUUCAAAAUAGUUGCAAUAAUAUAAUGUACAAUCCAUUUUUCAUUAUGUUGUUUGCUGUUUUUUUAAUGAGUCUUCAUACUUGUCACAUUUGUGUUUCUGUUUUUCUUUAUCACCAAUGUGUUUUGUUGACUCCUUGCAAUAUAAACUCAAACAACUAACUUAUAGAUCCAUCUCUUUUUGACACACAGAUUAUCAAACAAUAUUAUUGAUGUGAGUUGAAUAAUGUUUUUUUAAUUCAAUUCAUAAUAGUUACAUGAAUGAUUAGGUUUUUCACUAUUGAAACUAGGUAUAGGGGUACUACUAGUCAGUCUCAUAUUAUUUAACUAAUGAGAUCAAAGUAUACCUGAGCCAAAAAUACAACUAAAAAACAAGUUAGAUCUCAAUAGCAAUAAUGCAAUUUUUUUUUAUGUUUUUACUCCACUCAACAAUCUAGUUAAUAAAAAUUAAAAAUCAAAAAUCAAAUCUAAUAAUAGAAUGAUCCCUAAUUUCUAACAUUCUCAUAUGUGUGUUUGAGAAUAUAUAUAUAUAUAUAUAUAUAUAUAUAUAAUAUUUCUCUAUACUAGUAUCUUUUUAAUGCACUUCACUUAGUGUUUCUAUCUGCAAACAGCAGCACUUUCUCAUAACACUUUGUCAUAAUACUCCAACUAAUAUCCUCUGGCAUUAGUUACCAGUUUGCCACAAUAAACCCCCUAUUGAUUUUGCUUCAUUCACUUUUUCUCAUUAAGACAGUGACAUUAACACUGACUCAAAUGCAAACUCCACAAUUUAAUUACUUCAACAAACGUAACAGUUAGAACAGAGUGCAAUUGAUUGUUAAAAAUGAACCUGUUGAUUUAUUAGAACCAACGAAGCAUUCUUUUGCAAUCAAGACCAUUCAUUCACAGCUCAAAUCCGAUUGGCAUAAUUGCAAUAAAUAAAUAAACAAAAUUAGAUUAUAUUAGUCUGACUCUUAUAUGUAAGAAAUGUCUUGGCCGAAGUAAUUUUUUUACUCAUUGAAAUGCUGUGAUAUGUAUGUGAAUGUGUAUAUAUUUGUAUAUAUCUAUAUAUAAUUUACAUGCUCACAUAUCUAGUUUUUUUCAAUAUAAAACAUUUAUCACACUGGGAUAACUUUCAAAAUACUGCAAACUCUAUCAAACUACUUGAUUAUUUUAUAUACUUAUAUAUAUAUAUAUAUAUAUAUAUAUACACACACACACACACACAAACACAGUUCAUAUAUUUUCUACUAAAAUUUUAAAGUCAAUGUUGAUUUUUAUUUGAUAUUGGAAUUAGAAUAAUUAACAAUUAUAAAAUAUGUCACUUGAUUACAGCAUCAAUUAAUUUAUAUUCAGUAACUUCACUUUUUUUUUCUUUUUUUUCUUUUUUUUCUUUUUUUUUUCUUGAAACAAAUAGAAUUGAUAGUAACUUCACUUUUUGAAAAUUUCAUAGUACUUGGCUACAAUAUAAUUACUUAAUUAUUUCAAUAUUUACUCAAAGAAAAUCACAAUUAAGUUGAUCUACUACAACCCUAUAUCUGUUUUUUUAAUUUUAUUUAUUCCUUUUUUUAACACAAAAAGAUGCUUCACUUCCAUUUAAGUAAUAGACCAACCUUGUUCCUUGAUGGAUUUCUAUUUAUGAAGUUGUGCACAAUUAACUUAGACUUCCCUCUUCUCUAUUGGACUAGACAAUUGAGGUUGAUUUGGAGUUCUUGUAUUGACAAUCAAUCAACCAUCCAUCUCCUCAAACCAUUGUUUCAUUUAUUUUCCUAAAUCUAUUCCACCACAUGAUAAAUUUAUUUUUUUACUUUUGAUUUUAUAUAUUUUUUAUGACUUUUUAUUGCAUUGUUUCUCUAAUUCAAAUAUCUAACAACCUACUUCCAUUGAAAAUAUUGUAAAUUUUACUUAUUUAACUUAUUUGUAUGAAAAUUCUUGAAGAGAGUGUCUAGAUUUAUAAAAGCAAUAAAAUGAUAUUAUAAGUUUUUUUAAAUAAGAAUACCUUGUUGCUUCAAAAAACAUAGUUGUAAUCCUAAUUACUUUUAGUUGAUAUUGAACAUAUUUAUGGAAGACUAUGCCAAAUUCUACACUCCAUUUUCUUAAUUAUAUGUCUAAAAUCAUGAAAAAUUUAUUUAGGAGAUAUCAAAAUUUUAUACCCAAUAUGCAUCACUCCCUCUAUACAAUGUUAAUUGUUUUUCGAGCUAUUUAGUAUACCAAAUUUUUGUUAUACUUGCCAUUAAGUUAUAGUUUGUCUAAUUAUUCUUCAACAAUGAUCUACUAUUUAAAAAAAUAAUAAUUUAUAAAUUUAUUAUUAUUAUUUCAGUUAUAUUAUAAAUAUUCUAAAUAUAAAUUAAAUAUUGUUUUAUAAAUAAUAGUAAUAUUAUCAACUAAUAUUCUUGUUUUCCAUGAAGAAGUUAAUUGUUAAAACUACAUCUAUCACUUUUGUGUAACAAGCUAAUAGAAAAUUUGACUUAACUACGUAUCAAAUAUUUUUUUUAAUAUUAUUAUAUAUAUAAAUAUAUACACAAUAAAUAAAGAAUUAAGAGUUAUAUGAUAGAAUAUUAGAAUUUAUAACUUCAAAUAUAUAAAGAACAAAGAGUUUCAAAAUUUUACAUACACCAAUCUUUUUUUAGCUUAAAUUAUGUAAGAUUUUUUCACUCUAUUAUAAUGAUUCUUUGAUAUAUAUAUGAAAAAACCGAAGCACCUUUUACUGUGCCAAAAAAAUUAAAAGCUUGUAUAUAUUAUUUUUUUAGUUGUAGGAAUUGUCUUCUUUGUAGUUGCACAUAUUGUGAAAAGUUUAGAAAAUUAUUAAUGCUAUAUCUCCAAUUGAUAUUAUUACAUCCUACCUAACCUUUAGCUAACAUUUAGCUAAUAAUGUGCUUCUUUCUUUUGCACAUUUUUUUUUCUUUGCUUUAAAAAAGAAUGGUGUUUGAAAGAGAGACAAUAAAUAUUUAAUAAAAAAAUAAGUCACAAAUAAUUUUUAAAAAAAACAUAAUAUUUGCCUAAAAAUUAUUUAAAUCCAAAUUUGAUUUUAAAAAUUUAAAAUAUCAAAUUAAUUUUUUCUAUUUUUUCUAUUUUUAUAUCAAUAUUAUAGUUAAAUAUUAUGCUACCAAACAUGCAUUAUGCAAAGAAACAAGCUUUAUAGUCAAUUUAAGUCAUGUGGAGGUCAAAUAAGGUGUAGUAAUAUGAAUUGAGAAUGUAGCAUUAAAAAAUAAUAAUGAUAAUAAUAAUAAUAAUAAUAAUAAUAAUACUUUAGUAAUAUAUUACAAUAUUUUUAAUUCAAGAAAGUAAUAAAAUAUGAAGUGAGUUUGUAUCCUACUGCAAUAGAUCAAUUUUAAAUAUAAUUUUUAUUUUUUAUAAAUUAAUAUAAUAAAGGUGAAAACUUUGUGUAAGAUUUUGAAAUUGUUUUUCUUUUCAUUGGCCCUUUUUAAAGCUAAGAAUGUAAUACAAAUAUCUAUGUAGGGUCCAAAACUUUAUCACUAUUAUUAUUAUUAUUAUUAUUAUUAUUAUUUUAAUUUUUAUAUUUAUAUGUAUAAUUAUAUAUUAUAAUUUUUUUGAUUCAUUCAUUUAUAUUAUUUUUUUUAGUUGGAUGAAAAAAAUUAACAAUUUAUUUUAAUAUUAGUUUUAUAAAUUAAAAAUUAAUUCCAAUAGUUUAAUAUAUAUAUUUCAUAUAUUCUAUAAACUUAUUAAUUUAGAUAUAUAUAUAUAUAUAUAUAUAUAUACAUAAGCUACUCUAAAGAAAAAUUUUAAAUCAAUAUAUAACCCAUCAUAUGUAGCUCUUGAAACCAAGAUAAAAGCUAUAUUGAUAAGAGUAUUACAUUAUUUACAACCAUUGCACAAUUUUUUAUGAUUGAAUAGAUUAGAUACUUUUUUCUUUAUUAGAUAAGAAUUGAUUUAGACUAUUUUUAUCCAAAAUGAUUUCAGAUAAAAAAAAAUGAAAAAUUUAAUAAAAAAAAUUACAUGUUUAUAUAAAUUUUUAGUCUAAAUUUGAUGUAGUGUCUUAGCUUGUAGGUAAUUUGUUUGUUUGUUUGUUUGUUUGUUUUUUUUCCCCACUUGAUGAUGAAGCUUAAUACAAGACUAAAUUGAUUAGGAAUUCGAAGUAGAUUCUUUGUUCAUUUUUUUACUACAGGCAUUAAAAUUUUUACCAUCUAUGUAGUAGAAAAUGAAUUGAGGAUAUAAAUUCUUUAUAAAUUUAAUAAUAGUAAUAAUAAUAAUAAUAAUAAUAAUAAGACUCGUGUCUUGUAUAGUUUAACAGGUAGAAAUAUUUAAGGCCUCUAUCAAAGUAAAAAAAUAAAAAUAAAAAUAAAAAACUAGACAUCUUUGUUAUACUCAUCUUUUAAUUUAAUUGUAAAUGUAAUUUUGAUUUAUUUUCAUAAAAAUAUAAUGAUUUAAAUUUAAGUAAAAUAAACUACCAUUAUUAUCUUUUUCCAAAUUACUUUCUUCCAAGGAAUCUUACAUAAUUAAUCAACUUCUGCAAAACUAUUUUUCUGUAGGGCCAUGUUGAUGAAUAUUGUUUUGUAAAUUACCAACCACAAAUUACGUAUAGACUUAGAGAUUUGCUCUAUGCUUGCUACGUGCCUAGUGGAGGAGGUGUCACGAUCACAUCCAAAUGUCGGUGGGUCGAAUUAAAUAUUACUCGUUUAUGAUAGUGUUUUCUGAUUCUUUACUUGAGCUACCUUAAACACCUUUGCCACCCUUGUACUACUCUCAUCACCCUCAGGCUAUCAAACUACACUAAUGCACCAAAAGAAUCGAAUGAACAUUUGUCACAAAUAUUAUUCAUCUUCAACUUCCAAGUUGGAAUAGUUUCGUGGUGGCCAACUUAAGCAUCCUCCAACCCAUUGUGUCACAUGGACGACCCCCACAUCUGCAAUCACUCACUCUGCAAAGGAGGAGAACCACAUAUCAUUGAGGGAUUGGGAGAAGCAACAAUGGAGGGAGGGAGGGAGGGAGGGAAAAUUAACGGAGGAGGAUGAGGCGAGAGGAGACGAAAGGAGGUGGAAGACAGCGUCGUCUGCGGCGAGGUCUGCUGCGGGAGCUUGGAGGCCACGACGCGUAGAAAGGAGGCGGGAGGUGUGGCAGUCAAGAGGGGCCAAAGGCGGCGCGGUGCUGCCAGCUCCGUUACCUGCCCUGUUGCCUGGACUAGACUGGACUGGGACUCUAGCUAGGCAGCCACAACACCCUCCAGCUUAGCCAGUCCAGCCCAGUCCAGCCCCAGCCCACCCGCGUCCAACAAUCACGCCGCCCGAGAAAGCUUCCAAACAUACAGUCACCCCCCUUCGGUUUUCCUCUGAAUCACUGAUCCGCUUCUAGACCCCUUAUUCUCCUCGCCCCCUCUGCACGUCUGCACACUCACAGGUCCCUACCCACUCUAGUGUUGUAGCCCAUAAAGGUGCCCCUCAUUACUGCAAGUACUUUUUGGCUCCAGGGAUCCUCGUCUUACAGUCUGUUUCGUUGAUUGUUGGGUUGCAGGGUUAGGCAUUCCUUUGUCACCCUACCAAUGCUACUUGGCUCCUUGGAGCUGUGGACUUGUACUCUCAAUCCAUCCAUGUGCACAAGAACUGUAAAAGCUUUGCGUGGGUUUUCGCCCUUUUUUUCUUUCUCGCUCUCUGUGUGUGCGUCUGCUUGCUUGGAAAUUGCUGCCACGGUUGCGGAGAUCUCUGAGCUGUGGGUCAAAACUUCGAGCCUGCCAGCGGCUCGUCCCUCAUCCCGCUUCCACUCCCGUUUAUCAUUCCCCAUCGCCCACGUAACUCCAUCCUCUUUGAAUUAGUAAGUUCGUAGCCCCCAAAACCAAAGAGAGCUUUUAAAGACUGUGUGUUAGUGGCCCACACUGUUCAUUAGAUUCUCAAGUCAACUCUGUUGCAUGCCAGAUUUUAGGGUUUUCCAUGCUGUAACUGUCUCUCUUGUUGCUGAUGCUUCUUCAGGGAAGCAAUUUUACUACGACACACACGACUUGAUUACAAGGGCUGAGGUGCUGCUGAGGGGCUUGAUCCAGUGUGAGAUAAUUAUGGUGGAAACGGAAAAGCUGGAAGCUAAAAAGAAGAACGGAACAAACAGUUUCCUGUUUACUGUGGUUGACAGGGCACAGGACUGACUGGUACAAUGCUAGUAAGUCAGAAAUGUGGCAAAGCCUCUAUCUGUUGAGAUAGAGUGCACCAACUUUCAACUGCAAAAAACUCUGGAUGUAAUCAUAAUGAGCUAAGGGUUUUUGGCACUUUAGUUCUAUGGCAGUUAUGGCACCAAUGUGACCCAGAAUGAAACUUAGGUGCAUUGGCCUUAGUCUUGCAUCCAUGUUCUCUUCACGUGUUCUAAUUAGCUUUAUGGGAGCAGAUUCCCAUAAGUACCUGCAAACCCUUGUGGGAAUUUUCUAAUCCUGUACCCAACUGUGUUAGGUACUCAAAUGUCCUUUGGCAUUGGUCACAAAGUGUAGCCUAAAAGAGCUCCACCCUCAUAUAUAUAUAUAUGCGCGUGUGUGCAUGUAAACCAGGAAAUCUCUUAUCAAUUUCAUUGUCUGGUUUCUAUGAUUUGGCUUCAUGAAAUUAAUGAAACAAUUUCACCCAGUUGCUGGAAAAUCUUGUAACUGACGGCCAAUGUUUCUGUGACUGCAAUAGGCCUGGUUGAUGGUUAUGUGAGUGAUUUUUGUCCAGCCAAAAAUAUCAUCUGUGCUGCAUACUGCCUGGCGUAAGAACCAAAGGGGCAGUACAACCAACUAACUCCAUAAUCCUGCUCCCUUCUCUGACAGAUUUUCUUUGUUUUUUCAAAAAACAAAAUCCCAACUCUCAAUUGAAAGAAAACAAUUGCUUUAUUAUCAGUAUGGAUCUUACAAAUGGCUUUAAUUGCAGGAGUUAUAUGCCUGAGCAAUCCUGUCUUUCUUACAAAGUUUUUUUCUUGUUUAUUCAAUGCUUUAACUUUUAGUCCAGCUGAUAAGUCAUAGCUUAUUUGGAGCUCCUUUUGGCAAAGGGAGGGUUGGAGCUUAUGUUCCUUUUGACUGAUAGGCAGUAUUCUGUUUGCACUUUGAGAGACCUUUUUGAGAUGGUUGACUUUACACAGUUAUGAGCUUCAAAGAAGCAUGAUCUGCUGAUAGUUUUGAUUGAUUUUUAUUUUUUUGAAAAAAAUAAUGUUAUUUUCCACAAUGGAGAGUUGUAUUGCAAGAAAUUGGUACAGUUAUCAGCUUUUGCAUUGCUCAAAAAAUGUCAGCAAGCUCUAGAAUGUUCCAAGUGGCUAUGGAUUUAGGGUUGAAGAACUAGCAACUUUUUAUCCGCUCAGCAACUUACUCUUUCUUGAUACUGGAGAAAAGAAGAAGAAGAAGAAGAAGAAAGGAUUCAUGCUAACUUUCCAUUUUAUAUUGAAUCAUGCUUGUGUUCUGAAGUUCAUUGCCUUCUUCUAAACUGUAGUUUGCAAUAAGUCAAAUUCCACAUUAUGAUACUAAAAAUUGUAAACUCAAGCCAUAUCACUUGUUGUGACUUGAUAUCUGACCAUUCUGGCUCACUGUGAACAUCACUAACUGUUAAGCCUAUAAAGUGGCAUCUCUCAUUUCAAACCCUAGGAGAGUGUAUUGUGACAAGGAUCAAUUUUGCGUUACCAACAUCACCUAUUUUCACUUGUAUAAAUAUAUAUAUAUAUAUAUAUAUAUACAUUUACUUUCUACAGACUCAUUGUGCUUGAUAUGCUGAUGAACAUUCUCACUUGUUUCAUGAUACCCUUUGGAUGUAUGUAAGUAUGUAUGUGUGUGUGGAGCUUGCAUAGAAUGGUCUUUGUCACACUACAUUUUUGUAUUGGAUCAUAAAUCAAUGGUUCUAUCUAUUUUAGCUUUCCACUUGCUUGAUGCAAAGAUGUUGUGAUUGAUAUAUCCUAUUGUACCAAACUUUUGGAUAAAUAAGCAAAAACAUAAUUAAAAUAAAAGAUAAAAACCUUAGGACAAUUUGUACUCAUGUCAACCUAAAAGUAGGUAUCAUUGAUUUUUAUUAGUGCAUGUAAAUAUCUAUUUUAUGAAAAUGCACAGUUACUUCUUUCUAAAAGUAUGAACAUAAAACUAAGUCAAAUAAUUUUAUUAUUUCUCAGUAAUCUCCUAAAGUAACUAAAACUGGAUGAGAACAGGGAAGAAUGGGGAUUUGUGAUGCUCCAAACCCUGAUUUAUGUAAGUAUAAUGGCUUCAAGCAGUGAUUGAGCUUGGCUAGAGGGAUUUAUGGGGCCAGGCCCAAGAAGGUAAGGUACAGGCCAUUUUCUUGAAGGCUUCGCCGCCCGCCACCACCACCAUCACCACCAUGAAGUUGGAGCCAUGCAAAGCCCAAGGAAACAUGUUUGUGAAGCUGAUACUGCACCCGACAUGUAGGGACAAAAUCAGCCACUCGAGGCCGGUGAGGUAUCCAAUUCUUACAUGGGAAGUGAGGAAGAAUGAGAAACAGACACCCAGCUGGAGUUGGUGGACAAAAUGCCCCUGUGGAGUCCUUGGACAAUGGGAUGUUGGAACAAGAAUAUUAAAUGAGGGGGCUCUUUUAUAUGUGCACUUGUGCCUGCCCUUUCUCACUCCUAAAGAUACCUACAAUGUGUUUUCGACUGGGAUGGAAAUGGGGCCCAAGGUGUUGUUAACUUUGAUCCAAGUGGGUCUCAAGAUUAGCUUCUAUUGAGGAAUGUGACAAAGUAAGAACAUAUCAAGGAAUCAUAUGGUUAAUGUUGUGAUUACUUAACCAGGCAUCCAUUCGGUUUUCUUUUACAAAAGAUCAUUUUGCUGUAGUUAUUGUUCAUGUGUUUUGCACUGUAUUCUACAAUAAUUCAAAUUCUUCAUAUCCAAGUUGCAUUCUGAGCCAACCCAAAAACAUACCAUUCAAAGCUUUACCAUACAAAGCUUGAGAUUGGAUGUUAGGAGACUAAAAUUGUAAACCAACUUCAAGGCCUUUGUCCAGAAGCUACUUAUCUUGUAGAGUGUCCCCAUCAAUUUGGCUGCACCGAAGUGUCAAAGUCAAAUAAGAAAGAAUUGAGAAGGAAUAGGAAAAUUCAAAAAGGUGCAUCGAAGCUUGCAAUGAGGGAUAACAGUAAUAAUAAUUGAAGGUGGAUUACGCGGAUGAACGAGCCAGGCAAAAAAUCUCGCAAUCAGCACCUGAGGGAGAUGAAGUCCCCGAGUAUUGGCGGCUGAGCGGUGAUGAAGCCCCUUGGAGGAGGUUCGGAUGAACCCAGCCGUCCACUACAAGACAUAUUGGGGAGGCAGGGCAGAGAAUGGACAGAAGAGCGAAAGCCGAAUCGUCGACGAUCGCGGACGCGGACACAAGACUGUGAGCAGCUUGAGCAGAAGAGGAGAGCCCGCACACCUACGGCGCGCGAGUCAGAUUUGUCGAGAUCGGAUUUUCCUGGCAAGUGCUUCCAGCAACUUCGCAAGGAUCGCUCAUGUAGUGCCAGACGCAGCGAUCGCCCGUCGUCCAUGAGAAUUUGCCUUCUAGUUAAUCAUUCAUAACUGGGUAGACUGCUAGUACUGUCCCGCCCGCCCAAAACUGGACAUCGAUCAGACACACAAUCUAGUGUUGUAAGGGUUCGAAGUUUUAACGGUGCGGGUUCUAUAGCAGAGGAUCCCCGCUGCAGGCUACGGAUCCGUAGUGCGCACAGAGCGUUGCAGGCGAGGAAUGAGUGCAUCAGUCGAUUGAUAGUUAGGGGGUAUUGUACUGAUGGGUGGGCGAGUGUCGGCGAACGGUAUGUACCGUGGUUGUGAGGCUAUAUAAAGCGAGAGCUAGUGGAUCUGUGGGUGUGUGCAGAGGUUCCGGGCGCUCAUCCAUGUUUGGGUGGUUGUGGACGAGAGUGUAGGAGCAAAAGGGAGUGGAGUUGUGCAUAGCUCAGUUUAGCAUCGAGGUUGAAAUAUCACGUGCUGAAAGGGCUACUGGUUGUGUGGGUUGUUUGAAGGAUGUCUAGAUUGAGGGUUGUGUGAGUAGGAGAGAGCUGGUGUGUGACGAGGUCUGGGGUAGGUUCUGGAGGGGUUCGGCGAGCUUGAUUACUAAAUUGCUUGAAUGGUUGAUUGUCUGUUGGAGAGACAUCUGCGGUUCAAAGUUGAGGUGGCGUCUGGUCUUUGGGCAGUUGAGAGGUAGUGGAACUAGUGUCAUCCGUUCAGUUGUGUGCUGCCGCUGCACCAUAGCCUGUCGAGGAGUUUAAUUUUGUCUGUUUGUAAGAACUUAUAUUGAUCACAACUCGAACAGCCUUUAGACGUACUGGGGUUGUUCAGAUUAUUUUUCGAAGGAUAAAGAGAAAUAUCACUACACCAACAGAAGAUGGGCGCCCGGGAGGAGCAGGCAAGUGCAGUAGAGAAGGCGACAGUACAAGAGCUGAAGAAGAAUAAUUCCAUGCCGUCGGAGAAAGAGGUGACCUUGAAGGACCUUGCCCGCAUCAUGGCUGGCUUUGCCGCUGAUCGUGAAUGGGACUCGUUUCACAGCCCUCGUAAUCUUCUUCUGGCUCUCGUAAGCACCUCGCCGCUCAUUCAAUUUCUUUUUCUUUUUCUUUUAACUGAACUUACUGCUGAGCUGCUUCAGAUCGCUAUCAGUAUCUUGCUCCUUGUUGCUAAGACACAAGACCAAAUUCUAUGUUGAUGUGUCAUGUGAAGAAUUGCACUGCUCUUGAAAGGCCUUGGCAAUCUUGGCGCCCGCUAACAACACUUGUGCAAAACUUCUAUCAUAAAAGUCUUCCGGGAAAGACACUGACGUUUUUGUGUGAUUAUGAAAUGUAGGUGGGCGAGGUGGGAGAGCUUUCUGAAAUCUUCCAGUGGAAAGGAGAGGUACCCCGGGGUCUGUCGGACUGGGACGACGAUUCCAAGGAGCAUUUGGGCGAAGAACUCUCUGACGUGUUACUCUACCUCGUUCGUCUAGCAGAUGUGUGCAAUGUAGACCUCGGUGAGUCGGCUCUCCGGAAGCUCGAGAAGAAUGCACAGAAGUAUCCAGUGGACCUCUGCAAAGGGAACGAUAAGAAGUACCGCGAGCUUGCCAAGAAAGGUCGUGAAAAUGGCGUCCGCCGCAACAUGAACAACACCGAAAAUCUGGUCUAUGCUGACAGGCGUUAACAAUUUUCCCCCUCUUCUUUUUUGCUUCAAACAAUCUCGGCUCCUCUCACAUUGAUCACAUUUUGUACCCUUAUUGAAGAAUCCGCUAACAUUAGUAGAGUUCAGUGAAGGAAGUGCACUGCCCACAGCCAACGGAGAUGCUCGUGAAAUUUCUGCAAUUUGCUUCUUAGCCAAAUGAAUUCUCACUGUCGAAAUCUUCACCUCGGCAGUAUCAUUCAAGUCACAGAAGCAGCAUCACCCCCUCGUACUGCAGGAGCUGGUCUGAAGAAUGUGUGGUAGACUCGGUAAAUCCGCAAUCACCAUUCAUCAACCAACCUAAGUAUUAGGAGACGACCAAACAAUUUUUGUUUUUGUACUUGAGCUCCGGCAUCCAAUUAAUCUUUCCAUCACCUUCGCCACCAGGGCGAUAGACUAGUAAACAAAUAAAAAAUUUUGCUGUUCAGCACGGCCUUGUAUUCGAGUUGCAGGAAACGGUUUAGUUUCAACAUCCUGGUGUCGUGAUUAUUUAGAGUGCGGGUCGUUCGGACUUGAUGGCAGUUACAGCGUGCUAGCAUCGUACAGUAGACCAGGUAGAGUAUAAAACUAUGUGGAACUUACAGAUAAUAAUUUGUCUUCUUUUGUAAAUCACAGAACCCAAACUGCUGUGUCCCAAACCAUGCCUUGUUCAUGAGACCUUAUGCUUGCAAAUUACAAACUGUGAUUUAACUUUUGCUUAGUGAGCAUCAAUUAAAGUGUGCACACUGGUCACAAGUUCCCGACUGAACAAUUUUCUUAACUGCUGCUGCUCGGUAUACACACACCCUCUUUCUCUAUUUCUUCUUGUAAGCUUCCAGAUCAGUUUACAGGCUCUUGGGGUUGAGCAAAUACAUCCCGAGCCGGGGAUCUCCUCUACGUCAUUACACAUUGUAGGGAAUGAACAUCCACACGGAAAUUAUCCAAAUCUAAAGAAAAAUUGGAAGUCAUGAGGUGGACAUGGAAGUCGAGCAGCAAGUGACAAAAUGUCCAUCAAAAAGCACAGGGGAAUAUCACAACACAGAGUAGUACUUUACCGCACAAAAGAUCAAGAAGGAUGUCCUUUACUUUCUUUUGGAGUAAGACACUUUAAGUACUUCACGUGUAGAGUUUAAGACAACUGACUUUAACAUGAACCCCUCCAUUGAAGCAAUCAUUGUCCAAAAUCUAUCAUACUUUAUGCAAUCACAAGCAAUAGAAAACCCAUUCCUCUCUGAAUAAAGUCUGGGUCCUCUCUUCAUUUUUGAGUUUUGAGGUUGAUAAUGAUGCUUGAAUGAUUCAGGUGGAAACAUAUCUUGAGUAUGUGGAGAAGUCUUCAGUGUACUUGGUUCAGUCUUUAAACCAGUUAGCAAUUCCACAGCUGCAAAAAUUGUGCAUGAAAAAGAAAGAACCAAAAACACUGUGUCUGGAUGUUCAUGUAACAAAAAAGAACCAAAAAACACUGUAUCUGAAUGGUCACUUAAUAAAAUUUAUCUUUCUUGUGAGCAUGGAGGCUACUGAAUAAGACUGGCAACUUACCUGGGCUUACAUGUCAAGGGAGCACUGUCCCAGACUGUGAGAAUAACUGCACAUGGUACCAUAUAUUUAUAUAUAUAUAUAUAUAUGUAUAUAUAUAUAUUGUUUCCUCCAAAUGGGAAUCAAUAACUGGAAAACCAAGAACUAUGUGGGGAACCAAUCCAGACUCCACAUCAUGGGCAGCAGGAACACACAAGAACAUGAUUUUUACUGUUCUGGUUUGACCAUUCUUGAAGUGAGUUAUAUAUACAUUUUUAAAACAAGGCAGGGAAGAGAAAGAGUCCAUAACUUGAGGGGCUGCCACAGAUUUACAUUGCAAAUUAGAGUUAUUAAUUGUAUUUAUUAUGCACUUUUGAUUGAAGUACAUAUAAAUUUCAACACUGUCUUUAAGAAAUGUGGGGGGUAGUCAAAGAGACCAUAGCUAUCAAGCCACUUGGUCCUCCUCAUUUUUUUUUAUUUUUUUAUUUUUAUUUUUUAUUUCCUUUUGGAGAACUAGCAGUAAAUUUUAGUACUUACCAAGGGCAAGACAUCUCACCAGCAGUUUUAUCUUGUGUACUAACUCAUAUCCUCACUCAAGUCCAAAAAGCCUUGUGUGUGCUUUUGUAUAGUAACCUCUCACCUAAGCUCUCUCAUCAAGCUUUGUCAGAACUUGUCCCAUCACUGCCUUCUUUGUUGUCCAACAGCAACCAAAGCCCUCUCUCUUUCAAAUCCUAGGGACAAAAUCUCCACCAUUGACAACACCACGCCAACACUAAAGUUCAAUUAACAGUCUCCAACCCUCUCUCUCACUCACUCCCCCCCAUAAACCCAUAAACCCAUAAACCCUUCCUUACCUGAAACUCUAAUAACAACCCAAAAACAUUGCUGUGUUGAGGGGCAACAGGAGCUGUGCACACAAGGGGCAGGAGGGGGGGGGGUCCUAAAUAAAGUGGGGCCUCUGACAUAAAGCAGCGGAAGUUUUUUCAUGCUAUUUAAUUUUUUACAUUGAUUUAUUUAAGCUUGAGCUAGUGGAUGAGGUUGAUGUUUUGGAUUGGUGGCUCAGAGCUCUAUGAAAAACAGACGUUGCAGAUUAGAGUCACCCUGCAGAAUCCCACCAAACAUAUGGAUGGAUGGAUGAGGGGAUAGGGAACGUCAAAGAUCGUUUCCAUGGGUGCCUCCCCAAAAAUGCACUAGGAAACAUACAAAUCUAAGAUAUUUUUAACAUUUAAUUGAAUGAAAAAUACUUAAAUACAAAUAUAUAAAUAAAUUAUUUUUAUCAAUGGAAAAUCCAGAAAUAGUAUUUAAUAAAAAAUCAUCUGAAACCUUACUGCAAAUUUUCUAAAAACUAUACAUAUUUAUAGGCAAACUUCAAGGUACAAAUUUACAAAAAGAUAUUGACCUUGAAGUCUCUUGCUUUACCAGAUGAGUGAUUGUUAAAAGCAACUUUGAUAUAUAUUGUAGGAUUGCCUGUAUUUAUCUUUAUCGAACAUUUAAAAAAUAACAAAAUUUGUAUUAAAAAAAAUCUAUAAUCAUAGAAUAGAUUAUAAUCCACCUCAGAGUAUGAAAAUUGUAAAUCUUCUAAAAAAGUCUAAGAAAAAAGAAAAAAGGAAAAAAUAUAUUUUAAAUUGACCUUUAGUCUAGUCCUUUCUAUCUAUUUAGAAAAGGCUUGGACUACAAGCAUACCCCAAGUUGCUAUACACACAUCCAUUGCAUCUAUUCACACAUCUAAGGUUUUUGGUUGGCUCAUCCAAAUCCAUUAAUCCUUAUCCUAAUGUGAGUCCCAUUGCUUCUCUUCAUUGUCCCGGUGCAAGUCCCACUCCUUCACAAAUCUAGCUAUAAGUACUCCUAGAAAGUUUGUCUUCUAUUGCCUCAUAUGAGGUCUUCUUGAAGUUGAUAUAAGUAAUGAGAAUGUUGCAUUCUUCUCAAGUUAAUUGCACCUGCUUCUUAUACAAAAAGGUCCUUCAAAAAGUAACCAAAUUCCUCAAAAAAACCUGCUCAACUUCAUCAAGAGUACAAAUCUAGACUAAUCUCAACAAAUUCAUUUCUACUUCCUCCAAACAUUGACAAUAUAUUGAAGAAGACCUAAAUCAAUGUUGGACACAAUUUGAAAUAAGAUCUAUAUUAGCCAUGAAAUCUCUUAAAGAAUUUUUGUUGAUUAACAACAUAACCAAAUAACUUCAAGAUGCUCUUUAUUUGAUUAUUUUUUGAGAGCAUCUUUUAUGAGUGUGUCUUAAGAUCUCACUGCCAAGAAAGAUAACAAGAAUAGUUGGUUGAAGAGGGAUGAAAUAAAUUUUAGGAAAUAAAGAAGGAGAGUUAGAAAAGGGUGAUACCAUAUUAAUGCAUGAUAUUGCAAAGUAUUGGCUCUAAGCAAAGAUGGUAUAAUGUUUGGCUCUUGGCAAAUUUUUGCUACUUUUCUUUAUGGUGUUUGUGUUUAUUAAGGAAGGCCUUCAGUUCCUAAGCCUUAAUUGUCUCUUUUUCAUUCUCAAACUUCAGCUUAACUAUUGUUUCUUCCAACUAUGAUAUCUCAUUUUCCAUCUUCCAUUUUUCUUCUUCUUUCAUAAUCUUCAUACAAAGCUCUUGCACAUCAAUAAAAAAAAAUGUCAAGGAGGACCAAGACCUACAUCAAGAUAAGAAAAAAGGGAUUUGGAUGAGCCAAGUAGAAGCCUAAGAUGCAUGUAUAGACAUAAUGGACAUGCGUAUAGCAACUUAGGGUGUGUUUGUAGCCUUAGCCUUUAGAAAAUCCUACUAGCAUUCAAGGUUAUUACUAAUAACCUCCCAAAUUUUGUUUCAUUUUAAAUUCCUUAAUGAUAUGAAAAAAAUAAUCAAGAAUACUAUGCAGGCAAUCAAAUGUCAAGACAUCAAAAGUUGUGGUUUCAAAUUGUGUAACCAACAAAAUUUCUCUCUUUGAAUAUUGAUGUGCAAUGUAAGCUUGGAACAUGAGAAGUGAGAUUAUGAAAAGUAUCUUUGCUGAAUAAAUGAUAAAAUGUAUAUAAAUAUAAAUAUAUAUAUAUAUAUAUAUAUAUAUAUAUAUUUUAAAAUAAUUUUAUGAAAGAAGACUUUUCAGCAGACAAUGAUCUAAAAAGUUUCCACAGUUUGUUGAAAAGUAAAGACUAAGAGCCAUUAGGGUGGUGUAGCAAAAAAGAGGUGUAGAUUGGAGAUUGCUAACAAAAGAAUAAGGACAUCACACAAGACUUGAGGAAUUUGGCUUGUUUUUAUAUACUUGCUUGCCAUGGGAGCAGUGAACAUAGCAUGUCUUUGGUCCAAAACUCAAGGUCCUUAAAACCUUUAGAAGAGUGCAACUGUAGGUAACAGAAGGCAAAGAUCUUCAUCAACAAAAGUUCACAUAAAUCAUAUACAUAUUAAGCAAGGACAUCCUUUUCAAACAGUGCUUCCUUGACUUUUGACUCUGUCUCUAUAUUGAAUCUUGUUUGAUUGCUAACUCAAUUUUGUACCCAAUUUUGAUUUUUCUAAGAAAAUACAGUCUACCGCAAUGGGAGUGGUUGUCUUAUAACUGUAAUUGUCCAAAACUGAUGAUUUUUAAAUUUUUUUUUUUUUAUGAUGAGUGUUAGAAUGUAGAAGUCCUCGUAACAACAUCAAAUUGAUUAGAUUUUAUACAUUAAGAAUUGCGUUGAAGCUUGUAUUUUGAUAGAGGUUGUUUUCUUCAAUAUCAAGUAAUGUAUAAUUUGCUUGCAAAGCUACAUCUUCAAAAUGUUUUAGGGUAUGAUUUGGACUUGGAGGAUAAAAAAACAGAUUAAAAGACAAAAAUAAGUGGAAACAAAUAAAUUAGGAAAAUUACCACCAAAAUUCAUUAGAUAAAUCUUUAUAAGUUUUAAUACAUAUAACCAAAUGUUUCUUUAAACAAAUUCCAAAGAGAUAUUUAAUGAAUCAAAUAAAUUAUUGAUUGAGAAAUAGUUGCAUAUUUGUAUAUAGAUGAAUUUGACAUAAUGUUUUAUAGAUUUUAAUGAAAAAAUAAAAUUAUAUAAAAUCAGAUAAUAUAUAUAUAUAUAUAUAUAUAUAUAUAUAUAUAUAUUUGAAAAGGCUAAAAACUUGUACACACUUGUAAAACUAUGUUAUUUCUAUUUUACAAUUAUUUAUUCUAAAAAUAAUUAUUUCAAAGACCUAGUCUUUAUAUUGAUUAUAUAUAUAUAUAUAUAUAUAUAUAUAUAUGUAAUUUCAAAUACAAGUAUAUAGAAUAUAUAAAUAUUAUCAAAAAAUAAUUGACUUACUUCUUUGCAUGUAUUAAAUUUUAUAUAAGAAAUAUUACAAUUGCAAAAAUUAAGUUAGAAGAAGUUGAUAUAUUUAUAAUAAAACUCAUUGAAAUAGCUUAAUAUGGCUUUUAAGUUAGGAAAUAAUCAAGAAAUAUUCAUUUGUAUUGAGUCUUUGUUUAAAAACAUAUUUUAUAAAAUAUUAAACUUUUAAUAUAUUCAAUAUUUAAAAUUUGAAGAAAAAGCUUAAAUAGGUUUAAUUUUUUUUUGAGUCAUAGUGUCUUCUUGGUAAAAUAUUAUGUUGUACUUAAAAAGUCAUAUAUUUGUGCUUGAUCUUUUGAAACAUAUAAAGAUCCUUUAUUUUUUAUUUUUUGACUCAAGUUUAUUUAAACCAUUAUAAAGCUAAUUUUUAACUUCAUAAACAAGAAGGGUUUUUUAAUAUAAAAUUUUAAGAAACUUAUCGGAGAAUAUAUAUAUAUAUAUAUAUAUAUAUAAUUAAUUAAAUUUAAAAAAAUACUAAAUAGAUACCUCAUUUCAUAUUACUUAGACAGCAUUUCUCUCACAUACACACCUCUAUAAUAAAAAUAAAUAAAUAAAAUAAAAUAAAAUAAAAUUUCUUUUGAAUUAUAAUUCUUAUUGUGUUUAUUAUUUUAAUAUAAAAUUUUAUAUAAAAUUAUCCAUCUAUAUUUUAUGGUUCUAUACUAUCUCACUCUUUAAUUCUUUUUUCCUUGUAAAUCUUUGUUCAAUUAAUUUUUGAAUAAUAAAUACAUAAAAAAUAUUGUACUUUGUUAUUAUAAUUAAUUAUUUAUUUUUUUAGGAAAUUUAAUGUUUAUUUUAAAUAAAAAAUAGUCAUUUUCUUUUGGAAGCAUGUAUACAAAGGGGUGUCUACCCAGCAUUUUUCUAAAUUUUUAACUUUAUAGCACAAAGAUGCAAUUGCUUUGGUUUCAAAAGAAUGAUUUUUAAUUAUUCAUAAGUUGUAUCAUAUUUUUUUGGCACAAGUUAAGAAUGCCUAGACAUAUAUUUUAAUAAAUAUUAUUUAUUUUUCUAAGACAAUGCAUAAUACUAGAUACAAAUUGUGAUAUAUUCAUAUUUUACAAAACUUGAAAAUAAUGCAAGACAUGUGCUAAUAUAUAAUACUUAAGAUGCUUAUAAUUAUUAUAAAUUAUGACCAUACUAAAAGUGUUGUCAAGAUAUUAAUGACAAUUUUUAACUGAAUAUUUAUUUUUAAUUUUUAAGGUAUAGAUUAUUAAGGUUAUUAGUAGUAGUUUAUAAAUUAUUAAUAAUUUAUGAAAUAUUAGUUUAUAAAAAAAAAUUAAAUCAAAAAUAAAAUCAAUAUAUUUAUAAUAUAAGAAAAAUGAAUUAAUAAAUGUAAAAUUAUUUUUUUGAUAUUUAUUUUUGGUUUUCAAAGUUUUUAUAUAUAUGAAAUUGUAAAUCAAUUUAUGUAUUAAAAAAUCAAAUUUUAUAUUUUUUAAUGAUAAAUCUUAUUUUUCUAAAUUAAAAUUAAGUAUGUAUAUAUAUAUAUAUAUAUAUAUAUAUAUAGAUGCAAUGACUAGUAUUCAAAUAUACUAAAUUUGAAAGUAUUUGGAUUAAAUAAUUUUGAGGUUGAAUUUUAUUUAUAAGUUGUACUUUCUUUAAAAAAUAUUAAAAUUUUAGUCUAAUACUAUCAAGCUUUUUUAGAAGAAAAUUCUUUAAUUCUUUUGUAGGGUUUUUUUUCUUUUUUCUUUUUUCUAUAAGAUACUUAAGGUAGUACAAUUAUAGAAGAAAGCAUUGCCAUCUUUAUAUUUUUUUAUUAAUAUUUUUUAAUAUUAUUUGAGGUAAAAAAUAGAAUGGAUAUAUUAGAGGUAGAAAUGUUUUUUUACUUAUUUUGCAUCUAAGCCAUAAUGUUAUUUAUUUCUACUAAUCAUUUUAUAAUAUAAAAAUCUAAGGAUUUGUACAUAAGUCAAAGAAGAAAAAAAUAGAAAUAUAGAGAUAAUAUUAUUCUAAAAAAAAUAGUCAACAAUCUCUAAAGUAUUCUAAUACUUUUAUAAAAAUAAUAAUACUAAUACUAAUAAUAAUAAUAAAAAUUUUAUAAAAAAUAAUCAAGCUUUAACAAUAUAUGUAUUGAUCUUGUUAUACAAUUAAAGAAAUGAAUCUAAAAAAAUUUAUCAAUACAUUAUAUAUAUACAUCUAUUAUUAGAAAGAAAAGAAAGAAAAUAAAAUCAAAAUUAUUUUCAUAUAUAUAUAUAUAUAUAUAUAUAUAUGAAGAUAAAAAAAAUCUAGAAAAUAUUGAACUAACAUCAAAAUAAAAGACAAGCAUUUAUAAGACUAAAGAUACCCUUAGUUUUGCUUCUAUAUGCACCAACUAAUAAGGUCAUUUAGAAGUUUUUUAAAGACCACAAGACUUGUUGCCCAAGAGUCUAAAUUGACCAAGUUGAAUUAGAGCUUUGAGAUGUAUAAAUAGCAUAAAAAAACUUAUUUUUUUGAGGUUUUUAUAAAUUUUCUUUUUCUAAUAAAUAGAUUCUUGAUUUUCAUAACAGAAGACACAAUUCUUGUUUUGGUAUUAACUAAAGUAAAUCUUGAGAGAAUUUAAGACUAUUUACAGAUUUUUUUUUUUUCAAUCACAUUGGAUUCAAAUUAAUAAAAUUAAUUUGAGAAUUAAUAAUAUUAAAAAUCUUUUGUUCAAGUUUUUAAAAAAUUAUUAAGUUGAAUUUAAUUUAGAUCACUUUUGUUGUAAAACAUUAUUUCAAACAUGAAAAAAAUAUAUAGUUAGUUAGUUAGUGAUUCCAUAUUUGUUUACAACAACAGUUAAUACUAUUUAUUCUAUUUUGGUGAGAUAUUAAAGAGGAGGGUAUGUGCAAAUGGGCCAUCAGAACAUCUUUUUCAUUGCUAAAGUAGAAAACAGCUGAAAAUGAAAGGAAGAUGUAUCAAAGAACGGUUUCAUACAGAAAUAACGUGGUUUAAUGGAAUAGCAAUGGAAUUGAGAAAAUUGAAAGUACUGACACCAGAACUUGAAGAUACUGGCACAAAUUUGAAAGAUUGUUGGAAGGAAGAAUUUAAAUGCUUUGUUUUUUCCAACUCCAUUGUUUUCCCCCUAAACAGCACAGAGAAAACAAUGUUACACUCAAAAUAGGGAGGCCCCCAAUCUGGUUUAUAACCAAUCUCAACCCAAAAAGAAAUUGAAACUUCCUCUAACCUCCAAAGAAAACUGCACCGUUUACUGAAUACGCACUUUUAAAUCUAAACAUGAAUAUGAAUUUUUUUCAAAUUCAUUCUCCAAACCACCCUCCUUUGCUUCGUUGCUCAACAUUUUAGCGAAGAGAUUAAGUGCAAUAAGAUCAAAGGAUUUUGCUGCAGCUGUCAACUGGAUCAAUCUUAUAGUUAUUUGUUACUAGUGGAUUGAUGUACAUGACAAGUAAAUGAGGUGCUGCUUGGAGUUCAGACGUUGGAUUAGUCCUUUGAAAUUAAGUGGGAUCUAGUCGGAGACUUCUGUGAUUGAUUGACCAAGGAUCUCGCACAUUUCUCUUCCUUCUAAUCGCGUAGUCUGUAAAUGAAGAACUUGGAUAAACUCAUGUCGACAUGAUAAUGGUGUUGUUCUACAUAUCCUACUGAGGGGUGUAGUGUUCACAGAACAAAGGAGAUUUCUCUUAGUAAGGAAAAUUAGAUUGAUGUUUUUGUUGCAUCUUAAAACCAGUUCCUCAAAUUUAUGAACGAGACUGGUGCCCUACUACUUCGGCUGAUUAAGUGUCUGAUAUAGAUGUGGAGGUACAUCAUUGUUUCCUCAUUAGACAAGGGAGCUUUUCUUUGAGAAGUGCUCGAAUACGCCACAUAGGAAGUGUGGUGAAAGCGAAUCUGAAGCUUGGGAGAGGUAAUGGGACUCCGAACCCCAACGAAGAGCUUGGGUGCUCACAUCUAACGACGAACACAACCCACCUAGUUUUGUAUAACAUAAUGGACCUGAUCAGACGUAAAUCGAUCAAAAGACCUAUUCAGAACUUGAUUCUUAUUCAUUUACAUGUUACUCAAACUCUGCACCAGGUAUCUAUUCGCGCGUCAUGAAUAAAAAAAAGUUACAGUCCUAUUUUCUUAGAAUUUAAAGAACUUCUUUCAUAUCUUUCGAUGUUUACAUUCCAUCGACCUCAGAGUUUCAUGUUCAAUAAGCUAUGAGCCUUCGAAUUGAUAACAUCGUAUGCAAAUUUACCUCAACCGCUGCUGUUGUCGCCUUUGCAUAGGCUAUUUUCUUUGGUGGUGUUGAGUUCAUCAAACUAAGUUCACUGUCUUCAACAUACACACACAUCUCAUUUGAAGUUGUUGACAAGGGUGACAAACUUUCUUCACAAAAUAAAGCAUUGUGCGGUGGUCCAUUCUUCAGCAACUGUUGUCUGUACAGUUCACCUAUUUCGGAUUGCAAUUUUGUGUCUGAUUUAACAGAAUGCUACAUAUUUAUUAGCUUUCAUCAUCAAACCAUUCAGUUCCUGAUAAAGUUCAUGAUAUUCUCCAUGCCUUGGCGAGUAUUGAUGCAAAUCUCCCAUUCAGUGCUCUUCCUUGAAUCAUUGAAGGCUAGUAACUUUCAAUCAAUCAGGUUAUGUAUUUCUGUGGUGUCUUCAUCCCUGUCAAGUGUCUCCAUUACUUGUUUUUACUACUAGAAAGUUUUGCAAGUGACCUAUUCUCAUUUUACUCGAACCCCUAGCAUUUACCUGUUCAAUUUAUUGGGACCAAAAAAAUCCCUCGUCUGUCAAGGUGGGAAUGAAUUCCUCAAGCCAGCUGCUGAUCUAUCAUCUCUGCUACAUAGUAGCCUUGAUCAGUAUGUUAAAACCCUGGAUUAUUUCCGAUGCAUGGAGCUAAUCGGUUUAGUCUUAGCCAAGGAAUUAUGCUAAGACCAUUACUUUCAGCACAAUUGAUACAAGGACCCAAUUUCCCUGAUAGUCUCUCUGAUAAUAAGAUUAACUACAGAAAUUAAGAGUAGCAGACAAUAAGAGUUACUAUCAGAGAAAUUGGGUCUUUGUGGCAUAGUCCAUCAAUCUAGUAGGGUGCCGACAUACUCAAUGAAGAAUCCCAUUUUAUUGGGACACCUCCUGCCAAGUACUUUUCAAAAGCAGCUAAUCUUUUUCUUUCUUUUGCAUGAAUUUGGGAUUUGCACUGGCAGAGGCUAGCACAUUUUCAUGUGUGUUGCACGUGCCCUGUUAAAAUGGCUCUGGGUGAAGCAAGGAUAGUCGUGAUCGAAGCUACUGCUGUUUGGAUGCCUCGUCCUACACGCUACAUGAAUGUUGUGUUAUUGCAAUGCAAGACCUUCGGCUGUGAUCCUCGUUGCAAAUUUCUCGAUUACUUUUGUCCUGAUUUAGAGAGUUCGCAAUCAGUGUGAUGUCUUUUUUUUAUCUCCCAAUUCAUUUGCUCCAUGGAAGGGAAAAAAAAAAAAAAAUCUUUUUUCUGACACUCUCUCGAAAUGCUAGACUGAAAGCAGCUAAGCUACCUCUCCUGGAAUCUUCGAAAAUAAUACUGCCAGUGCCGUGAAACGUUUGGAUCCACUGAGCUUAAGACAUAUCUCAGUGUGCAAAAUUUUGUUUGUUUCCAAGACUCGGUCUGACGUUUUUUUGACAGUUCCAUGGGAUAAGAGGCAUCAAUGUUUUGAUAUCACGUCUCAGUAGGUGAGCAUACUUAAUGUUUUAUAUGAAGUCCUCAGACUGAGGGUAGCUCUCCGGAGAAACCGGUUUUUCCAGACUGCCCUUUAAUUCACAUUCCCUGCAGAAAUUUGUGUACUUGAGCACCUCGUGAACUCAGCUAGUGGCUGUAGGUAACUGUGCUCCUAGAUGUUCCAAACCCUUAUGUGGAAUUCAAAAGCAUGUGACCCUUACUGAUGUUGGAAGAUAUUGUCAGCUAGUCAGUCCGUAGCCACUCGUUCAUCUAGAAAGUGGAGAUAGACAGGUCAAAGCACGUAAGCGAAUCUUUCUCUGGGUUUGAUAUCAGCUGCAUUGCAUUAGAUUUACUGUCUGAGUUGGUCCACUGUUGCUCUUGUUUCAUCUUUUCGCAGGUUAGGAUUUCGAGUCACACCAGCAGGCAACCUUCUUCAAACCUUGAAUGGCUCUAGCUAUUUCUUCCGACUAUCUAGAAUCCAGGUUUGAGUCCUUCCACUCCUUUUGUCGUGCAAAUAUUUGCCUUAAUGAUUGACUUUUCGAGAGCAACUCAGCUUGAGCAGGUUCUUGGGUUCAGCAUGUUUUCCUUCCAAUCAGCUUUGUGGAUAAUCUUGAAAGCAGCUCUUUUGACAAUUAAUGCUUUUGUCUAGCGCCUACUAAUUAUAUUUUGGCAUUAAAAAUUAUCCGAAACCCCCCCCAAAGAAAGCGAUUAAAACACCAUCAGAUCCAAACUCCAUUAAACGUCCCAAUCACUACCAGAGCCUAGCAUCAAACUCUCAUGGAGUGCAUGACAACUACUGAUCUUAUCUCCUGGUUCCUUGGUACUCCACUUCAUGAUGGAGUCCAACCUUUGUUGAACCAGCCUUGAGGAAAAGAAAAAUAAUUGAUUGAUCUACAAUUCUCAAAAACCUUUGCCCCUACUCUGUGAAACUCACUUGAAAAACAAAACUAAAUUCAAGUGAAGGAUUGUCAAAUAUGGUGGUGUGUGGAAAAAGUCCAAGAAUUAUUACCUUGUUCUUCAAAACCCAUAUUUCAAAAUCAUGAAUUGAGGAGCAUGGGCGGUAGGGUGAACAACUAGCACUAUGUGCACACACGAGUUUCUCCAAAACUGAACCCAUUUUCCUGCUUUGUAACCCCUACUUUCAGACGAAAUCAAAUCCACCACGAUUCUGGUAAGCAAAAUGAGUGAGGACCAUCACAAGGAACUUGUUCCUGGACCACGCCUGUGCAGUUAUUGCAAACAAUGUAGAGAAGCCAUGUCAAACAGAUAAGAAGAUACUACUCUGAGAUUCACGUAAUUCUUAUACUGUUGAAGAGGCAGCCAUUUGAUGACCUAACAGUGGAAGAGAAGAUUCAGCACGGCAUCAAAUGGCUGCCAUCUUGACGAGCCUGCAAGCAUGAUGCGCGGCAGAAUAUUUAUCCUGAGGACGACAUUUACUUGUAUUGUGUUGAAUUAUUAUUGGUAAGAAUGCUAGAAAUAAUAUUAAUAAUAUUAAUAAUAUUAUUAUUAUUAAUGUGUGUUUGAAAACUAUCAGAUGUGCAAAAUGGACUGUAUUGAAUGGCAUCAAGGACGUAACUGAACGUUCUGGGCGGCAUCACAAAAUAAGGUUCAUCCAGCGCUUGGGUGGAACAUCGAAUGGACUUCAACCCCUUUGCACAUAGCAAGCAGAAUAAAGAGAUCCCCUCGCACUAAAGCUCACGCCCACCAUGGAAAGUAACCAGGUGGUGAGAAGUAGAGCAUUUGCGCAGUGGAUAAGAUGGCCCAUCCAAUGCCAGCUAGCACUGGCUCUGUUCCUCCAAGUGGAAUCCAUCUGCAGGAGCAACCAUGAAAACUAAAGCUUGGGGGGGGGGGGGUCCCAUCUCUUUCUCAUCUUUAAGGCUCUUUCGCAAAAAGACCCUCAGUUCUGUCCAUUUCUUACUUGAGAUUAGCAGAUGGGUUGUCAGUGCAUCUGACCACCUUAUCCACGCUUCUUCUGCUUCAUUAACACCAUCGUGCCUAAUCCUACUUCAACUGCCACUUCUAGGAUGGAUAUCGUUUCGAAUAAACCACACUUGUUUAGUGUAGCAACCGGGAGUCAAUUCUUUGGACAGAAUAGGCCAAACUUCUGAACCGUAACGAGAUUUGCAAUCAACAUCGUAAGGUGCCGUUUGAACUUACAAUGUGCAUGUUUAACCGGAUUUUUAGUAUUUCUCGACACAAAAGAAACUGUGCUGAGAUGCACACUGGAAACUGGCAUCUUCCUUCGAAGAAGAAAGUGGUGGUUUGCUCAGCGAAGUCUACGCACAUUCAGGGCCAAAUCCUCAUUUUGAGCGAUGCACGACUCAAGGUAGAUUAGCUUGUGGAAUCCACGGCAAUUGCUAGAUAUGAAUGAGUCAUAAAUGAGAGGGAAUGCAUAGAGACAAGGUAGCCUUAUCUGAAAGGAAAAGAGGAGAUUGGUCAGGCAGAGAUGGCACGACUCAGCGAUCCAAUGGUGCAAGCUACAUGGCGCCGAAGAUCUCCGAUUGCACCCCAUUUCCUUUGAAUGUGAAACGAACCUCCCCGCAUUGCUGCUUCGAACACAGCGGUUUGUGCGGGCGCGGUUGACGUGGGGAUUGAUCGCCGAUUCUUUGAAAGCGAAAAAAAAAGGUGGGACCCUAGUAAGGACAAUCAUGGAUAUGGAAGGAGACUCGACGGGAAAAAUCAACAGAGUAUGGUUUCCGUUUGUCAGGCUCCGCCAGACACUGUUUCUGCGGUGGUUAUUCAACGCCGCUCUGAGAGGAGGCUUGCUGUGGCCCAUUCUGUGGACGGCAACAUUGCGGCUCCAGCCGACGCGUAAAGAAAUCUUAAACAUACAGAAACUCUGUUGAAUCUAAGCCACCUGUGGAGAUUCAGCGGUGGAUGAACAACAGUUUCCAACCACACGGAGCUCGACCAACCAACCCAGUGCCGUGAGCAUCUUCCUUAUGGCGGAGAGUUUCCGAGCAUUUUGUAGGUCAACAGUUCGGUGAUUGUUUGCUGAAGGAGGUUGAGAUUCAGCCAACUCUCGUGCUCUGGAAUUCCAAGGGCGUGAGAGAACUAUGCAGUUUUUCUCGGCGACUUGAAUCAUCGACGCAAGUGUGUGUCCCUCUUUGGCUGCAGUCCUUCGCUGCUGUCUUACAAAACCAAAGAUUCUAGUUGAUAUCAAAGUUUAAUAAAAUGGAUGCACAAACAAAUAAGAUCCGACGUGGACUUGAAUUCAUGAUUUAUUCUACGCCCUCGUCUUCUUAUUAUUCGUCGUUUGCAUGUGUUAAUUUGCGAUCCUUGGUUUGUCCUGUCUAGUUUAUUCAGCUGUCCAUAGCUAUGUCUCUUCAUGCUUUUCCUAUUCUGGAGUACUUUCACAAUUAUGGCUUGCGUCUGAGUCCAGGUGUGUGCUAAUUCAUUAAAUUGUCAGAAAACUGUCCAUGGUGAAGAAACGCAUGAAAAACGUGGCAAUGCCUUUCCGUCUACAAGCUCUAAUUUCUAAAAAUAAAUAAACAAAUAAAUAAAAUGUAGUAUCCCUAGUAUGCUUGCUUUUCAUGUGAGUUAGAUAUUCAAGCCUCGUGAGUUAAAAAUAGAAAACAGCGAUUUUUUAUUAUUUAAGUUCAAAUGAAAUCUUAUUAUUUUAAUCGCAGAUUAGGGUGUUGAAGGUACAUGAAUCGAGCAGGUCUAAGUAUUUAAAUGGACAUGACAUGGCUGAAUUAAAGAAGAUGAAUAAGUGUCACAAUAGAAUACAUGUGCAUAAUCUAAAUAAAGCACACGGUGCACUGAAAAAAGAUGUUUGUAUGUCUUGGUGUAGCUAUUAUGUUCGAUACCCGGUUCAACAGUGGUGUGUAGAGUCAUUUCUUUCAACUUAUUAUCCCUGUUACUCUUCAUGAACAUUUAUAUCACUAUACGGCAGUAACAAACACACAAAGAGGUAUAACGAUAUUAAUUAUAUUAAUAUAUAUAUAUAUAUAUAUAUAUAUAUAUAUAAUCAUUCACAGUCGCCAUUCAUUACCAACGGAGGAGAUCGGUAGUGUCAGCAUUUCGAUCGAAGCCGAAGCCGUAAUACCUGCAACAGUUAGCCGAAUGAAGUCCGACGGGGAGGGGGGCAGACGUCGGCGACCAGCGCCUUGCAACGCAGCGUGCCAAUGCUAGCAUCGCCGUGAUGCCCAAUUCCUAUAGAAGAAAAGCUUGAGCAGCCUCAUCAUACCAACCAACCAACACACACACACCUCGCUGAAACCAGAAACGACGACGCCACUUGUUCGCACUAGAAUUGAAGCCAACUCACACUAAUAUAGGAAAGUGCUGACUUGGCUUACGCUUAGUGGAGGCUGAGGUGCUGUAACAGCUCGACAUUUGGAUAAGUGCUUUGGGGGGAUAGGAGAGAUAUUAACUUACUUUUCUGGAUCAUUCGUUUGAAGCUACGGUUUUAAGAGUGUGAGCCACGGCAGUCAGUCCUACACACUCUUUGGUUUAUUUAUUGGCUGUGCUCAUUGUUCAUUUUCCCCAUCUCUGAUUUUAUUGUGCCUCUUCAACUUUCACUUUUUUAUUAAGUACAAAAAGUGAUCAAUGUCAAAGUAUGUUUGAGGUAUUACCGAUUAUUUAUUGGUUUGUAAUUUGUUUGUCUAUCUCCACAUGCAAUUUUUCAAGUUCUAGUAUUUUUUAUUGAGUACGCAUUUGGGGGUUCAUUCAUGGCACAUUCACAAAACCAAAUAACUGGGGUUCAACACUUGACAUAUUCAAGAUCACUCGAAAUAUUAAAUCAAAAUAUCAUAGUUCAAACUUCAUUACCCCUUGAUAUUACCUCUUGCUUCAAACUUUAUUACCCCUUUGAUAUGGAGUUAGAGAGAGAAGAGAGCUGAGGCAAGCGAUAUGUUUUUGAUAUUUGACCUCCCCUCUGUCAAUAUUUUGAUUUCAAAAUCACCCACCUUGCAAGGUGGGUGAUUUGGUGAAGUAUUAAGUAAUAUUUUGAAAUAUCACAUUGAUAUUUUGAGAUCUCAUCACAAGUGAAAUAUCAUCCAAAAAGGUCAUGUUUGCUUUGUAUUCAAACUAAUUGGUAUACACUAUAAAUAAUUUAGAUGGAAUUGGUUUGUUCAAUAACAAGUGUUGAACUUUGAAUUCAUGUGUGCAUUAUUUUGAAUCUGUACUUUAAAAGUUCAUAACAGUAAAAAAUUUCAAUUGAUAUUAAUAUCUAAUUUCUCAUUUUUUAAAUGAGAAAAUCUACAAAAAAAAAAAAAAAAAAAAACAAUGGAAUAAGAUUGGAUGUUCUGCAACUGAAAAAUACCACUUGAUUGAGAACAAGUUGGAUUUUUGUUUGAAAAAUAAUCUCAAGGAUGUCAUCAGGUACAUGUAAAAGAUCAUGAUUCAAUAUCUUUGUUUGUGCUGAUAGAAAUCCAAGUCAAAUGUUACAACUUUUUAAUGUGAUUUUUUAGGAAAAAUAUUUUUAUACAAUUAUCAAAACAAACAAUAACUGACUGGAGCUUUCAAACACAUUGAGUGCCAUACAAGACUAUAUCACUUACAAUACAUAACUCUGCAAUAUCUUUUAUAUGUAUAUAUACAUAUAUAUGUAUAUAUACAUAUAUAUAUAUAUAUACAUAUAUAUAUAUAUAUAUAUAUAGUAAAUGUGUAAAGAGAGAGUGAAGUAAAUCAUCAUCCUUGCAAUUGAGUAAUCAAACUUUAGAAAGAAAAAAUAUUGGAUUCCUUUGAGUUAGGGCCAAAAUGAAGAUUGUAUGUAUAUGUAUAUAUAUAUAUAUAUAUAUAUACAUACACAGUUAUAAAAUUUUGUUGGGUUGCAAUCAACUAUAAGCUUGAAUAACGUGGUUGAAAUCUAUUAAACAAUACAUGGAUACAGUUAUGACAAAGACCAUUUUAACACUUGUCUUGUUCAUUUUAAAGUUAAGUUAUAUUGACUAUUUGAUUAAUAAUAGAUAAUUCCAGAUGAUCGAAAUUGGUUAAUCACAGCCGUUUUACCUUAUCUGGAUCAAAUUUCAACUCUAUUGUGGGAAUAAGCAAGUAUCAUGUGUGUUUCUUGGGGGUUCAACAUAAACAACUCACUACCAGUUUACAAGCUGUCUGCAAUCAAAUGUGAACAGAAUAAAACUAAAAUUCAAAACCUGCAUAAAAUUGAAACCCUACAUUAUUGUCUUUCACUGGUGCUAAGAUUUUUCUAUUCAAACAUCAAAAUCAGUUUGAAAAUCCCACAGAGUAAUACUUUAUAUUGACUGCUUUUGUAUGAAAGUUGCAAAAAUUAUACUAAUAUGCCACCACAUAGUUAUCUAUGUGUGGAAGCCUCCACAAAUGUGCUGUACAAACCUGCUUUUACAAAAAAAUAUUACCACUCUUUGAUGUGACAAAUGCAUUGAAGCUUUUUGGACUAUAGGUGUUUGGGAUGACACCUCAUAAAUUGUAUGGGUCAAAGUAAUUGGCUCUCAAAUCUUAUUGCAAACAUUAUGGGAUGAUUAUUAUCAGCAGAGGCUUGUCACCAAGCAAGCCACUCUUUUGUUUGAUUUUUUGUCUACACAUGGGUGGUGACCUCCACAUCAUCCCUGUCAUCAGAGCUGGCGUCUAAUUUUACUUAAAUUUUCUAAUCAAGUGUAUGUUCCACUGAAAGUGCUGAUCUGUUCAACAGCACAAGCAUCUCACUCCAAUUCCAACACUUAUCAUGUUUCCCUAAUCUCACCCUCAAACCCUAAUUGACAAGUUUAGCAAGGUGUUAGUAAUAUGGCACUUGCUUCACAGGAAAAAUGCCUUCCCAUGUGUUUCAUGGCACCGCAUCUUCGCAGAAGAAAGAAUGAAAGGAAGCCAAUAAGAAAGCAGAAAACACGCAAGGAAAGAAGAAUAAGAGAAUAAUAAAACAGAAUGCCGCAUGACUGGCUGGAAACACAAGCAGAAGAAGACGAGGAAGAGGAGCUGCCCGAUGUUGGAAAAAGCUGGAGCAGCGAUGGAAUGACUGGCUAGGUUUCGAGAGAGGACCGCGGCCACAACACUUCGUAACCGCCCCCAUCCCACGGAUCACAUGAAAAACACUUGCGGAACAGUCCAAAAACGAUUUCCAAGUGGCGAGAAGCUGGAUUUGGAAACCGGAUUCGGAAGAGAUUUGACGUGGCCUCGGACAGGCGCUGCGGUGAACUGUUUGUAAGUCAUAGAUGUGCCCUUGGCUCCGUCGUGUAUCACUCCUCGCGGCAUGAUUGCGUUGAUCUAUGGAAAGGUAGCGAGGAUCUACUCAUUAUCUGGACCGGAGCCUCGAUCGCAAGUCCCUUGAACCGUCCGAGAGAGCCACCACACCAUUCCCUUUAGUUUUUUGGGUUUGCUCUUCCUCGCUGCGUUGUUGUCGUUGAAGCGGAGAAGGCGAGCGUCGAGCUCGACACCCCCCGGACUCGUGUCAAUGCCCUUGAAGUAGGGUGGGCUUUGAAACGGCGAGGGAAGAGGGGUGGAGAGCGAGGCGAUGUGGGUUUCUGUUGCAAUUGAGUCAGGAGGCGGGUGAAGGCCGGGGAGCUUGAGGGCUCCGCUGAAGUAUUCGUGGCAGAAUCGAUGCUCUCUGUGGUGGUAUCUGAGGGAGUUUGGUUGGCGUCGGUGGCAGGUGGGUUUGCGUGGGAUGCAGGUUCAAUGUGUAGUUGCAGGAGUCAAUGGGGCCUUUGGUGUUUUCUUGUAUCCGGCGGAGAAUUUUGGGUAGAUUUUAGGUCGGUUGGGGGAGGGGUUGAGGUGUAUGGACGAGGGAAUGAAAUGUCUGAGGUUCUAGAGAGAGGAAUGGAGGUAAAAGAUUUCGGGAUGCAGUUACGUGGUGGCGGACUUGAGCGGUUGCACAAUGUUUAGUGAGCGUGGAUUGUUGAGUCAUGAGUAGGUGACGGGAAUUCGGUUAACAGUGAUUACUCGGUGACAAGGCGGAGGUGCGUUCCAGGGUUUCGUCUGAGUUUGUCGUUCUUGACUACUGGGGGAAUUUGGAAAGCUCAUGACUCGCCGUUAGAUGGUCAUGGACGUUGUGCCGCCACUGUUGAGGGUACACCCUGUGGCGCUAUGAAAAGAAUAGAGUGUACUAGAUAGCGUUGCCGCUGGUCGAAGUGUUUGAAUUGUCGGGGUUUAGUGCUAGGAAUUGCGGCGCCAGCCACCACCACUCCGCCUAGAUUACUGCGUUGGAGUCCGGUUUUGGCUGUGUGGUUUUUUAUAUUAUUAGCCACUGUUACAGUAAUCUUCCUUCUUCUUUAAGAGGAGUGUCUUGCAGAAAUUCCUGCAUCAUUCCUCUGCGCAUUCUAUCACCAUCUUUCUCUCAACUGUGACUAUUACUGUGGCGAUUUUUCAGCAGUGAGGUACAUGUGAGAUGUAGAGAAAUACGUCAUGAACUCAAGUCUCUACACCUGUGUGAGUGUUUUGUGGUUUCUGCGAUCGCUACUGAGAUUGAGAUUGUUAUCUCGAAGAGUCCUCGGUGUCAUCUUAGAACACAUAUUGCAAUUGAAUCUUCGUUCAAAGAUUGCUAUUUUCGUUUGGGUGCUUUUAGUUUCAGAGGUAGCCAACGAACGAACUGAGAUAACGUAUAGAAUAGGUUAUUAGAUUCACAAAAAUGAGCGAGUUUGUAAUCUUUUGUACAAUCUUGUGGAGGUUUAUGUUUUGAUAGAUUUCUUUGAUCUUUUUUUCCCAUCUUUCCUGUGAAAGAGAAUUACUUUGAUAGUAGGAGAGGCCUUUAGUAACAUGAAGAGACAUAUCAUUGCAAUUCCUCUUAGAGGAAAUGGUGUUUUUCUUCCUGAGUGGUAUGCUAUUAACUAGAGGAUCGUAACUGAUCUGUGAAGCGACUUUCUUAACCAUCCUUAAAUAUCUUGACAUGAUUGUGAGAAAUGCUAUUCAGAAUCAAAUCGCUGUUCUGUCUUUUGGAUUAAUGAGUUAUGCUUCGUGCCUCGGGAUCCUAUGGAUUAUUAUGUCUCUGCCACGAGUCCUAUGUUAUCUGUGUCACGUAUCUUUCGUUCAUUUUCAUAUACGAAGAGUUCCUCACACUUAGCGGAGCGAUUGACUAACAUCUUACUCAUUGCAAGCUUUUCUCUUGCUGUUUUGAAACUCGAAUGUAACGUUCUCGAUUCUCGCUGUGUGAAUCAACACCAGUAUUCGUUAUUUUAAUCCAUUUGAAUUUAUUUUUGUUAUCGGAUGAUUAGAAGCACUAAAUCGACAUUUUCUUUGGAUAUCAGUGUGAAGGGAACUGUCAAUAAGGGAUCUUCUAGUCUGCUCGUGGCUAAAGUGUGAUCACCAAUCGCCAGGGUUUUCGUCAGGGGCUUUCCUCAGAGGUAUCUCGAUUUUCUUACAAGCACCCUGACAUUGCAUGUAGUGGUUUCUUUAUGUGACAGUCUCAAUUCUCUUGUCAUGUGUUUGGCCUAAUGAUAAAAUUCAAUCGGCUGAUAUUACUUCUGGUUUUUGGUAUUAGGGUCCCUUCCAAGGAGCACUCACUUUGGUGUGUGCUCCAGCUCUGACGAGAGCUUUGUGCAGAAGAAAUGGAUGCCGCUACUGCUAAAGUAAACUAUUUCUCGUGGGGGAAACCCGCAGUGAUGGAGACUGCUGCGGAUAUGAUGUUUUGUAUGGUGCCUUUUUGGGUGGCUACUGCAAUUGGUCUACUAGUUGGUUGGUUGUGGAAACCUCAAUGGGCUAGCAUUUUGUUAUUGGGUGUGAAAAGUCGCCCCCGAUUAGUAUGGGAUACUCCUCCUGGGUUUGGAGCACGUCGGUUUUGGCUGGCAAUUAUGGCCUUGUCCGCUCUUCCCAUGUGGAAAGAGGCAUGGAAAUCAUUUAGUGCGUGGAUGUGGCCGUCUGCUGAAGUGUUGCUUGUGCCCACUGACGUCCCGGUUGACGUUGCCGGCCCUAGGUGAGUUACGCACAUGAUUUUCCUUUAGGAUUAUGCCUUAAAGGGUAUCUUUUCUGGGUAAUCGGUUUCUUGGGGGCUGCUAAGACGUACUUGAAUGUUCGUCGAUGUGCAGUGAACCUGAUGCCAAAGAGAGGACUAAGAAGGAAGUGGUGACGAAUGAGGAUCUAGAUAAGCUAAUGACCUUGGCGAACGGCAAAGACGGAGGUCCUGAAUGGCAGAUAUUUUUAGACAAAUCUAUUCAUGACCUGAAGUAUCAAGCAUGGCGUCGUGAACCCGAGGUGAACAAUUUAUCUGGUGGACUCUGUUCAGGGCUUUCUAAUUCUGACUUCUUACCAUGACGGUUAUUGCCAAUGUUGCUAACACUUCAUGAAACUUUGCAGCAUGAUGGGCCAACUGAAUAUAAGACCAGAACUGUGGUCGAGGACACAUCCCCAGAAUUGAUGCGAGACUUUUUUUGGGAUGACGAAUUUAGGUGUCAUUGGGAUGAAAUGCUGAUCUACACCAAAACCUGGGAGGCAUGUGAAGAGACUGGUUCAAUGAUAGUUCAGUGGGUGAGGAAGGUACGAGUCUUUGGCAAGCUCCAUUUCCACUGAAAUAUGUUCUGCUAUCUUGUUUUCAUAGCGCAGGAGCAGAAUCGAAUGUUUUAUGUUGAUGAGAAGUGUGAGUGCAAUUACUAUUGUGCUCUUAGAUAAGAGGAAUGAGGUUCAUGAGAUUUGUGUUGAUUUUUGUUUGAACGUGUGAAUCAGUUCCCUUUCUUCUGCAAAGACCGGGAGUAUGUUAUUGCCCGUCGUAUGUGGGAGACCAACAACACAUACUACGCCGUAACCAAGGUAUCUAUACCGUUCAUGCAAAUGCUCUUACAGUUUAUGUCCGGCCUGUUCUCAGUUUGUAAGCCUGACUUUUAUCGACGUUUUAUGAAUUUUCUUUUGAUUAGCCAGUUGUUGAUGCUUGUGAUUUCAAUUGCAGGGUACUCAGUAUGCUCCAAUACCUAGACAGCAAGCGCCAAGGAGAGUGGAUACUUUCUUUUCAAGUUGGAGAGUACGAGCAGGUAUGUUUGAAUGACAGAAAUAUCAGCUAGCUGAGAUGUUCUGUGCUCUGGACGCUGGAGUGAGUAGUCUGUAAUUUAGUAAAUUACGACGUGUGAUUUCUGACGUCUUAUUGUGUAUUACACAUGUUAUUGUUAGAUUCAAUUACCUCUUUACAUGGGAAAAGCUUCUGAUUGUUUUGGUCGGGUGCAGUUGAGUCAGCAAAAGGUGACGGGCAGAUGACCGCCUGUGAAGUCUUGUGCUUUCAUGCGGAGGACAUGGGCAUUCAGAGAGACCUUGCAAAGCUUGGCAUUCGCCAGGGCAUGUGGGGGUGUGUAAAGAAAAUGAUGCCUGGACUGAAUAAGUACAGAGCGGAUCGGAAGGCAAAUUUGCCCCUAUCGCCAUCAGCAAAAAUGGCAAGGAAAUUUUGGAAAGUUCCUCGCCAUCUCCUCAGCGAGCCUGAACGUUUGACGAAAUCCUUUGAUUCUGAGAAUGUUAGGAUUGUGGCUGUGAGAGACAGUGACAUCCAGCAGGAAAACAAAAAUUACGUGAAAUGGGUUAUAUUAGGAGGUGCUGUUGCUCUGGCCUGUGGCAUCGAUAGGGGUGCUGUGGGCAAGUUUCUCGUUCUUGGAGUCGCAAGGCGCCUAGGCAGAAUUGGAAGAAGACUGUAACAUAGGUUAGUGUAACAAAGAAAAAUGCCCGGGUUCACCUUUGUCCCCACACGAAUGUGAAUGGAUCAGGUGGUUCCUUUCUUUUGCAUUUGAAUUUUGUAUUUUAUUUUAGAUUUGGUGUACCUACUCAGGCUUUCUUUUUCAUCCAUUUUUCUCCCCCUGAUAGCCUUUUCUGGGCCUGAUGAUUUCACUCCCUUCGUGAUAUAUGAUUUUGUGCACAGUUUGUGUUUUACUAUUCUGGUACUACUGCUGUUGCGUGUGGUUUAUUUUUGAUGUGCCCUUUAUUAUCUUGAGAAAUUCGAAACCAAAUAUGUAACUGCCUCAGAUUGAGGCAGUGAUUCGUGAUAUGGAAAGGAAUUUGUGAUAUUACAGUAGUUGAGAAAUGUAUAUACUUGAUUUAAAAAUAAAUAGAAGAUGGGAGAACAAUAUCUUGGAGAAAAUGUUCAGGGUAAUUAAAAUUUAAUGGAGUAUCGACAAAAAAUUAACUGGAGAAUGUAUCAAGUUAGAGGAAGAUGGACCAUACUUUUAGGAAAAAACUGAGUCCAAAAGUGAUGAAAUUCAUGUAAGAUUUUUCGAUUUAUUUCUUAUUUUUUUAAUAUUUCAAUAUUGUAUCUUACUAAUUUUCUUAGAAUUCUUUUUUAUUACGAUGAAAGUAAAAGAUAAGAAAAACAAGUAUAUGGUAUAGUUGACAUAUUGUGUAUGAGAUUUACUCUUUUGAUAUGAUUAUGACGUAUUCUAAGUUUUCUAUUAUAUUUGAUGCAUCUUUAAACUUUGUGUAAGUUUUAUCUUUUUCAUUAAAUUUAAUACAAAAAAUUAUAGUCCUCUGUUACAUGCAAUUACAUGAAUAGUAAAUAAAAAUAAAAAUAAAUCUGUUGUGUACAGUUUUGUUUGACAUCCACUCCACAUAGGAAUUAUUUUAAAGAUGAAAAGCAACAUUUAGUAUUUAUUACAUAAUGUUCAUGUUCCAUUACCUAUUUAAAUAAAUAUUUAAUUGAUAAUAAAGAUUUUUGUAAUAGCCAACUACAUAGUACGAUUCUUAAUGUUUUAAUUGGUAUGUUUCUAGUUUUUAUUUUUAAUUGCACACAUAAUCAACAUACAAAUAUAUUUGUGAAUUUUAAAGAACAUCAACAUUUGUAAGAUAUGAGAUUCAUAUAUAGGAAUCUUAUAUAUGUUUUACACACUACUAUAUAAUCUAUAAAUUUGUUGAACAUAUACUAUUCUUAUUUUCGAAUGCAAACAUCUUGAUUAAGUAUAGAUUAUUUUAAUGUUUUGGUAAACAUUUCUUAGACUAGUAAUGUGAAUGAAUCCUACAUUGCACAAUUUUAUCCACAAUUAUCCUUUGUGAUUUUGCAUGGCUUGCUACUUGCUUGUUGCUUGAGGGUAGCAAGCUAGGUAGCAUACAAUUGUUUUAUAAAUAUUACUACAUUUGUAGGAUCCAUCACUACUUGGAGAAUUUGGAAGUGGGGGCGUUGGAUUAGGGAGACACAUUUGAACCCCAAGGCACUAGGUUUGAUUUCCAAUGGCAACAAUUUUAAGACGAAAGUUUAUCAGUGAAGAAUGGAACUUUGCCAUUCUUCUCCUUCCUCCCACCCCUUGGCUUCUCCUCUUCUUUUCCUCCUCUUCUCUUAUUCUUUGAAAUUUGUGAUCAUUAGUCCUAAGAUCCCAAUUUGUGUAGACAAGUACAAACAUGCAUAUCAAAAUAAAAACAACAUAAUAUUAAAACUGCAUAAAUAUUAAAACUGCCCAAUAUCUAUGAAUGAAUGAAACUUUAAAAGAAAAACACCAUGUCAAUGGAGGACGAUUUCUAUUAUCUUCCACUUUAAUAUUUGGAAUUAGAGCAUGUGUAAAUAGCAUAUUUAAAUACAAACUGCCAUGUUGUUGACACAUGUUCUAACUCCAGACAAAAGCUUUGAUAAUUACACAGAGAACCAAUUUCUAUUUUAUAUAUGUUUUUUAAGAUAUUUUUAAUUUUUAUUUGAGGCAAGUAUUUUUAUUGUUAUUUGGUGGUUUACUACCAAAGAUCACAUCUUACUGUAUAAAUUUCUAAUUUUGGGAUUGAAUUAAGUAAUAAUGAGUUUGCUAAGAUUAGAAAGGUUGGCUCCUGAAAUAACAGAGGAAAAAAUGUGUUAAUUUGUGAAUGACGUGGAUUAUUGUCUAAGAACAUUGCACAUUCCUACAGUGAACUUGACAGAGCAUCUGGUGGUAGUAGCAGGCACUUCUCACAACACACAAAGGGAAGUGGAACCAUCUCCUCCGUUGUUGACUAGAUCUGGUUAACAAACCCCAACCCAAGAUUGAACCCCAGGUGGGAAGAACUACAAUAGAAAACUACAGUAUUCUACAAUAUUACACUCUGAGGAAAUCUAGAAAUUUUGCAAGAAAAGACUCCAGAAUAGGGGAAUACCAACGUUUCACACCUUUUGAGGAGUCAGGCAUCGAUUUCAACACGCAGAACACGAUUAACCACACAGAUCAACCAGGCAGUAGUGUACUUUUCUUGAUACCAACAGACAAAAACAGCACCCGAGUAAUUCAUGACCAAUACAAUUAAAAGGCUACAUGAGGGUACUCUGCUCAACUAAAACACAUUUCAAGACCAAAAAUAUACAUUCCACAGAAAAGACCUCGGUAGAAAUAAUAAUACUGGGAUGUAUUGUCUGUCAUGGUUUAAAAUAUGUUAAGACAGACAAGCAUGGUAUUAAAUCACCUACUUCAACCCACUUUUGGUACCUGUAGCAUUUGGUAAGGAUUUGAAUCUUCACAGUUUUCAUUACAUACUACACAUACGGGAACAGCACCCAUGGAGAACUAAAGAUUGACUGCAUAACAGGAAUGACUCCACAGUAACGUCAUGACAACAAAUUUCUGCGUCGACCUUCGCUUACAGAUAGGCCUGGAGUCGGAUGGUAGGACUACGUAAUUUAAUGUAACCUAGUGAGCUCCUCUACUGCUUUGUGAAGUUCUUCAACAGAAACCUCGAGCGAAGUGGCAAUUUCUUCCAUCUUGUUUCUACUCAGGUCCAAGAAAGACUCUAUUAAGUCACCAUCUAAGAAGUUCCGAGCGUCCACAGUUUUCCGCUCAUUGCUGAAAGAUCGCCAUUGCUCAUGGCUUAAACCACCAACACCUUUAAUCACCUUCACCAAAGCCUGUUGUAGCUUCUGCAGGAAUAAGAACUGGUCUUGUGGUAGGGAAGCAAUGACUCCUAUAACUCCAUUCACGGUUCCAAAGAUGACAGUUGGGAUUUGGCUAGCUUCGCUGUCAGGAAGUCGCAUUACAAGCGACCCAUGGCGAAAUCUGUUAACAAACUCGCCAAGAUGGUACUCACCGACAACUUCCAAUCGACCUCUUUCUUCAUCUGUAGCUGCAUCAUUGUUUUUCCUUACUGUGAAAAGAUUGAAACUAUUUUCUGCUCCCAGGUAUGUGUCGUCAUCCAAAAUCUCAACGGCUGUCAUCCAAUUAGCAUUGUAGUCUCGAGCUCUCUCCUCGAUUGCACCCUCUUCAGGCUGUCAGAUACAGUAAAGAAUAUCAUCACUUCAGGCGAUAAACAAUUCCUCAUUUCAUAAUCCUUGAACUCGUCAAAAAAGAUGAAAGUAGAUGGGGGAAAGAGCUUAGUCUAGAGGAAAAGGACCAAAUGAAACAACUUUGUGCUGAUAUAUUCCAGUAGUUUGGGAAGUACUAACCUUGUAAAUAAGAAGCGAAAUUGAUUUCAUCAAAUCUCCCACAACAAUAAAAUCUCCACGUGAUUGAACAUACAGAGCCAAGAUAUGUCCAUGGUGAGAGGACUCGUACUGCAACUCCCUUGUUCCAUCAUCUCUUAGUGUCCACUUGUAUAAAGCAAUCUUCUGGUUGAUGCCUGCUAGCAAUUUCCCAUUGAAAGCAUUCAAAUUGUAAACAGCACCCUUCACUUCCUUCUCUGCUACCAGCUGGAUCUUGCCAUCCUCCACCGAGAAAACAAGAAUUCGACCCUGUUUCAACAAAACAUUUACUACCAAAUGAAAAGAAGAAAACUGUAACUGCGAACCAAAGCCGGGUUUGGAGCCACGAUUUGGGGACCUAUACUAAGAAUAAAGAAAAUCAUGAACAUUCUGAAGUGAAAACCAACCGUGUAACUUUCUCAAAGUAGAAAAGGUAGAAGGCAUCUGGUAAAAAUGGCACUGACCUUGCUAGGUUCACUUUCCUCAGGAAGAGCAUAGGCUGUGCCCACACAAUAGUAUACAUUGGAGUCGUCAGUGAAGGAACAUGUAAUAAUGGAGCAUCCGUUUUCAUACGGGUCGAGAGGGAACCCCGAUAUUAUCUCAAACGUCUGGUCUUCAAUUAACCGGACAUAAUGCGUUUCCAUGUCUUCACCGUUGGACCCUGGUGCAUACUUGGCCGAACAUAUGGCAAACGUACGAGAUUGUUCUUGAUGGGCGAUACGGCGAGGGUGUUCACCAAGAGGAACAGUGCGAAUGUGUAGCUUCUGAAUUUCAUCAAUAGUGCCGAUAGUGAGCUCUCCUUCCUUCCCGAUCGCAAGGCUGGAGACCACAUCAAACUGAGUCAGUAAAGAUUGUCCCCAUUCAAACAUAAUCAGUACCAGAAUUUAUAACAUAAAAAUGACAGGAAGUACUCUAUUGCGAACGUUGAAAUAUAAGCUGCAUUAGGAUGGAGACUUCAGGCACAGACAUCCAGAACCGACCCCCUUAAAGAUGACUGCGUUUAUUAGAAAGUCUGUAACGAACCUGUCUGGAAACGAUGCCGAGUUAAAGGGGCACAUGUGAUUGACUUCCUUCAAAUUGACAUUGCUAUACAAAAGUUUUUUAUUGCUGCUGUAUAUCACAGUCGGACGAUCUGAGGCUGCAAACACAUGCGUGGUAUUUUUGGAUCGAAAAGUCCGUAAUGCUAUGGGUUGUGUGCCAAGAGAUAUCUUCUUUCUAUCAGAUAAUUCUCCCGUAGCAGGGUUCAGCGUGAAGUUGAACAGGUGUCCAUCCCCCAAAGCACACAACAAGUACGCAAUCUGUAUACACACGACGUGAUAAGAAUCUGAUAAAAAAUACAAAAACCCAAAUGAUGAUCAAAUCGGUUAUUGAGGAAGUUAUAGUUUCACCAGACAGGAAAACCAAUUUCAGUAAACCAGGCAACAGGUAAAUUGAUCAGCUGCCAAAGCUAAACAACCGAAGAAAUAAGUAAACAGAUCAAGUUCUUCGGGCUUAUUUGAGGACUCUAUCCCCAAAGUAGGGUCAUAUUGUAUGGACAGGGUUCACUCUCAGCAUACUAGAGUAGUAAUCCCAAUGAAAUAAGAACCAUAUUUCAGUAGAAAUUUCAGCAUCAAAUACUUUUCAAAACACAAACAGGUGAACAAGAUUAAAAGGCCUCACCCCAUCAAAAGAGCAGAAGAGGACAGAACGGGGUAUGAUUUCUCCACCCAACAUUUCUUUGGUUAUCAAGGUAAGUGAUGGUAAGGCGAAAAUUCGAAUACUGAUGUCUGUCCACAUGCCGACUGCUACAAGGUUGCUGCGCUCAGGAUUAUCCCCCACAGGAUUGAUAUCUAAACACGAGAUUUCAUACUCCAACUGUACAUGUGCCACCUCCACCAGUGUACCUUGCCCUAUUUCAAUAUAUACAAGAUUUCCACCUCCUGUUGCAAGCAAGACCUGUUCAUCCAUAUUCUGGCUAAGAUCAGCAAAGAAAAAAAGUCCUGCCAAACAACGACGAUCACCACACAUAACAUAUGGCAUAACCUAUACAAUAAGUGAAAAAAGGAUAAGAAUGUCAGUGGUUUAGCUCAUCAUAACAUACAGAUAGAACUUCAAAUCAUGAAAUCUUCUAGUAACACAGAUCAGAACAGACCUGAGACGCGUUCGCCGUAGCAACGUUGAUAGUCAUUGGUGCCGGGGCUUUCCACUCUGUUAGUUGUCUUCUAGUCUUUGCAUCAACAAGACGCAACGAGCCUGCUGUGACCUGCGUUAGAUGAUAGAGAGUCAGGAAACAGUAUGAUGGAACAUUACAUAAAUCAAAUCCGAGAAGUCAUUGCAAAAAAGCCCUCACAUCAAAAGUAGGAUUAAACUAAUACAACACCUGUUUCGUGUGGCUUCGCAAAAGAAAAACCUGGAAAUAACUCAUGGUCCGUACCUGUACAAGUUGGUCGUGGACCGCAUUAUAACAAAAAAGGGUCUGAGCUUCAGAGUCAAAGCCAUCGAUCUCUGUCUCCUCAAGUUCAUCAUCCGUGUUCAUUGCCAAAAUACGUGUCUCACUUAUGAAGCUCACAACAAGGAAUGUAUCAUAGACAUCACUAGAUGAUGCCCGAAGAGACCACAUGCCCUUUAUGCCUUGAAGCUCUGCAGAAGCCUACAAGAAUCAACUCAUAUAUGGCUUGGUCAGUGCAAUAUACUCACAAAAUGCAAUACGAAUUACAUCAUCUGCUAGAGAGAGAGAGAGAGAGAGAUAGUUACAAGUAACCGAGGAUUAAGUGACCUUAACGAUAAAGGCCUGGUAGACAGAAAUUAGAAUGUAUGUUAAACAAGAAAAAAAAAGAAAAAAAAAAGGGGGGGGGGGGCAGUACAGCAGGUAGUAAUAUCUGAAGUAUUUACAUGGCAUUAACAGUAAUAGAACUAUCUCGGACAACUUUGAGCGCACUGCACUAAAAGCUAACCUGCUCAUUGAUGCCAAUACCGUUUCGCACGAUACGCAAAGAGCCAUCUUUAAAAGCACCUGAACAGGUUACCACUUGACCUUGACCUUGCCUUUCAAGAUCCACAACACAAAGAUCUACAAUAGGACCCAAAUUCACAUAGCUCUCCAAAACCUCGACAUAGGAAUUCUUGGCAUCUGCCUGGUGGUUUAAUCUGAUGAGCUGCAAAAUCAGAUUAGAAAAAUCACCUUUGGGCAUCAGAAUGUUAUUGCGACGAAAACUAGUGUACGCCUGUAGAGUACACCGAAGACACUAGUAUGCACAUUUAGAAAAUACAAUAUGUGAACCAAGAAACUGCAUCACCAUAAAAAGGGAAUACCAAAUGGGAAGAGCUAUUACCCAUAUGAUUGUAACGAUAAAUAACUCACAAUUCUAAAACGAGGAACGAAGCUCAUUUGAUGCAACAAAACAUUAAAACCUGAUUUAAGGCAGAGAAGAGAAAGAAUAAACCCAAAAGAAGCUAAAAGAAAAAACAAAGAAACCGACCUGUGAAUCACCAUAGCUGGAACCAACAAAAACUACACCAUUGUCCAGGUAGGACAAAGUAGAAGCUGCUGAUGUCUCCCCAAGAGGCUCCACAUUUAAGGCUGAUACCCUGUGAAACCUCACCCACUCAUAGUAUGUUUACCAAUCAUACAUAGUAGUUACGCGCAUACUCCCCAUCCACAAAGAGGAAAAGACGAAAGAAGGAAUUAAACCAAGAUAAGUGCAACACCCUCGAUUGAAAGGUGCUCUCAGGAAAAUGAUGCUGCUGGGAAAGCAAAGCACUGACCUUUCCUUAUCAUGCGAAAUAACAAGUAAGUAUAACAUGCCAUUAUGAUCGCUCAGCAAAUAUCGCGACCCAUCACUAUCCACUCUUCCAUAAGCCUUUGUAAUUGACUGUGAAUACCUCCACCAAUCAUGUCCACCGUGAGUAUCUCAACAAAGAUAGACCCGAGAUAGUUCACAAAAUGCAUAGACCUCAGCAGAAACGACAGCAAAACUCUUAGCCUUGUUCACUUGAAACUCUCAUCGAACUCUACCACAUAUUGGUAAACCAGCUCACAACUUUACCGCCACAAAAUAAAGACCACGCAUGCGACUUUUACUAGGGCUAGAUUCUGAUUUAAGAUGUCCAAGCUUUGCAAAGACUCGUUUCAGCUCAAAUUAUAACGAAACUCAAAUCCUAACUGAGUCUAGAAACGAAUACUGACGAAAGACGUCUCAAGAAAAAUAAACGUGAAGUAUUAUACCGGUCGAAUAGGAAUGGCUUUAAAAACAGAACCAUUAUAGUAAACAAUAGUCUGUUCCCCAAUAAUUAUGGCACCGCCCAACGGAAGUGGAACAGGAAUCAACAAGCCUGCGCCAUUGUCCAGGUUAUUUUGCAACCACGGACCCUCUCCAAAAUCUUUUUCUUUCAGUUGCACCUCGUACGUCUUGACAUGUCUGGCGUCUUUGUUGUCCUGAUUGGUCACAUCAGAAAACCACCAUCAGUGCUACCAAAGUCGAAAUUUUCCCUUCAAGAAUUAUGUUUAAAAAAGGAAGCAGUAUGUAGAUCUGUCAGAUGUACAACGCAUGACCCACAAAAUUUGAAAAAAAUAGGUGACAAGGAUCAACCUGAUAGAGAACUGCAAUAGUAGGUUUAGCACAGCCAUAAAGAAACUUGAUGUCCAAAACUUGCAGCUCUUCCAACCUGCGCGACGUAGACCUCUUAAGAAACCAAAAAAAAAAGGAAAAAAUAAAAACACAAAGAGAAAGAAAGAAAUGGAAAGAUGCAGAAGUAGAAAGAAGAAGGAAGAAAGAAAACAGCGAUUGCAAGUCACAUUCUUCCCCACUGCACCAAUAGUGGAAAAGAGGGGUAUGAUGCCUUAAGGACAACACCCAAUCUGUUAUACAGCGAGCGUCUUCAAAUCAUACAAAGCAAGCCAACAAUGUUUGCAUACCUGAUAUUGAAGGCUUCUUUCAGUUGACCUUUGUUGUCAAUAGGAAUCACCUAAAAAUAUACGAGAAACUGGUCAUUGGAGAUCAUUCAAUUUCAACGUAUUGCAAACAUGUCAGAAAAUGACAAGAGAAGACGAAUAAUUUAAGACUGAUGUGUACACCAGCAACUACUGAUAUCUCCAGAAAAUCUACUCUGAAGAACUGGGUGCAGCUGAGGGACUUUCACCACUCUCAUAUAUGUCCUGCUAUUCCCUAGUACCGAACAUUUGAAGCAGCCAAAAUCCACGCAAGAGAAGCCCUCAGACAUAAAUGACUAAUUAAGAUCAAUUCGAAAAGAAAUACUUAAGCAACAACCAUAUCAACAAUUCAGAUCAUCACUAACACAGCAAAUAUAUUUGAAACGAAAGGCGAACCUUGAACAGCCCAUCAUAAAGAUGCAGACCAAUUAGGCGGCAGUCAGGGUCAACGAUGCCAAUCUGGAAAAAAAAACAAAAUGUAUCAUACUAUCAUUGACAUUCAUACAAGGAAAAUCCCAAACCCUGCUAGUGAACUUCAGAAGCAACAUGACAGCAGAAACGCAUUAAAAACUAGUGAAAUAUUAAACCUCUAUUCCCAACAUGCCCUAAGAUUACAAGCACUAAACUGCCUCCUCUCCGCGUAAUCUUAACAACAAAUUUAAGUAUGCACCUGUCCAUUAUCUGUAGGUCGACCAAUUCGAUCAGAAACAUCUCCCAUCGCUCUGCAGGAAUCCAUUAUACCAUUUGAUUGGGAUUCAAUCUUGUGAUUAAUCUACCACUAGAAAACUUCCAACACAAGAAGAGUAGAAGGGAUUGAAGAGUUAUGAGAGGAGAAGUUGAGACAUGUUUUGUAGGAUCCAACACCCAAAUACCUAGACCUACUGAAGUAUUGAACAGUAUCACGAAGGUCCAUAUUUUUACCGUGUAACGAGUAAGCCGGUUUCUGCAUCCCAUUGAAGUACACAAAAUUUAUAUCUCUCGAACGAUAUAAACAGUACGUCCUGUGAUUCCCCCUGUAACCGAAGCACAGAAAAAAGAACUCAUGUUCAUAUUUACGUUCCAUCUGUCGAUUAGAUCAUAUGCUAGCACAAAGUUUCAUGCUAGCAACUACAACACCCAAUACUUCCUCAACUGGUAGACACAACUGGUAGACUAAAAGGCUUGCUAGCGUAUUCGAUUUGCACCAAACAAGAAAGCCGUAGGUUUAGAAUCGCAAAAUUCAGCAAAUGUUUCUAGUAAACCAAAACAGCUCACUACGACUCACAACUACAAAGUAGAUUUUCAGCUUCAAAGCAGGAAACACCAUUCAACAACUUACAGGAGGCCGAAAAAGUUCCAGGGUGGCAAUUCGACCAUAGAUGGGGACGUCGAGCAUGGGCUGCAUUUCGAGAAAGCAUGAACAUCAGCUGUUUUCUACAUAUAACAAAGCUAUUUAUGCUUAUUAAAACCCGGCAUCACAGGGUGUGCGGCAACAUAGUUACUCCAAUCGUGAAGAAUAUCCAUGUCGCAAGUCGUGCAACGUUUGAGUACACAAUCUACCAAAUGCCAAGGAAAGGUAAGCUCCGGUUCCCUUAGAAGUAACCGCAGCAUUAAGAAUGAACUUGCAUAUUGCUUUGUCAAACACGAUGAACAUACUAAAACCGUGGAAAAAAGGAUAAGCAAUUCUUUGUUCAUUCAUUUGUUAGAGAAUACUGUCUUCUCGCGCACUUUUGAUCAACAAGUGUACACGAACAGUUGAAUGUACAAUUGGUCUCAAAACAAUAAGCGCAGAGAUACUUAAGCACUUAUACAAGUUCCUGCAAGGAACACAUAUUUCCAUAAUAAUUCAAAUCUACAUGAGUUUUUCAUACAAUUUAGAGGGUUUGGGGAACAAAUUAAAUACUUACUUGGAGCCCUGACGCCGUCAACAGGUGAAUCUCAAUUCGAGUGCAUUUUCUAAAAUAGGAGUCAAGAAUCUCAUUGACAAACGAGUCUUUAGUAAGACCGUGUAAAUGGCACGAGCUGUUGAGAUAAACACAAACACAAGAACUGGCAACUUCAUACACAGUAGUGAAAUAGUUCUCCACUCUGUGAGAAACAUAAAUUGUUAACACCCCGAACGAAGCAUAAUCACUCCAUGUGCACCUUCUCUCCUAAAAACCCCCUCUAACUCCCGAGAAUAAAUUCAAUCCUAAACCACAGAAAUGGGAAGCACGAAAUAGACGCAACACUUUCAAAAGAGGAAACUACGACAUAAUUGGCAGCCUAUUGUCCUCCCGUUCUCAACCAAGUACGUGCUAGCAAACAUUCGUAUGGUAGACGCAUAAACAAAAAAUUAACAGUCGCGUAAACUGCCCGAAGCACAUAUACCGCCGCUGAUUUCAACGUCUAAAGAAAUUCAAAUGCCUAUACUUCCAAAGUACGCGAUGCUGAUUCGUAAAAGUCGUCAGGGAGCUCAAUUUCGUCGCAGUUCAGUACAAAUAAACCUAUCUCAACCAGAUUAUUGAGUCCAUCAUCGGAACACACGCAACCACACCACUGACCUAAACAUGCCGUCCGAUAAUAUCAAAAAAAUUCUAGUAUCACAAGCAUUCUACGCCGAGGGCACACUUCCGACAACAGAAAUUGGUGCAGCUCAGUAGAAAUAAAUUAAAAAAAAAAAAAAAAAAAAAAAAAAAAACACACACACACAAGCAUAACCACAAAACUAUGUAUAAACCAUCGUAAUUUUCACUCACCAAAAUACAAAGAGAUGAAGACUCUCGUGAGAAAAAGGGGAAAAAAAGGAUACGCGAUGAUAAGAUUGAGCUCCUGCGGAUUAGUGAAGUAACCGACGCACGAAUGCGUCACAUUGGUGGGCUUGUGCGCCGUAACUACAUAAUUCCAGCCACUCAUAGCUGCCUCUUGCCAAAGAUCCUUCACCACCCGUCCUUUCUAGCCCUUGCACAAAAUUCCCCGAAAUCUGAGCCUGAAGCUUUCCCUCUGCCUGCUUCAACUCGUCACGUUACUCACCUCACCUUAGAAACAUCAAAGCAAACCUGCGACUGCAUGCCAUCGAUGCACAUAAGUUCGUGAGCAACUGAGCUUCACAGCAGGAAACACAACCUCUCGGAAAAAAAGGAGCGUCUAACCCUAAUGAGUUUUUUUAAAAAACAGAAGCAUCUGAGAACGCAAUUACGAAACCCGUUGAUACCCUCCCAGUCCAGCACCCAGGUAUGUGAGAAGUUACGGCUUGUUCAAUGACAUUCCACGGGGAACUUCGUUCUAAUGAUCACUUUCUUAAGAAUGAUUGUGAGCAUGGCACUCUGCUCGAGUAUUACCCAGGAACACUGAUAGGGAACGUGAGGGAACGCAUGUAGUGACGUUGUGUUGUGAUGGAUGCAAAUGAAUUGUGUGGGAAAACCAUAUUUGAACAAUGUGACCAGAACAAUAUAACAGGGUUGAAAGAGGAGAGUAGUUUGUUAGCUCUGCCCUUUGAAGUUAAUAAUACAACCCAUUCACUUCUUUAUUGCCGUCCAAAUUUUGCAUAUGUAUUGAACAUAGACAUAUUGUCGACAUUGAUGGAUGUAAAUUCUAUAUAGCAAUACAUGGCCACAAUUUGACCAAUUACGUGAAAUUCUUUCAUGAAAAUUUAAUAUACUAAAAUUUGGGACAACUUAAAAAUUGAAUUGAUUUUUCUAUUCAUUAAUAUUAACAUUAUUUGGACUUCACCAUGCAACUUUUAAUUACUUUGGUAGAUAUUUUAGUCUUUCAUAGAUGAAACAAAGUAAAAAUACCAUUUUAAUGUCUAAAUAUUUAACAAUUGUGCAUUGAACAAUAUGUAUUAAUUAAUAUUACUUCAAUUUUUAUGGCCAUUUAAUCUACUUGAAUUGAUCUAACAAAGAAAAUUUUGUACUUUAUGUAAUUUGGAUUGAUCAUAUAUAUAUAUAUAUAUAUAUAUAUAUAUAUAUUAUUCUUUUUAUAUUCUGAACUUAAAAAUAUGCUUGUUUUUUUGUCAUAUAAUGAAAUAUCUAAAUUCUUACCACAAUAAUUAUAUAUAAUCUAAUAUAUAUAAAUAUUAGAAAAUAAAUAAUUUGGCAUUUAAAAAAAUCUUAGAUGAAUAUUAAUUACAAAAAUAAUACAUUUUAUUUAUUAGAAUAAAGAAAUAUAUUAGAUUUAUAGAGAUUUUAAUAUAAUUUAUAUUUUUAUAAGAACCAAUUAAGUAUAGUAGUAAUAUCUAGAUGAAAAUUAGAACAUAUAUACAUUAUAUGUAAGAUAAAACUAAUUUUGAAAUUUUUAUGAAUUAUAUUAAAAAAUAAAAACUAAAACUUAUGUAUAAAUUAGAAUUAAAUUAUUCUAUUAUCAGAAUUAUUACUAAAUUUAUAAUCUACUUCAAAGAAUUUAAUAUAUAUAUAUAUAUAUAUAUAUAUAUAUAAUAAAAUAUUUGACAUCAUAUUUUAAUGAAAUGAUUUUUUUUAUUUUUUUAAAAUAAUAUUUUUUAUUUGAAUUAUUUAUAAAAUUCUUAUAUUCAUACAAAUCAAAAAGUACAAUCAAGACUUUCUAACCAUUAAAGAAAUAAAAUUUAAUUCUUAUACAUAAAAGAUAUAAAUAUAAAAUAUAAUUAUAAUUAUAACUAUUUAUUUAUACAUGAUAUGUAGUGGUAUUUCAUUAUAAAAAAUAAUUUAAAAUUUUAAACUAAUUUAUAUAUAUUAAAAUCAAAAUUAUUAUUACUAUUAUUAUCAAUAUUAUUUUUAAAAAGUAAUCUAAAAUAUUAAUUAAAGUAUUAUAAAAAACAAAAAAUAGUCACUAUUUUUUUAAUUAAUAUAUAGAAUUCUUAUUGUGGACAUUCAUAUUUAUUCUCACAAUUGUGUAGAUAAUAUGAAUGUAUAGAAGUAUGUAAAAGUGGAUAAAAUUAAUAUAACUUGUGGAAAAGCUUUAUAGAUCUAACUUUGACUUUGGCCAUAGCCAUUAUAGUUUAAUAUUUUAUCAUCUUUAAGUGAUAUUCUAGUCUUUUUGAGUGACAUAAGAGUGUUUUGAUAUCUUAAUUCUUUGAAGUUCAUGUCCUUGACAAUUUGAUAAGAGUGCUAACUUAUUAUUCUUAUCUUGUUUCAAAACUGAGUGAAUUAUUCCUCUUCUAUUGAUGUGAUUUGAAGAUUGUGGAUUAUCCAUCUUUGAACAAACUAUUUAGUUUUCCAACACCAAUUUUUUUUCUUAAAAAGAACAUAUUAUCCUUUUUUGUGAAAAAAUUUAUUUAAUAUUCGAUGUUGUAGAUUAUUUUUUUCUAAUUUGACUUUUUGAUUUCUUAAGUUAUUUGAAAUAGAAGGAAAAACCAUUGAUACUAUACUUGGUGGAAGUAAAAAUAGAUUUGCAAUUGUUGCUGAUCUUCACAAACUUAUCAACAGUCUUAGAGUGGAAAUUUCAUGCAUCACUAAUGCCAACCACAGAAAUAUUAAUCCUAUGUAUAUAGAAGAAGUUCAGAAUCUACAAUAAAAAGUUGUGUAGUUGAAAGAAUGAAGUAGAUUGACCUCACAACCAAAUCUAGAAAGUUUUACUUUUACAAGUAUAAUGGAGACACAGAUUAGUAUAUCCAAUAAGUUUGAUAGAACAAGAUCAAAAUUUCAAGGAUUUUUGUAAUAAGUCAAGUUCUAUCUAAGAUUACAUCCCUUCCAGUAGUGUGAUGGAUUUAUUCAAGUUGAAUUCAUAAGCACACUUCUAUUUGGAAGUGCUCUCUUUUGGUUCAUAUUGUUAAUGGAAAAUGAUUCACAACUCUUUUAUGAUGUGAAUUCAUUCUUAGAAGUAUUUAUGGCUAUAGUUGAAGAAAGUGAUUGAAAAAGAGUAGCAAAGACUAAGAUCUUAUCCUUAUAAUAAAAAUCAUGGUCAGCUACUAUAUAUGCUACUAAAUUUCAAAAUCUUGCUUGUAAUGUGGAUUGGAAUAAUAAAGCCCUUAUCAAUCAAUUUCAAUAUGGAUUGAAGAAUAACAUCAAAGAUUUAUUAUUGACAAUAUCAAAAGUAAAAUCUUUAAAAUAGUUUAUUCUUCAUGCCAUUACAUGCUUCAAUUAAUUAUUUAAAAGAUGUCAAGAAUAAAGACUUGGCUAGAGAAGAAUAAGCCAAGUAAUAACGAUAGUUCCUAAGUUUUCAGAAACUUAUUUAUCAAAGUCAGAACCAAUGCAAAUUGAUACAAUAUAUUUUAAACUCCUCACUUAGCAAGAAAAGACUCAACAUCAUUAAGAGAGUUUGUACUUAUAUUGUAGAAAAGCUAAGCACAUUGCUCAAUAUUGUCCAAAGAAGUAAUGCAAUCACAAAAUAAGAAACAUGAUUAUCAAAAAAGAUAAUGUGUCCAAAAACAAGUUUUUCUAACUAUUAUAGGAGCUGUGUGGUUGAAAUCAUGUGUAACUUCUAGUAAAGGUUAUAUUCUCUCCUCAGAUCACUCACCUUAUUUUACAAUAGAUAAAUGUUUAGGACCUAAAAAUGACAAAGACUUUGCAUUAUUAGAUUCAAGAGUCCCAGCCUGUUUUAUAGAUUAAGACUUUGUUAAAGAACAAGAAAUAUUUUUAGUCAAAAAAAUUAAACCCAUACAUGUAGAAGUUAUAGAUGGUUUUUUGUUAUUUUUUGGAGAUGUUACUCAUGAGACAAUUCCUUUAGAUGUAGCAAUCAAAGACCAUAAUAUUGUAAUAUUAUUCAAUGUGAUAAGAUUUCCUUCUAAUCUAAUUAUUUUAGGAUUAUCGUGGUUUAUGAGUCACUAAAUUAACUCACUUUGAUAUUUAGUAUAAAAAAACACUAAUCAUGCUUAAAAUCAUAGAUUUAGUGAGUUAACAGUAAAUUUUUUAGGAAAAAUAGAAAAUAGAUUACUAAUAGCAGAUAUAGAAUCUAGGGUAGAAUUUAUUAAGAUGAAUUUCCAUAUUGGAGAUAUUUUUUGUAUCUAAUAUUAGAUGAUGGCCAAUGGAAAUAUUCCUCAUUGUCAUAAAAAUAAACUCUUAUUUUAUUAAUAGAUCUUAAAACAAAUAUAUGUAUAUGUUAUGGAAAAAAUAAAAAAUAAAAUAAAAUAAAAAGAUCAAAAGGAGUAGAAAGAAGAAUAGAGAAGAGAAGAAGGGAGAAGGAGAAAGAAGAAAAAGAAAGAGGGGAAGAGAAGGAAAGUAGGACAGAAGAAAAAAAAGAAGGACCGAAGAAAAGAAAAGAAAAGAAAUGAAAGGAUGAAAAAAAAUAAAAAUAAAAAUAUAAGACAAUUAAGAAGGCGAGAGGCUGCCCCUGAAUGGCGGCAGCCUACUUGUUGAUAUGAGUCGGGGCAGCCUGGGCUCCGAUCGUUCGAAUCUCCUUCCUGAGCGUGUUCUCUCCCGAGAGUAUUCCUUUUCUGUACAUGUGGGUGCAUGGCGGCACUUGUUUCUCUUCAUUCCGUCAAAGUGUGGGAACAAAAAAGAAUCUUUGUUACGAUCAGUGCACGACGUCAAGGUUCGGCGUCGUUGCUUUGUGUCCUUUGUAUUGGGAGUGCUGUGGGGCAGUUGUUUCCCUUUCGUUUUUUUGUUUUGUUUUGUUUUGUUUUUUGUUUUUUGUCUUCUCCAUGUGCGUGGUGGCAUUUUGUCUCUUGCCCCAUUGAGGUGCUGCGGUGUAGCGGCCAAUUGUUAUCGACUGGGUCAGCGAGGGCUUAAUCGAGUUGCAGCAGUUGCAUUGCUUGCUGAUUAUGGUCGUGAAUGAGGAUGAUGGCUAUGGGUGCUUCUAAGUUCUUUAGGUGCAGCGUCGUCGAUUAAGUAUGGAGGCGUGGAGGUUGGUCAUCAAUUGUUCUCUCUCUCACUUGGUGUUGGUAAUCUAGACGACUUGACACGGUUUACUGAGCCAGUUAACUCGACGAUUGGUCUACAAAUGGAGGUGGCGCUUCCUGGCUCAAAUUUACUCGACCUGUGUAUCGACGGUAGCACAUCAAGGCGGCGGUUUCUAUUUUUUCUCAAAACUAUGCGUGCGGUCGACGACAUUUGAUCUUCCACAAUAGCAAUUCGCUGCGUUUAAGUAUUGUAGAAGUUCGUGCAGUGAGGCGGUUGUCCUCAUUGAUACUGACUCAAUCUAUUUUUUUCCUUCCUUCACUCAAGAUUCUGGCAAGUUACAUUGAUGUGGAAGUUUUUUUAUCUUCUAGCUGCUCGAUGAUAUUGAGCGAUGGCAGUAGCAAGCAAGCGUCCAGUCUAUACUCAACGAUGUGGAAAAGCCAUCUGGGUAGUUGUCGACAAGUUGGAGUUAUGAUCCUCCAUUAGCAGCCGCAAGAUUGACAAGGCGACAGGUUCCACAGUGGUUGGAGCUCGGGGUGUUUGCUUUGAGGAGGUAGUCGGUGGUUCCAGAAGUGGCAGUUGUUUGUAGUAGAAGGCAGUUUCUUCCAUCAGCUGCGACCAGUGCGAGCUCCUCCAAACGGCAAGACGUGAUUAGGUUAGCUUUUGUUGGACGAAAGUUAGGCUAGAACAAGGUUAAAAGUGGAUGAUUUUUAUUAGGUGAAUGAUGAAAUAAAAGAUGAAUUAUUUAAACAUUGAUGGAAUUUUAAAAGUUAAUGAAUUAUUAUUCAUGGAUGAGAAGUUAUUUACGGAUGAGAAUUUAUUUAUGGAUGAAAAGUGAUUUGUAGAUGAUAACUUAUACUUGGAUGAUUUUUUUGGAGGAAUUUUAAUAAAAUAAUAAAAUAAAAUAAAAAUUAAAAAAUAACAAUAAAUUAAUUAAUAUAAUUUAAGAAUCAAAAGAAAAAAAAAAUCUUUAGCAUGCAAUUAGAAAUAAACUUGCAAGAGUGAGUUAAUGGUAGAAGGUUGCUUAAUAUCUUGGAUAUAUUUAGUUCAAAGAAUGAUUUAAUUAGGAUUUAAUUAAAAGUUAUAAUUCAAUAAAAUGGUAUAAUAAGUUCACUUGUUGUAAAUUAGGAGAACUUUGAGUUAGUACAAAUUGAUUUUUCUUACAUUUAGUAAUUUGAGUAAGUUAAGAGUGAAUGAAGUGAGAAUAAAAUAGUCUUUUGUUACAUAUGUCACACCCAUUUUUGAUGGUAGGAAGACGCCAAGUGGUAUUCCUAGUAAGUAUCAAGAUUUCUAGGAUGUUUUUAAAAAAAACAAAUGCAGAUAUUCUUCUAAAGCAUUGAUCCUAUGAUUGUAUAAUUGAUCUAUAAGAAAGAACUUAACCACUAUUUGGAUCAAUCUAUAGCUUAUUGUAAAAUGAAUUGGGUGUACUAAAAAAUACAUUGACAAGAACUUUGCUAAAAACUUCAUAAGCCAUUCAAAAUCUCUAACAGGAGCUCUUAUUUUAUUUGUAAAGAAAAAAGUUGGAUCUCUACAAAUGUGCAUAGGGUAUCGAAGACUUAAUAAGAUCGCCAUGAAGAAUAGGUAUUUUUUACCUUUGAUUUUAAGACUUUUUGACUAAUUCAAUCAAAUAAAGAUCUACACAAAAAUAGAUCUACAAAGAGCAUACAAUGUGGUCCAUAUUAAACAAAGAGAUGAAUUGAAGUCUACUUUUUGAAUUAGGUCUGGACAUUUCAAAUAUAAUGUCAUGCCUUUUGGAUUCACAAAUGUACCAUCUGCUUUUCAACAUCUCAUGAAUGAUAUCUUUUGUAAGUUUUUUAAUGAUUUUGUUAUCUAUUAUUUAGACGACAUUCUAAUCUACUCUAAGAACAUGAAAGAUAAUGAAUUUCAUAUUCAUUAAGUAUUACAAAAAUUAAGAAAUAUAAGAUUAUACACCAAUAUGAAAAAGCAUCAAGGACAUUAAUAUCAAAGAAAAGAAAUCCUCAAUACACUAUAGAAUCUUAGCCUAUGAUAGUCCAACUUAUCAUAAGGACAAGUAGUCUUGAUGUUACAAUGAAAUAACCAUACCUUGUCAUCUAUAUUGAAUUGUGAUUGCUUGUUGUGAUAGGCAUCCGCUGUCAAGUUGUGGUUCGGCUACCAUGUGAAAAUAAUGUAUUUAUAUAUUUAAUAUACAAUUUACUUAGCAACAUGGUGAGAGCUAUAUUACUAGAUUUUAAUUGGUUGUAGAGUGUGGUUAAAUUACUACUUUAAAAAGAUGUUAUUUAAAAGGAUUACUAUUAGAAUUUUUACAACUUUAUUUUCUUUUGAUAUUGACUUUUGAAGUUGGUAUUAUUGGUAGUAACUUUUAAACAUUUAGAGUCACUCUUCUUAGACAUUGGUGACCUUUGAAGUUUUAUUUUGGUUCUUUUAUUUGAUAUUUAAGGCAUAUAAUAUCUAAAUCUUAUAUGAAAAAGAAUUGAAGAGGUAUUUUGAUAGCAAAAAAGGUAGUUAGGGCACCCAUAUGAAUGAAUGGAGAUGGAUGAUAUAAAUCUCUAUUCCUAUUGGUCAAAAAUCAUAACCAAUGGACUUCAAGGAGGCUACCCGAGGCCAUAUUAGGGAUUAGGAUUAGUAUUCUGAGGGAAUUAGAAUAUUGAAAGCUAGGAUUAGUAAGUUCAAUUUUUUGGCUAUGGUUUUGGUGUAAAUUUUUAGUCAUUUGGAGUUUUUAUGAAGGAAAUAUAGGCACUCGAAGUCAAGGUAUUGGUUUUGUACCUACUAUCAUUCUUUUGGAUAUAUUGGACACAAAUAAAAAGUAAUAGAGGAUCAACGACUAGGAUUGAAAAAAAUACUUUUUUUGACUACAUUUUAUAUAUAAUUUUCAAUGAAUUCUAAGUUGAAAUGAGGGAGAUAUUGGAAGUUGAAGUCAGCACUUGGAAUCUAAAGAGUAGUAAGUGACUUGAAUUGCUAGUGGUUGUGUUUUGAGCUAUAUCUUUUGUAAUUUGACAAGAUUUUGGUUAAAACUUUCUAAGAAUGUAUAUUUUUAUGUUACUAAACUUUAAACAUAAAUUUUUUGGUAUUUGAAUUUUGGGUUUGUGAGAUAUGAAGAAAAUAGUACUUAGAUGCUUAUAAAUUAGGAUUUGAAGCACUUGCUAGGAUUUUUAAGAUGCUAAAAAAUUGAUAUUAAAUUUAUAAUUGAAUUUUUUUGUAGUAACUCUUGAGGAUAAAUUCUAUGUUAUCUAUAAAUUUGAUAAAAAUUGAACAGUUGGAUCAAGAAUUAUGAAUUUCUAAAGUUCAAAAAGAAGAAACCUUUUAUAGAAAAAAUAAAAUUUGAAGGGGUUUUAUUAUAAUUUGAGCAUUUUAUACUAAGUAAAAAAGUUUUUUGGAAGUCAAGACUUUAUAUAUAUAUGAAAGAUGGAUAUAUGUAGCUAUGAUUAAAUUUUGAUAUAAAGAUGAGCUUUUGAGAGAAAAUUAUGGAUUUUCUUUGGAAUUAUUGAAAAUCUAACUUACUUGCAAAUGGUUAGUUAUGAUUUGGUUUAGCUAAGAAUGUUAGGAAAUUUUUAGAUAUUUUAGAAAGCCUUAUGUAUAAACCUUCUAAAAUAUAAAAGAUUUUAUUAGUACAAUAUCUUUUUGAUAUUAUAGUAUUUAUUUGUCUUCUAUUUUAAAGGUUAAAUAACUUAUUGGAGCUUGGCCAAUAAGUUAAAAUUAAACUCUCUAUAGUUAGAUAUCCAAUGUAUUCCUAGAUAGAAAAUCAUGCAAUAUGACACCACAUUGAUCUUUUGUUGAUCUUGAGCUUUCUUUAAUUGUAUCUUCAUUAUUACAUGUAGCUCUAACAAACAAUUUGCUAAAUCUUUUGUCGCAAGAUUAUCAACUAUUGAAAAGUCAAAAGUAUUAAAUCAUAGAUGAUAAUCAUAAUUAGCAAAUGAAGGUGUUCAUUGAAUAGAAGAAUAUACCAAAUUAUUGUAUGCAAUGACAAAAGAUUUGUCCAAUCAUCUUGAUGAUAGUUGAUGAUACACCUCAAAUAUUGUUCCAGAAUUUGAUUUAUCCAUUUUCUUUACCCAUCAAUUUGAGUAUGAAAAGUUGAAGAGAUUUUUAUAUUCUUCUUUAGAAUCUUGAAUAUGAUUCUCUAAAAUCUUGAUACAAAUUGAGUCCUCCUAUUUGAUAUAAUAUCCUUUGAUAAUUUAUGAUAGCGAUAGAUAUUAUGAAUGAAAAGCUUAAUUUUUUUGUCACCUGAAAUAGAUUUUGUAUAUGAUAUAAAAUGUGCCAUUUUGGUGAAUCAAUCUAUGAUUACAAGUAUAGAGUUAUAUAAACUUAAACUUGAAAGAUCUAUAAUAAAAUCCAUAGAAAUAGAAGACCAUGGUUAUUCAAUUAUAGGCAAUAGUUGAAAAAAUCCAUAGGAUUAAUGACAAGGAGUUUUUGAUCUUAAACAAACAUCAUAUGACUGGACAAAGUUUUUAUUACCUUUUACAUUUGCACCAACUAAAAAUCUCUAGAUAUAAGCUUUAAAGUCUUAUUGUAUCAAAAAUGUCCUACAACUAGAAAAUUGUGAUGUGCUUAAAGAAUAUAUAAACAUGCUUUUCUUUCUGGAACAUAUAAGCAUCCUUCAAAUUAGAGUAGGUUGUUCUUGAACUCAAACUUUGAAACAUCAUGAGACUUAAAAAAAAAUUCUUAAUAUCAAGAACAAGAAGAUCAAAAGACAUACUUGAUUGAAUUUUUUUGACAAAGAUUGAAUUAAUAGUUAAUAUUGAUUUCAUUGCUCAAAGAUGAAAAUGCUCUAGUUUUAAGAGGAUUGUUCUUUGUUGAUCAAAAGAUUUGUCUCUUUCUUUUGGUGCAAGAUAAGAGCAUCUAAUAAACCUUGUUAUUUUUCAAGUCGAUAUGUGAUCUUGAAAUCAAAUCUUGAUAAUGACAUGCUUGAACGGGCUUGGUGAUGAUUCAAAACACGAAUCGAUAUAAAAUACUUUGAGGUGCUUGUGAUCUAUAUAUAUUAUCACUAGAUUUGAAGCACCUUUUAGAUGUCACAGAUAUACAACUAAAAAAGAUUUUAGAAGAUUUUAGAAGGUUCGAGAAGAUUUUAGAAGAUUUCAAAAGAUUCUAGAAGGUAUCAAUAUGUUCUAAAAAGACUCUUGAAGGUUCUAGAAGGUUCUAGAAGGUUUCGAAAGGUUCUAAUAGAUUUUAAGAAAGUUCUAGAAGGUCAUAAGAAGUCAUAGAAGGUUCUAGGAAGCUUUAGAUGAUUUAGAAAGUUGUUGAAGAAGGAUCUUAGGCUUACUUUAUUCUCAAGCCUCAUAAAAACUUCUAAUUGACGCUUUGUGACCGGCUCCUCACUGUUAACUCUUCCAUCAAUUUUGCCACCUUAGCUUGUAAAACUUUGAUUUUGAACCUCAACUUCUCCGUUUUGCAUCUAGAUUGAUCACUCAAUAUCGCUUUCUCUUUCGUCAAUAACUCUACCUUGUCUCUAUCUGCUUACAAUUGACAUUUGAGUUUCUCUUGUUCCAAAUUUCAUGUCUUGCAAUUUUAGAUCAAUUUGUCUCGUCAUCCUUCGAUAAUCUAUAAGAUGUAUUCACCUCUCCCAAAAAAAUAAAAACUUGGCCCAAGUAUUAUGUAUUAAAUAACCAUAAUUGAUGGCCGAUGAAGUCUUCCAAUUGAACAGACCCAUUAGAAAAACCUUCAAUCACCUGAUAUGACCCAUGCUAGCAAACUUGAAAUUUAUCCAGAAAUGAUUAAACCAGCUAUCAUAGAGUAAUACCAAAUCAUUCGGCAUAAAAUUCUUCGGACGCAGUUUACUAUCAUAGUGACUCUUCCUUCGUUUUUGAGUUGCUUCCAUAUUGAAAAGAGUUGUAGCCCGUAUUUCAUCCAAUUCUUCCAAUUUUGUCAACCAAGAGUGUAAUGACUCGUUGUCACUAAGACGUUCAUCGAAGGUAAUCCGUAAACUUUGAACUUCCAACUCGAUAGGUAAAAUUGCCUCUUAUCCAUAAACUAGUUGGAACGGAGUAGUGUUAGUAGUUACUUUAUAUGUGGUACAAUACGCCUAUAAAGUCGCAAAGAGUUUGGUCUCUCAAUUGGUACCUACCUCCAAAAUUGUCUUAGUCAAGACCUUGUACAAAAUUUUGUUGGUCUUUUCUAUUUGCCCAUUUGUACGAGGAUGAUAUGGAGUAUUUUUUUGAUGCUUAAUUUCAUAUGUGUUUGUUAAGGCGGCUAUGGUAGCAUUUAUGAAAUGGGUGCCGCGAUCAGUAACCAAUUCUUUCGGACACCCAAAUCGAGUUAUAAUAUUUUCAUAAAAAAAAGUAGCCAUCGUACUGGCAUUACCAUGGCGGAUAGCAAUAGCCUCUGUCCAUUUGGUUAUAUAGUCCAUGGCGACUAAAAUAUACCGCUUCUAGCUAGGUUUUGAUGCUGGUGUAAUGGGAUCGACAAAAUCAAUACCCCAUUUUACAAAUGUUGCUUGUACCAAGAUUGGUACUAACGGCAUGGCUAAAGUGCUAGUGGAUCAACCCAUUCAUUGAUAGAGAUCACAAUGACAAACAAAUUAGUGUGCAUCAGAAAAAAUUGUGGACCACUAAUAUCCUGCUAUUAAAGCCUUGCGAGCAGUGUUGUCUCCCGCAAAAUGACCACCACAACUAUCCAAAUGGCAACCCUCUAAUAUCGACUGUAGUUUACUUGGAAAGAUAUAGUAUCUUAAAAUGCCAUCUUUGCAUUGUUUAUACAACGCAUUGUGAAUCAUGGUAUACGAGGUACUCUUCAGAAUGAGUCGCUUCUUAAGCUUCUCAGUGAAAGUCGACAAAAAAGUGUGGAAGGUCAAAAACUAAAUGAUUUCACUAUACUCGGGGGAAAUCACAUCCACGACAAAUAAUUUGACGUCAAGAAGAGCAUUAGGGACAGGCUCGUUGCCAAGAAUAUUAGACAACCAGGAUAAAUGAUUAGCAUUUGCAUGUUUUUUCCAGGUCAUACACCAAUUGUAAAAUUGAACUCUUGUAGAAGUAAUAUCCAUCAGGCAAUGUGCCUACUCAAUUGAGGCUUAUUAAUCAUGUAUUUGAAGGCAUCAUGAUCUACAUAAAAUACAAACAAAUAUCUAAGCAAAUAGUGCCAAAACUUCUGAAUCAAAUAUAUCAUAUCCAACGCUUCACAUUUAAUAGUAGUAUAAUUGUGUUUGACAACCACCAAUUGUUGACUGGCAUAAUAGAUAAGAUGAUCCAAACCCUGGUUAUCCUUAUGAUUUAGCACCAAUCCAAUAGCCACAUUAGAUGCAUCAAUAUAUACAUAGAAAUGCUCCGUCCAACAAGGUGCUACGAAUAUUGGAGCAGAGACUAAUUUUGACUUUAAUGCCUCAAAGGCUAUGGUACACUCUAUGGUCUAGAGGAGACUAGUUCCAUUUAAUGGACGUUUCUUUAGUAAGUUCGUUAAAGGUUGACAAAUAACUGCAAACAAACGAAUAAAGCAGCGAUAAUAAUUGACAUGGCCAACAAAUCCUUGAAUAUUGGAGAUUGUCUCUGAUCUAGGCAAGUUCAUUAUAUGCUACACUUAGUCAGGAUCCAUAGCAAUACCACAAUUAGAGACGAUAUGUAUCAAUAAUUUUUUAGAUAAAAUGCCAAAUUGACACUUCUUUAAGUUCAACGAUAUUCCAAACUUAGCACACUAAGUCAAACAUUUGCCUAGACAACUAAGAUGAUCUUGUUUUGUACUGAAUGUACAAAAGUCAUUUAAAAAGAUCUCCAUAAUUUUCGGAGAUAGUCUUGGAAGGCCUGAGUCAUCACUCUUUGAAACGUAAUUGGGACGUUGCAUAAUCCAAAAGGCAUCACGCGAUAAGCAAAUAUGCCCCAAUCCAUAGUAAAGGUUGUCUUGAGCUGGUCUUUCGAUAUAAUUUGAACUUAAUUAUAUCCGAAAAAUCUAUCGAGGAAAAAAUAACAUUCGUGACCUACUGCGACGUCCAAUAUACUAUCCGUGAAAGGUAAUGGGAAGUAAUCUUUCUUGGUGGCCGCAUUAAAUUUUUGAAAAUCCUAACAAAUUCGGAUUUUUUUGUUCUUUUUCAGCACCAUCACGAUUGGAAAAACCCACUCACUAUUCGGUACCGGGUAAAUAAAACCAACUGCAAGAAGCUUGUCCAAUUCCUCUUUCACCAUGAGGAAAUAUUUAGAAUUAAGGUGAGGUUGGCUCUACUGUACCGGUUUAGCGUUCUCCUCUAAAAUGAUAUGAUGCUCACAGACUUCAGUGGAGAUAUCUUUUAGAUCAUCAUAAGUCUAAGCAAAAGCUGAUUUAUGAUGCAAGAAAAAUUCUAUCCAACAAGUCAACUCUUGUUCCUUAACACAUUCGUAGACCUUAAUUGUCUGAGGCUCUGCUGUGGUCGCCAAGUUGAUAGUUUGACAUAAAGGUGCAACGGCGAUGUUCUAUUUCAACCUCCACGUUGGUUAAAGAUCAGUUAAUAAGUUCGAUAUGUGUGAAGUAUUGAAUCCUGUGUUUAGGGCAAUAACAUGAUGCACGUCAUACUUGGUCAUCCAAUCAAUACUAACUUAAGCAGAGAUUUUUGAAUUUGGUGGAUAUAUCAAAUAUUCCACCGGACUUCUACAUUGAUACACCAUUCUAGGAUGUUGGGCUACUUCCAAGGGCGCCUCCAUAAUCGGUGCUAUUGCAUCAUCAUUGGAGCUAAGCUCAUUAUCCGACGUCAAUUCAAAAGAUGGCAAUUGAGACUUCCCGUGAUAAUAUACUAGAUACAUUUGUAAUACCAUUAUAUCUCCAUCCUUGCCAAUUAUCAAAGUACCCCAAUUCCAAUCGUUCUUGGCCUUCAUUUGAUAAAGCUAAGGUCAUCCCAAUAAAAUUGGAUAUGAUAAAGUUGAACGUUAUAAUUGAAAGAUGAUGUAGUCAAUUUUAUAUACAAUACCGACAAUUAUAGUUUGAAUACUCCGUUGUCGUAAUAUGUGAAGUCUUGAUUGAGAAUGCUCCAAGCAUUUGGCUGUGGAAGGAAGAAUGGAAAUUGCAAUAACAAAAUCCUAAUUCUAAUAGAAUACUAACAAUGCUCUAAUUAGACCAUAAUAAUGCUAAGCAAGCUUAAUCAAAUUUAAAAAAACCUCAAAGAAAUUUCAAACAAAUAAUAAGAAUUCUUAAAGAAAUAUUAGAAGGAUGACAAAUAUCACUCAAAUACAUCUCAAUUCAAUCUUAAUUUAAUUCUAGUUAAAAUCCUAUUGAACUUCAUUCAAACUUUCGGCCAAAAGUAAUUGAAUCUUAAAUCCUAAUAAAAUCCUAAACCCUGAAUCAUACCCUAAACAAAUCUUAAACCAAAUCCCAACUAAAUCCUAAACCAAAUCCUAAAUCAAACCCUAACCAAAUCCUAAACCAAACCCUAAUCCAAACCCUAAACCCUAAACCAAAUCCUAAUCCAAAUCUUAAACCCUAAAUCAUACUCUAACCAAAUCCUGAUCUAAACACUAAAUCCUAAUCAAAUCCUAAACCUUAAACCAAAUCCUAACUAAACCCUAAAUCCUAAAUCAAAUCCUAAACAAACCCUAAUUUAAACCCUAAAUCCUAAACCAAAUCCUAAACCCUAAAUAAACCCCAACCAAAUCCUAAACCAAAUCCUAGUAAUUCCUAUAAUAGAUUUAAAUCUCAAUAACUAAUGAAUAAACCGUUGAUCUAAACUCAAAUUUUGCACACUUCUAAAAAAAUAAGUUAGAAACAAGCACAAAAAAAUUGAAAAGGAUCGGAAUUACCAAAUUGACGAUAACCUCAAAAAUGUGCUCGUGUAUUGGCUGGCCUCCUUCUCCAAUCUUGAUGCCAAUCUUCCAGAGCCAAUAUCUCUCUUUUGCGCCUUUCGAUUGAUCUCAAAAUUCUCAUACACAUAGAAAAACAAGUCUAAUAUCCUCUAACAUAAGUUUCACUCCAAUCCAACUAGUAGAUUGUAAGAAAUCUCAAAAACCCCCACUGGACCUAAAAUUCUACUUUCUAAGAUCUUAACCCACUUAAAUCUCAAUAUUCCUCAAUUUAACCGUUAGAUCAAGCUCAAAUUUAUGAAACAUAUUAAACAAAAUUAUAACCAUAAACCUACAAAAUUUCACCUAUAGAUCUUUACAAAACUCUUGAAAUCAUCCAAAACAUAAAUCCUAUUUUAUUUCAUAAAACCUAAGUUAUCCGAAACAAACCUUGACUUUGCAAAGCUCUUACAAAGUC
RNAcentral lists this long non-coding RNA (143962 nucleotides) under Physcomitrium patens. RNAcentral describes it as "long non-coding RNA (PPAT_LNC009317)". The stretch from base 65320 to 65365 matches the Rfam family "Histone 3' UTR stem-loop". The record is from RNAcentral. Lineage: Eukaryota; Viridiplantae; Streptophyta; Bryopsida; Funariales; Funariaceae.